This 118291-nucleotide long non-coding RNA is filed under the name Hordeum vulgare. RNAcentral's name for it is "long non-coding RNA (HVUL_LNC002577)". The record is from RNAcentral. Lineage: Eukaryota; Viridiplantae; Streptophyta; Magnoliopsida; Poales; Poaceae.
UCAUAUUGCCAUUCUUUGCAUAUAUAUAUUAACUUUCAGUGUACAGAUGGGUUCACAAACUGUUUAUUUCACAAGCAGUUCAUAUGUCACGAACAUAGUACAUAAACAACCCAUUCAUAUGAAUCAUACUAUCUUACAAGUGAAUUUCUUGCCACUAAUUGACCAAUCCAAGAUAGGCACCAUCUGCACAACUCUCCCCAGCCUCAUAUGAUCAUGAUAGGAGGGCCGUGGGCCGGCGAUGCAGUCACUGAUAAGAUGCGCAGAGGCUGUGGCAGUGGUUUCGAAGACGGCUUGAAUUUCGAUGGACGGAGUCUUCAGUUCCCCGUGCAAGAACGCUUCCUGCAACGCUGCCACAUAUAAUAUGCAUCCAUUGUGUAGCAGCGCCAUGUAGACAAUGUCCAUGCCUUAAGAGGAAACAACCAUGAAUUAUUGAAAGCCCAUGUAGAAGAGACAUCAAGGUGAGCGGUAAGCACACUUAUAAAGGAGAAGAAAAUGACCGUACUAUGUUCUUUGAACAUUUCUUGAAUACUACUCCCUCCGUUCCUAAAUAUAAGUAGUUUUAGAGAUUUUAUUAAAGGACUACAUACGGAUGUACAUAGACAUAUUUUAAAACGUAAAUUCAUUUAUUUUGCUUCGUAUGUAGUCCACUAGUACAAUCUCUAAAAGGACCUAUAUUUAGGAACGGAGGGGGUAGGUUCGUACCAUGGAGCAAUCCAAUUGUAAAUAGUAGUAGUACUAGUAACUAACAGACCAGCUAAGCGAUUGCUAGGAAGCUUCUAAUUAAGGAGAUACUAACUACUAAGUAAGUCCACACUGCAAAGCUGAGCCUAAACAUUUGGUCAUAAGUAACCUCAGGAGAAAGCGGUGCAUUUUACAGGAAGCGUAUUCCGCUGGAUCAAAAAACAUAACACAAUGGCAACGGAAAAUGAAACAACCAAUUGCUUGUAUAGAUGUGCGUACGCACCACAUAUGCAUGCAACGUGAGCUCCUCUUGGCUUGUAUAACAAGAUAUAUAAACACAGGAGAGAUGUGCACCUGCUGCUAUUGCGUGGCCUGGUCUUGAAUACAGAUAAUCCUGAUACCUCCGUCGGAAUCAACAAUGAUAUCAAGAAUAGGGUCGUAGCUUGGAGAAGGGAACGUCGGAAGCGCCAUGAUAUAUAUGGAGCAACCUCUUGAAAACACAAGCGAGCACCGUUGCACGGCGGAGAAGAGCUGCUUCGUAGUAACGUUGAGGAGGAGGAGAGCUCGAUCGACGGGGAGGCUACUAGGUGAAGGUGGCGACGGGAGAGGGUCUAGUUUUGGUGUGAUGUGAUUGAUCCCCGGUGGCCGAUGCGCUUACGGCUUAAGUAGCAAGCCCAGGGGCCGAGGGGCGACGGCGAAAGUGCAUGGAAAAAGAACAAAAGCGCGUCGGUGAUGGGGAGCACGCACGUCUGUGACGCUGCCGUUCAUCUGGACUGGAGAAACACCACGCAUGCAUGCACGUCCUCUCAGAGCAAUAUUAGUACGUAACGUAUAUCGAGAGAAAUAUAUAGUCCAGGGCUACGCUAUACACGCAGCUUGGGGGUGCCCAGACUGGGAGGAUAACUAGGACGCGUUUACGGCACCCAGACCCAGGUGCAAUCACAUGAUAUUCACAUCCUCGUAUUUCCCACAGAAAGAGGGAGGAAAGGUUUGUACCUUGGCAGCAAGAUCCCUGGAACUUCCCCGGAACUUUCGUGCUGUUCGUCCGAUGACCUCAUGGCCUGGAUCGAUCAUGGAGCACCCACACACCCAUUGCACACCUUUUUUCUCGCUGAAUAAAUUUUCCUUACGGAUUUUGCAGCACGCCUUGCUCCUCCUAGCUGUACAAGUGGCAACAGCUUGUAUCGUUUAGCUAGGUCGGUUAGCACGCGCACCGUCAUUUUCCUAAAGUCGUCAAACAACCAGAGCAGUUUUCUAGCAUACUCCUAUAUAUAUCUCUAUAACCUAACCACACAGGGAAAACGGCCAAUUUAUUUAUUGUUUUUAUAGCAGAAGAUGGUGGUUGCCUGAAUGGCAUGGAAACGUGUUACCUUUUCAAAACAGACAGAAACGCGUUGUCUCGAUCGGCUGGAAAUCCCUGAGCUCAGCCUAGAGAUGAUUUGUCAUGCAUUUGCUUCCUGUCCAAGCGUAGGCAGUUUGGGUGCUUCGAGCUUAGUGGAUCGAAGAAACAUCUUGGAAGAUCGAUCGCAAAGUACUUCGGUAAAAGAUGUGUCCAUUUUUAGUGUCUCGCACUAAUGCAUGCAGAGUUCAGACGGGGCGGUGAUGGUGAGGUUAUUAUCAUAUGCACGUUAUGAUUAAGUGGAGAUCACAAGCAAGCUGUAAGUUUGUAAGAAAGAGUCCAUGCACGUUUCUAGGAAACUGCCACUGCUAAUUUCCUUUUUUUUUUAGAACAGCGGGUACGACUGUUUACGUACUCCAGAUUUACUCACCCGUACGUGGCUUCAACACCGGCCAGAGUCAGUUGCGUGAUGACUUGAACCUGUGUAUUCAAAUUGAAAAUGUCAUUGCAAAAAAUAAAGUCAUUUGAUCCUGGUGUUUAUGUGUCAGCCGUUAGAUGUUGCUAAGUGGAUAAUAUAAUGGGUCAUCGCUCAUAGUUACAAAAACAUAAUUGCAAACGAAGGAGUCCGUAAACCCCCGUAUUUACUCCGUACGUUUAGAAUUUUCCAUGCCAACCAUCGUCGAUGUUACCUGUUCGGUGUUAAAAUUUGGAUUUUUUCAGAGUUUGUUUGCUUUUUUUAAAACAUUCAGUGCAUGUAUAUGCAUCUAUUGGAUAUAAAUCAAACUAGAACUAGAAGUACAUGAAAAAAUGCACAAACAUGGGCUGAAUAGUAAUCUCUGUCCGGAUUGGUAUAUAUUCAGGCCAUACCCAACCAUAGACAUUUGUUCUGCAAGGGUUGGCCACCAACACUGAGCUUAUUACGUAUUUAUAACCCAAACAAAUACAGAAAAAUUCUACAAAACAUGAAACAUGGUGUGGUGUCAUCAUCUCCCGUAAUAAUAAAGGCAUUUUUGCAAAAACACCCCUGUAGUUUCAUCUAAUUAACCCGCGAUACGUUUUUAAGUGAGGACGAACCGUUUUUUACAUUUUACACAAAACCCCCUUACUUUCGUGCUAAAUAACCCGCGGUCCAAAUUAUAUUCAAAACGAAUCGUUUUUAAAUUUUUUACAUACACCCCUCACAUAUGCGUUAAUAACCUGGAAGUCCAUUCAGAAUAAAUAUGUAUCUCUCUGUCCGGAAUUAAAUGUCCACGCCUUAGUUCUACUGUAAUUUUGCAAAAAAAACUUUCACAUUUAAAACUGUUGCUAAUCAGCCCCCAUGGUUCUUCCUCCUUCCUCCAGACCAUUAUCCUUGUUCAUCGGGAAGAACCAGAGCCACUGAUCCAGCCCCCGCCAGCGAGGCCCUGCCCCCGAUCCGGCCCCCCUCCAAAGCUGACUUGGCCGCCGUCGACGAGACCACCGAGGAGAAGGAUGAAGAGAGGCAUAUGAAGGCCGCGUCCAGGGGCCGGAGCAGCACGACCGCAUCCCGGAGGAGGGAGGAGUUCGAGGGGCACCGGGCAGCGGAGGAGGAGGACGGCUACGGCCCGCCCAGCCCCAGCAGCAUCAGCUACGCCAGCGAGCGGGGGGAGUAGCGACGCCUCCAGCGCCUGGAAGAAGAAGGUCCUGGUCUUGUCGCUGUUGCUCUUCUGCAAGUUGCUCCUCCUCCGCCCGGAGCUGCUGCUGCUGGUCGUGGUGGUGGACGCCGGCUGCUGCUGCUGCUGCUGGUGGUGGUGUUCUACGCCUUUGCUUCCACCGCUGCUGCUGGUGGCCAACGCCGACGCCCUACGAUCCCCGCCAUUGACCCCCGAGGCAUCCACCUCUGCUUGUACAAGAAGAAGAAGGUAAAGUUCAGUUAAAAUUUCAUGUUUCACGUAAAGUCAUCACUAUUGGUUUCAGGUUUGGGUUUCAUUUCAGUUGAGUGUUAAUUAGUUUUUUCCCUUUCUGGAUGAUAGACACUCAUCGAUUGGUUUGUUGCAUUAGUUAGUUUCCUCUCCUGUUAUCUGAUAGGAGUUUUUGUUGCAUUAUCAUUCAAUUGAGGCAAACUGUAUGAGAUGAGCUCUUCUUCAUGCCAGGAUGGGAUGAAAUUGCGAGGGCUCACCAACUGCAGGUGGAUGACCUCCUGCUCUUCAAAUGCACUGGCAGUGGCUUGCCCAAAAAGAAGAUCAUUUCAGCUCUAGCUUGCUGCUCUCUCAAGCGACGCCGAACAACUUAUUUUCUUCCUGACCAAAUUUCUGAAAACUGAAACUGAAACAGCUCCAGGCCUGUUAAAAUUUCUGAAACUGAAACAGCUCCGGGCCCUGUUAAAAUUUCUGAAACUGAAACACCAUGUACAGGUCGUUGUACUGCGACGACACACACACCAGCCCCAUGUUCCUGAUGAUCAGAAAGGAAACAAUGCUGUCAGCCCUCAAUUUGCAAUCAAGGAAAAGAAACUGAUUUGCUUACAAAACCACCUAAUUUCUCAUAAACUGAUUUCAUCAUCUACUUGUUAUCAUCAAAACUGACCCAGCAAUAGAUUCAAUGAGAUGCUGACGGAGGGAGCACCAUGGACGUACUCUUCGGAGGACGACAUGGAGGACGGCAUGGAGGACGUCCUCGGGGUUGUGCUGGUCGGCCCACUUAUAGAGGCCUGGGCGGCAGCACGACGGCGGCGACGGAUCGAAGGGGAGGACUCAGCGCGAGGCGCCCAACACCUGGCCCUCACGGUACGCCGGCCGGCGAUGCCACUCGACUGGGAGUAUCAGCCGCAACCCGCAGAUAGAGCGCUGCCGCUGUGGAUCGGAGAGCCGGAGGGGAAAAAUCAGACUUGUCCUCGCCAUGGUUCACCAUGGGGAAAGAGGAGGGGGAAAAUGUGAGGGAAGCUGCGGUGCAGGCGUGGGCCGAUCGGGGAGCUGCGGGGGAUCUCCGACGCGGAGGCGAGCGGGGGCAAGCGGGGGAUCUCCGAUGCGGAGGCGAGCGACGGGGGGUCUCCUGCACGACAGAGGAGCGUUGUGUUUGUCGGGAGUUUGCUAGGGAGGUUUUCAAAAAAAUACCAUGAGGACAUUUAAUUUCGGACGGAGGGAGUAUUUUCAAAUAACAAUAUCUUUUAAACCGUAAAUCCAAUUUAAACAUGUUAUAUAUGAAACUUGAUUAGAAAAAUGUGUAGAGUUUGAAUAUGUUGUUAUUUUACAUAUUAAAUAUUAAAAAAAAUACUAUUUAGGAUACAAUGCUAAUCAAUAUUUGUCUUUAUUUCGUACCGACUAUUUGUAUUGUAACAUGUUAAUUUAAGCAUCAAUAUUUGGGAAAUGUUAUAAUCUUUGGACAUGAUAUAAUUGCACUAGGUUCUUUCUUUGUACAUAUUUUAUAAUCUAAGACCUUACGUACGUGUCUUUUUUUGACAGUAUCCACACACGUUUUUAUCAAUGAACUACAUUUUUUAUUUUUAUUUUUCUCCCGUUACAACGCACGGGCAUUCGUGCUAGUAUGAACUAACCCAAACUAACCCUCUUGUUUAGAACACUCGUGGUAGAGAAGGAAAUCUAAGUUUCGAGUUCCUCUCGCGGCUUCCCUGGGUUUCGAGUUCCUCUCGGCAGCCUCCCCCGCCGUGAGUCUUAUAUUCUCCUUCGAUCAAAUCCUAUUCCAUACGAACCUCGUCUCUCCUCGGCCCCUUAUCAGGCUGGCAAGGCACGAGAAUUUCUGUAGGGUUUGGUCUUUCCUCGCAAGAGGGCUAGUGUCUUUUGAAGCCAUCUAGACAAGACAAGACAAGACAGGGAGCCGGUGGAGGAUCUGCUAGGCCGUCUGGACCUUCAAGAGGAUGAGGAAGAGUAAUUCGUCUGGGAGGAGGAGUUUGAGGAUGAGCCAAUCGCAGCUAAGUGGCUUGCAAUCGUCAAGAUCCAUAACAACAAGAGUUUUAGUCCCUCGGCUCUGUACUCUGAUAUGCGAGCGGCUUGGAAUCCAGCAAGGGAAGUGCGGUGUCACAAGAUCGAAGAUAACCUGUUUACGACCAAUUUGGAUGCCUAGGUGAUUGGAAUACUGCGAUGAAUAUGGGAUCGUGGCUGUUCCGGGAUCAAGUUCUGCUAAUAGCCGAGUAUUAUGGGUUUAUGAACCCAUGUUCUGUGGUUCUGGAUAAAAUCGUUGUGUGGGCUAGAGUUCUGAAACUGCCCGACAACUUAUUGAUUCCGGCGGCAAUCAAAGGCAUGUGUCGCAAGAUGGGUAAGGUACUCGAAGUCUAGUCUACUCUCCCGGCUGGUUUCGUUGGUGAAUUUGUUCGUGUUAGGGUGAAGUGUGGAACUAACAGUGACUAAAAAGCUGAUCAGAUUUGUCUCCAUAACAAAAAGUGAGGUCACCGCAUACUAUCAAGUUCAGUAUGAAAAAUCCCUAUUUACUGCGGCAACUGUGGCAUGCUUGGUCAUUGGUACGACCGUACGAGGAGUGUGGUACGGGAGAGCAUGAUGCUUGUGGAUGGUCGAAGAGGACGUGGUAGAGGGUGUGGUUCAGGCAAAAAUUCUGGUUGGGGUAGAGGAGGUGUUGGUCGUGGUGGUACCUCCUUUGGACAUGGACGUGGUAGGGGUGCUCCCCCCUUUGUUCCUGGUCGGGGUAGAGGUGACCUGUCGGAUGGUAUCAAUGGUAUGAGCAAUAUGAUGAGUUGGCGUCACAAUGCGUUGUUUAAUAAAGAUGGAGUGCAGGACAUGGAGACAAAGACAAGUGCAUUAAUUCUGAAUAGCAAUCAGGAUGUUCAAACAGGGAACAUGCGAGGGAAAAGAAUUGCUGAACAUGCAAACGUAUUUGCAAUGGGAAAUACUAAUGUUCCCACACUCCCGACGAGCUCGGCGAUGACACUGGACAAGAAUAAUGGGGCAAUGGUUCCGGCUGGGUGCACGGCUAACAUCAUUGUUCAGUUUGAUGGGGGUGGAGAGCCACCAAAGGAAGGUCUUAUGACUACUUCACAAGAAAAUGUGAGCAGAAAGAAGCUCAAAGGUACAGAUGGUGUAGCCAUUGAUAGUUCUUCUAUAGGAGAAUCGGUGGCCUCCACGACGGAGGACCGCCGGGCGCAAUGAAAACCCUGGCAUGGAACUGUCGUGGAAUGCUUUCAAACAUGGCAGUUCGAGAGCUCUUGGAUCUACAAGGGCGUUUGAAAGCAGAUGUGAUCUUCUUGUCUGAAUCACAUCUGAAUACUGUUAAGGCAAAUGAAAUUCGAGUGAAGAUAGGUUUUGAUUGUAUCCAUAUAGUUGACAGUCGGGAGGGCUUGUACUCUUUUACAAUCUUUCUCAUGAAGUUGUGUUAAAUUAGUCCUCGCCCAAUUUCAUAGAUGGUUUUGUGACGGAUGGUAACAAUGUGGCGUGGCGUGGCGUCUCACAUGCUUUUAUGGAGAGCCUUCUUCGGAGAUGAAACACGUGUCCUGGACAUAUAUGCAGAAUCUUCGUAACAAUGCUAUAGGGCCAUGGACGGUUAUUCGAGAUUUUAACGAAAUCCUAUAGGAUGCAGCCAGAACUGGGCGGCGACGGCGGCGGCGAGGGGACUCGGGGUGAGGCGAGGCGAGGGCUAGAUGGUGUGGAGAACGACCAAUGUACCACCGAUUGGCGGGCCAGGGAAUGGUGGAAGCGCGCGUCGUGCGUCCGUUUUAUGUCCGCGCCGACCCAAAUCAGGCUAAGAAUUGAACCGGGAAUGGAUCGGCAACCGGACGAAAAGCGGACACGCGUCCGUUCGGGUCGGCGCGUUGGAGUUGCUCUUAGGCCUUCCCCAAAAAAAACACUUAGGUCUUAGGGUGUGACCACUAACCAGUCCACAACAUCUUAAUUAACCAAGUUGUAUGUGUGUAUAUAUAUAUCUUUAUACUUUACAUACAGAUUUAAGAACGUAGUUGCAGGAAAAUACACUUUGGUUCCUAGUUGUAUAUGCAUCUUAUAUGAUGAUUUUUUAAUAAUUAAUUAAAAAUCUAAAUAGUUUUGAAGUAUCUUUAUAUUAAACAUGACUUUGUUUUGCACUAGUAUAUAAUUUUUUAUGAAAAAAGUCAACAUUGAUAUCUGGGUAAAAAGAUAAAAUACACUAUAUUUUGAUUAAAAAUUGUUUUUUUUAAAGAAGUCAAAAUAUAAUUUUCUUUUUAUGGACCUGUUCUCACAAGUAUAAUGGAUGGUCAAGUUUAUUUCAAUUUUUUUGACAUUUUGUUGAAUUGCUAUUUUUUUUACAUAUAAGAUGUAUAUACAGCCAGGUUUCAAAAGUCCCCUUCCCGUUGCUGUACUCCCUCUUAGAGUGGAGACCGAAAGGAGCAUGGAAGUUUCUAGCCGAUAUGUUGAUGUGACAAUAUACAUGCUCCCUCAGUUUUAAUUUACUUUGCAUGUUAGUUUUCUCUUAAGUCAAAAUUCAUAACUUUGAACUAAGUUAUUAAUAUUUUUUAUUAUCAUCUACAAUAACAAGUUAAUAUGUGUAGAUUCACCAUUGAUUAUUUUUUCAUAUUUUUUUAUUUUUGUUGUUGUAAAUGUGCAUAUUAUUUUUUAUAUACUUGAUCAAAUUGUAUAAGAUUUGACUAAGGACAAACUUACUUUGGAGAAUAAAUAAAGAAAGAGGAGUACUAUGUUUUAUACUACAUCUGUUUCUAAACAUAAGUAUCUUUAGAUAUUUCAUUAUAGACUACAUACACAGCAAAAUAAAUAAAUCUACAUUUUAAAGUAUGUAUAUAUACAUCCGUAUGUAAUUUGUAGUAAAAUCUCUAAAAAUACUUUUGUUUAGGAACAGAGGGAGUACUUACCUCUGGAAGCUACUUUGACCACUGAUCGAGUCAGUUGCAUGAAUGACUUACAGUGUCCAUGUACUUUUUUGUAGAAAAGGAGGCAUCGCCCCGGCCUCUGCAUCGAGUGAUGCAUGCAACAUUUUAAUUGAAUAAUGUAAAAAGAGUCCGAUCCGAGUACAUCAAUCUGAGAAACCCAGAAAAUAAAGAUACAAAGCACCAUAUGCGCCACAACCAGCAAUGGUAAUAGAACUAGAUGACUAGCCACCUUUCCUAUUAUUGAGUCGCCAUCCAAACCGGUUGAAGAUAUCCUGAGCUACCAUCUUCCAGCGGGCACACCCAGUAACCAUAGGCUCCCUGGCUUCCGCAGGAGUGAGUAAUAAGCACGUGUGGAUCAAGGCGGUAGCCCUGAAGAUAACCUGCAAAAAAUGAUAGAUUUGCAUCUGUUAAAUACUAAAUCUUUCCUGCAGUUCCAAAUAGCCCACAGCAAUGCACAGGUUCCCACACGAAUAAUCUUUGCCAAAUUAGCAUCAACACCCACUACCCACGUCCCAAACAACGUGUUAAUACUAUUAGGGGGGAUGAUAUUAAAAGCAAUGUGAAUAGAGCGCCAUAAGAGUUCAGCCAUAGGGCAGGCGAGAAAGAGGUGCUUAAUGGUUUCAUUGUUGUGACAGAAGUUGCAUCUUUGGUUGCCUUUCCAAUUACGUUUUGCCAAAUUGUCCUUCGUUAGAAUAACUCCUUUGUGGACAAACCACAUGAAGAUAUUUAUCCUCAACGGUACUUUGACCUUUCAUAUAUGUUUGGAUUUUUGAAUCGGCCCCAAAUCUAUGAGAUGAAGAUACAUAGAUUUUACAGUAAAAGCUCCAUUUUUAGUCAACUUCCAUUGAAUAGUGUCUGGUAUAUCCGAAAGUUGGAUGUCCAUUAACCUUCUGACAAGGUGAAGCCAACUGGUCCAUCUGUUACCUAUUAAGGAUCUGCGAAACUGAAUAAUAUUUAGAGGCGUGUGGCUCAAUAUUGUCGCAACGGACGCUUGUCUACGUUGGACAAUAUUGUAUAAUUACAGAUAUUGCAGGGCUAGUGGCACUUCCCCUAACCAUGUAUCUUACCAUAAUCUGGUAGAUUCACCAUUACCAAUGAUAAACCUAGUCCGUUGGAAAAAGGCAUUUUUUGACCUCAUUAAUCCUUUCCCGAAAGGAGAGUCAUUCGGUCUUAUGGUCGCCUGUGCUAAGGUCUUAUUUUGCAAGUACUUAUUCCUCAUAAUUUGUACCCACAUGCCUUCAGUUUCCACUCGUAUUCUGUACCCACAUGCCUUCAGUUUCCACUGAUAUUCUGUACAAGUAUCGGUCUACUUGUUUUGAACGUGAUGCCUAUAGAUAUAAUCAUUGCCAUAGAUGACGUCACGACUUUGCGCGGUUUUAUCAAUUGCUCGACAGUAAUUCGUUCACCCACCGUCUACUUGCUUUCAUGAGAGAAGCCACUAGUAAACACUACGGCCCCCGGGUCUAUUCACACCUAUCGUUUACACCUCCGCUUUUACUUUGCUUUGUUACUUUGUUGUUUUUAGUUCUCACUUGACAAACAAUCUAUAAGGGAUUGACAACCCCUUCAUAGCGUUGGGAGCAAGCUUUUUGUGUUUGUGCAGGCACGUACUUGUGAUACUCCUUCACUGGAUCGAUACCUUGGUUCUCAAAACUGAGGAAAAUACUUACCACCGCUGCGCUACAUCACCCCUUCGAGGGAACACCAAUGCAAGGCUCCAAGGCCACGGGGAAAUCCUUUGCAUAUUUGCCUAGGAAGUCCCUAAAGGCGUAGCCGUAGCACAAGGAUUCCUGGUGCCGUUGCUGAGGAGUAUCAAAAACAGUCUCCCGUCAGCACGUGUUUAUGGCGCCGUUGGAAGGUCUUUUGUUGCAUCAGCACAUACCUAUUUCAAUCUCGUUAUCGGCAAGUCUCUUUACUCGUUCUGUAAUACAAGAUCCCGUGACUUACACUUAGUCACAUUUCUUGCAAGGCUUGUGUGUGAUGUUGUAUUACCGAGUUGGCCCCAAGAUAUCUCUCCGUCACACGGAAUGACAAAUCCAAGUAUUGAUCCAUACUAACUAAACAGACACCUUCGGAGAUACCUGUAGAGCACAUUUAUAGUCACCCAGUUACGUUGUGACGUUUGAUGCACACAAGGUAUUCCUCCAAUGCCAGUGAGUUAUAUGAUCUCAUGGUCAUAGGAAACAAAUACUUGACACACAGAAAAUAGUAGUAAUAAAAUGACACGAUCAAUAUGCUACUUUCAUAGUUUGGGUCUAGUUCAUCACAUGAUUCUCCUAAUGAUGUGAUCCAGUUAUCAAGUGACAACACUUGCACAUAGGCACAAAACCUUGACUAUCAUUGAUCAACUGGCUAGCCAACUAGAGGCUUGCAAGGGACAUUGUUCUGUCUAUGUAUCCACACAUGUAUCUACGUUUUCAUUCAAUACAAUUAUAGCAUGGAUAAUAAACGAUUAUCUUUAAACAGGAAAUAUAAUAAUAACUAUUUAUCAUUGCCUCUAGGGCAUAUUUCCAACAGUGGCUUUGAAUGGUGCAUACUGACCUCACAAAUAGUCUGGAGUUAAACUAUGUUAAAAAAUGAAAUCCCUUUGUAAUAGAUGAGUUUUCGUCCGAAACUCUGGUGCUCCGAAAAAAAUUGUCCAGUUUAUACACGAAUUGCAUCCAGCUUUUUUCAUAACCCUAUAAACUUUUUAGCACAUGUUGUGUGGGUGAAAUUAUGAUACUAUGCCAAGUUAGUACAUGUUGUGUGGGUGAAAUUAUGAUACCAUGCCAAGUUUUAACCUUUUCAGAAUUCAUUUGUAGUGCUUUUCAAUUUCAGGGUCAUUAAACUCAAAAAAAUGCAUGGAAAAUAGCAAAUAAAGUCAGGAAAGGGUCGAAAUUUCAUGAGGUCGCUUUCAAUGGAGCAUAUUGACCUCACAAACAGCGUGGAGUUAAAGUGUGUUCAAAAAAUGAAAUUCUUUUGUAAUAGAUGAGUUUUUAUCCGAAACCCUGAUAUUUCGAAAGAGAUUGUCCAGUUUGUACACGAAGUGCAUCCAGUUUUUGCCGUAACCCUCUCAACUUUUUAGCGCAAGCUAUGUGGGUGAACUUAUGAUACCAUAUCAAGUUUCAACCUUUUCAAAGCUCAUUUGUAGUGUUUUUUUUAAUUCCGGGGUCAUUUAGCUCAAAAAAAUCAUUAAAUGCAUCAAAAUAGAAAAAUUAACUCUGGAAAGGUUUGAAAAUUGAUGAUGUGACUUUGAAUUGUGCAUAUUGACCUCGCAAAGAGUCUGGAGUUAAACUAAGUUCUAAAAAAUGAAAUCCCUUUGUAACACAUGAGUUUUCGUCCGAAACCUUGAUACUUCGAAAGAGAUUGUCCAGUUUGUACACGAAAUGCAUCUAGUUUUUGUCGUAACUCUCUCAAAAAUUUGGCACAAGUUAUAUGGGUGAAAUCAUGAUACCAUGCCAAGUUUCAACGUUUUCAGAGUUCAUUUCUAGUGCUUUUCAAUUCGAGGGUCAUUUAGCACAAAAAUUGAUGAAAAGCAUGAAAAAUAAAAAAUGAUGUCAGGAAAGGGUUGAAAAUUUGAUUACGUGGCUUUGAAUGAUGCAUAUUGACCUCACAUACAGUACGGAGUUAAACUAAGUUAUAAAAAAUGAAAUCUCUUUUGUAACACAUGAGUUUCGUCCGAAACCGUGAUUUUUCGAAAGAGAUUGUUCAGUUUAUACACGAAGUGCAUCCAAUUUUUGCCGUAACCCUGUCAACUUUCUAGCACAUGCUGUGUGGGUGAAUAUAUGAUACCAUGCCAAAUUUUAACCUUUUCAGAAUUUAUUUGUACUGCUUUUCAAUUUCAGGUUCAUUUAGCUCAUUUUUUUAUUAAAUACAUGAAAAAUAGAAAAUGAAGUCAGAAAAGGAUAGAAAAUUAAUUAUAUGACUUUGAAUGGUGCAUACUGAACGCACAAAAAGUCUGGAGUUAAAAUAAGUUCUAAAAAAUGAAAUCCCUUUAUAACAUAUGAGUUUUCGUCUAAAACCCUCAUACUUCGAAAAAGAUUGUCUAGUUUAUACACGAACUGCAUCUAGUUUUUGUCGUAACCCACUCAAUUUUUUAGCACAUGCUGUGUGAGUGAAAUUAUGAUACCAUACCAAGUUUCAACCUUUUCAGUUUUUAUUUAUAGUGCUCAUCAAUUUCAGGAUCAUUUAGCUCAAAAAAAUCAUUAAAUGCAUGAAAAAUAGAAAAUGAAGUCAAAAAAGGUUUGAAAAUUAAUUACGUGACUUUGAAUGGUGCAGAUUGAAUGCACAAAAAGUCUGGAGUUAAAUAUUUUUCUAAAAAAUGAAAUCCCUUUGUAACACAUGAGUUCUGGUCCGAAAGAGUGAUACUUCGAAUAAGAUUGUCCAGUUUGUACACGAAGUGCAUCUAGUUUUUGUUGUAACCCUCUCAAUUUUUAGCACAUGUUGUGUGGUUGAAAUUAUGAUAUCAUGCCAAGUUUCAAUCUUUUCGGAGUUUAUUUGUAGUGCUUUUCAGUUUCACGGUCAUUUAGCUCAAAAAAUCAUUAAAUACAUGAAAAAUAGAAAAUGUAGUCACAAAAGGGUUAACAAUUAAUUAUGUAGUUUUGAAUGUUGCAUACUGAACCCACAAAAAGUCUGGAGUUAAAAUAAGUUCUAAAAAAUGAAAUCCCUUUAUAACAUAUGAGUUUUCGUCUGAAACCCUCCUACUUCGAAAAAGAUUGCCUAGUUUAUACACGAACUGCAUCUAGUUUUUGUCGUAACCCACUCGAUUUUUUAGCACAUGCUGUGUGAGUGAAAUUAUGAUACCAUGCCAAGUUUCAACCUUUUCAGUGUUUAUUUAUAGUGCUCUUCAAUUUCAGGAUCAUUUAGCUCAAAAAAAUCAUUAAAUGCAUGAAAAAUAGAAAAUGAAGUCAAAAAAGGUUUGAAAAUUAAUUACGUGACUUUGAAUGGUGCAGAUUGAAUGCACAAAAAGUCUGGAGUUAAAUAUUUUUCUAAAAAAUGAAAUCCCUUUGUAACACAUGAGUUCUGGUCCGAAAGAGUGAUACUUCGAAUAAGAUUGUCCAGUUUGUACACGAAGUGCAUCUAGUUUUUGUUGUAACCCUCUCAAUUUUUAGCACAUGUUGUGUGGUUGAAAUUAUGAUAUCAUGCCAAGUUUCAAUCUUUUCGGAGUUUAUUUGUAGUGCUUUUCAGUUUCAGGGUCAUUUAGCUCAAAAAAUCAUUAAAUACAUGAAAAAUAGAAAAUGAAGUCACAAAAGGGUUAACAAUUAAUUAUGUAGUUUUGAAUGGUGCAUACUGAAUGCACAAAAGUCUGGAGUUAAAAUAAGUUUAAAAAUGAAAUCCGUUUGUAACACAUGAGUUUUCGUCCGAAGCAUUCAUACUUUGAAAGAGAUUGUCAAAUUUGAACACGAAGUGCAUCCAAUUUUUGCCUUAACCCUCUCAACUUUUUAGCACAUGUUGUAUGGGUGAAAUUAUAAUACCAUGCCAAGUUUCAACCUUUUCAGAGUUAAUUUGUAAUGUUUUUUAAUUUCAGGGUCAUUUAGCUAAAAAAUCAUUAAAUGCAUGAAAAGUAGAAAAUGAAGUCACAAAAAGUUUGAUUCAUGUCAUAGUGAUCACAGAACAGAGUAGCAAAUACUAGGCAUAUAAUAAAACCAUCUACGCAUCGGGAUAAACGAGUACGCGGCGAACGGGACGGAGUCGCCGACGGCAGCAGCAACAAAGGAAUGAGCACGCGGUGGGCGACGGAGGAGUGCGCGAGGGCCUCUUUUUUUCUCACUCUUCAAUAGCAUAUAGAAGAGUGACCCUUAUAAAGUGGUCCAACUUCUUCUCCACUAGCGGGGUGGGACUAAACUUUCCACCACCACUUUGUUAUGCCACCACCUACAUGGGUCCUUAGAGAUUUUCUGAAAUUGUCUCAUGGGCCUUAGGCCCAUCUCAGAUUUCAACAACAUGUUUACCACUCAUCUCGCAGCAGGUUUUUCCUCAGCUUCAUGUCUCAUCGGCCAGCGGCGGGCAACUAGCGGCAAGCCUUCUUGGCCGACUACCCGUGGUUGUCUAGCUUGUCGAAAUUGCUAUUAGCCUACGACCAAGGCCAGAACGAUUUUUUCGAGGCGAUCUACACAGCGAGUCCUCUUCCCCUAAUCGUCGCUCUAUGAAGGGGUGUUGGUUUCUUCCACGAGAACAAGUUGAAUCAAGGACUUGGCGGCCGGCUGCUGGCCGCGUGGAAUUCUUGUUCAACGACAAGACAACUAAUAGUAGACUAGCAACCAGUAGGCUCCUAUGGUGGUUUUGAAGAAGAACAGAGAACAUGAAUGCUAUAAUCGAGAGAUUGGUUCUGCUCCAUUCAUGGCUUUGACUUUUGUAGCGCCGUUACAUGAAGCUAGGUCCUAAUUUGUAUUAAGACGAGAGAAGACGCGGUACUAUGAACUCCAUGAGUUAAACAGAUUACUCAGUUGGGGGAUGUCUUUGGAGAAGAAGAUGCUUUGUGAUUGGUACGCAACACGUGUCCUCAUCUGGAUGGGGUCUCACACGAUGAAGAAUGAGACCUGGUCUUAUAGGAUAUUUUUCCGUGAAAAGAAGUAUUUGAAGUUCUUUCUACUUCUUCUAAAGGAUUUUAUUCUUACAUUUGAAAUUGACACUAAGGAUUGGGUUUUAAUCCAGUUUGAACAUCCUAUAUUAUUUUCUAGCAUUUCUUUAGCCUGAACCGUAGGCCGUCCUUACUCCUUAGGCUUUGUUUGGUACUAGUGUAUUUUAGGGAAUUUGUGGGGAUUAUCUCGGUCAAACCCCUCAAUCCCCACAUAUCCCAUAACACCAUUUGAUUCUAGUGUAUUUAACAUGUUUUAUCCCCACAUUUCCGCUCAAAUCUCCAAAUUAUAGUGCAUUUUACUCAAUACCAAUACACUACCCAUAUCUAGUGUAUUGGGGAUAAAUGGGGAUUUGAAGGGAUUGGAUGAAGGUUGGGAUUUCACCCAAUUCCUUGGGGGAUUAUCCCCAUCAAUCUUCUCAAAACACUAGUACCAAACAAGGCCGUAGUGUGUGGAACAACCAAUCGAUUGGACAAUAUAGUGAGGGACUUGCUAAUCAUGUCACAAGAACUGGUCAGACUGCUAAUUACUUGCAAGGAAACUUGUUUUCUGUAUUGAGGAAAUUGCAAGGAAAUUUCCAGGGAGAUACUACUACUAAAUAUUAAGUCCACACUGCAUAAUUCGCCUUCAUAUAUACUUGAUCAUAACUUGAUAAGCAAGCAAGCAAGCUUAUGUACAGGAAAUAUAGUCCGGUCUAUAAUGAAAAACAUACUAGCAACUGAUUACUCGCGUCGAUCUUUGUGUCUACGUACUACUAGUAUACCGACAAUGUGAGGUCUUGAAAAUAUCAAAGGGGAGAUGUGCACCAGCUGCAUGCUAUUGUGUGGCUUCGUCUUGAAUACAAACAAUCCAGACCCCUCCGCCAGGAUCGACAAUCAGGAUAAGAUCGUAGCCGGGAGGCAUCAGCGGCGCCAUGAUAGAGAUCAUAUCUAGAAAGAGAAUAACAUAUGGCGUACUCCGUAAGAAUCAAUACACCAAGAGAAGGAAGAAAACUUAAGAAAUUAAGUACCGUUGCGCGGCGAAGAUGGACGUAAGAGAUGUCGGUCGAUUGAUCGACGAGGUAGCUCGAGGUGGUCCGUCGAUCGCCGCAGGCUGCGUGGUUGAGGAGAGUGGCUUUGGGAGCUCGGGGUUGCAGGGGAGAGGGAGAGAGGCUUCUGCGGCGAGGAUGGAUGGAGCAGACACUCUAUUUGUAGGAUUAUAGUAAUUAACUUGUAAAGUAUACUAGUGCCACUAGCGGGUAUUACGCGGGGGGCAGUGGCGGUUGAGGAGACGUAUGUACGUACGUGGCGCCCUGCCCGAGAAUGCUUGUGUAAGUGGAGAAUGUACGUAUCUCCGGAGACGGAGAGGGUAUGUAGGUGUAUAGGAAGUUUCCAUGAGCCAGCAGACAGAAGCCCAGCAUGCGGGCAUGCACGUAGCCCCUCUCGGCUGUACUUACGUAAGUGUAGCAUUAUUCUCUCGCAAUAAUGUUGUACUUACGGGAUGAAUUCUACGGACUGAGGUGGCGUGCAGCCAUGUAACUGCGAGACUCAAGUUCAGAACAAAUGCUUUAAGUCUUCCAACUGAAUAAAGCCACGUUGCGUCCGUAACUUUAGUGCGUAGCUAUUUUUCGUAAGUGUAGCAUUAUUCUCCCGCUCUCGUGUGCAUGCCGCGCCACCGUCGGUUCGGCCGCGUCCGCCACGGUUGCCAGGUCCAAGUCAAGUCGAGCUUCAUGUCGAUCUGCCUCGGACGCCGGGAGCCGUGAGCGGGGAUGUAUACAUGUCAAUGUCAACGCGUGAUGGACGCGUACUUGUUGGUUUAGACAACGCAUUAUUUCUAUAGCUGGCUGUAUUUUGCAUAUGCUCUGUGCAGAAAAAUAACCUAACUCUACGCAACUAGACUGCGCUUAGAUAAUACUCCAUCCGUUUUAAAAUAUAAGACUUUUUAGAAAUUACACUAGGAGACUACAUACGGAACAAAAUGAGUGAAUCUACGUUAACAUGUCUAUGUACAUCCGUAUGUACUCCCUCCGUUCCUAAAUAUAAGUCUUUUUAGAUAUUCCACUAGUGGACUAUAUAAGGAUGUAUAUAGACAUACUUUAGAAUAUAGAUUCAUUCAUUUUGCUCUGUAUGUAGACUACUAGUGAAAUCUCUUAAAAGACUUAUAUUUAGGAACGGAGGGAGUAGUUCAUAGUACAAUAUCUAAAAGGUCUUAUAUUUAGGAACGGAGGGAGUACUAAGGGCAUGAACAAUUGUGCUAUCUUAGAAGUGUCACAUAGGAUAAAUAAUGAGGUGAAGGAGAGAGAACUUGAAAAAAAAUUGCCUUCUCUUAUUUAAAAGAAGACAAGAGGUGAUCUCUUAGCACAAUAUGUCUCACCAUAUUUUUAGGAAUAACUAAUUAUAGAAGGUAAGGCUAAGAGAUAAUCCGUUAUAGUCUUUCUUUUUUGUCAUCUUUAAAUUAUAUGCAAGAUGUAAAAUAAGACUAUCUUAUCAAUCAUUAUACGUGUCCUAAUAUGAAAACAUGUUGCCUUCAAUUUCCGAACAAAAAUGGGAACACGCGUUGUCUUUCUCUCGGGUUAGAGCGGGGAUGCUUCGUCAUGCAUGCUUUUACUUCCAGCCCAGGCUGCUUCCAAUGUGUGUGACGUUGGGGCUAAUUAUUAGCAUGCGCAGGUUAUGAUUAAGCGGGAAUCACAUAAGUAAAUCAUCCGAUGACUGGAAAUUUCUUGCCAAGAGUCCAUGCAAUUUUCUAGGAAACUGGCGCUCCUACUUUUGUUUUUAUUUAAAGGAGUGGAUGGGACAGUUUAAGUAUGUACUCCUCUUCCGGCCCGAGUCAGUUGCGUAAUGACUUGAACAUGUCUACAAGUACAAAAUUCAAAAUGCCGUGGCAGUUCGUAAAGAAAGUCAAUUUAACUUGUGUACGUCCAAGUACAAAAAAUAGGAGUAUAUAUAUUUUUAGGGGAUUUUAGAAUACUACUCCAUGCUCUCUUUUUUAGAACUAGCAAAAGGACCCGUGCGUUGCAACAGGAGAAAAAAAUUACCACGCGUUUUUAAUCUUUUUAUAAUCAUUUUGAUUUAUUAAAAUAAUAAGCUAACUAAUUAAUGUAGUCAGUCCUAUCCUAUUUUGUUUAAAAAUCAACCCGUCCAUUAUUAAUUUCAUCAUGAUGAGAAAUUGAGCGGGACAAGCAAAGCAAAAUAAAGAGGCUACGUGAAUUGAUCAAUGGACUGUUAUCUUAUUUCACUCAUGGGGUAGAGAAUGUGGGAUCAGAUGACAAACUGAAGGUGGUGUUUCAUUCUCUCUCUCUACAACAAUGCAAUCUUACAUUCAAUACAUUCAUUCAUCAGCAAACAAAUUCCCACAAAACAAAAUUUCUUGCCGGUGCUUCGCACAUGGUUGGAGGCAUGGGGAGGGGAUCUCACAAGAUGAUGAGUUCCUGCCGGAGGAGGGGAUACGAUGAGGGGAGCAAGGGUUAGGCGCCUCUAUCUGGCCAUAAGGAGUCGCCGUUGCCGCGCCAUAACCUCGGAGUUUCCCGUGUGAGCCAUGGAGGCCCGCCUCCACCUGCAAGUACUUCUCUCCGCCGCGCCUUAUCCGCGCUCCGCCACCGUUCUGCAUCGAGCAGACGCAUCAUCCCAAGUCGUUGUAGUCGUCGCGUUGAUUUGAUCCAGAAGCUGAGCUCGAGCGCCAAAACGGGGGCAGCAAGCGUGCAGAGGUACGACCGCGAAGGCGGGUGGGUUGAGAUCGACAACAGUGGUGAUUGAGGUCAGCCGCGGCGGCGAGUGGUGUGCCAGCGGCCUAGGCACAGGCCAGGGUGGUCCAGGGUCGACGCAAGCGCUCGAGCGCCGCAACGGAGGCAAUGAGCGGGGAGAGGUACAGCUGCGGAGGCGGGUGGGUUGAGAUCGGCAGCGGUGGCGGUUGAGGUCGGCCGCGGCGGCGAGUGGUGUGGCGGCGGCCUGGGCACAGGCCAGGGUGGCCCAAGGUCGACGGGAGUAGGCGAUGCGUACGGGUAUAAUUUUUGCAGCGAGUCUUUUUUCCUUUUGCGUUGCAGAUAAAUGAUGGAGCGCGGGUUGAAUAACAAAAAUUACAGGGAUUUUUUUAUAAAAAUGUCAUGGUGGAUUUUCCGACGAAAGCAAUAGCCGCUUUAUUAUUAGGUAUAGAUUUACUAGCAAAAAAGUUUGUGCGUUGCAACGGAAGCAAACCAUAUACAACACGUCUUAACCUAACUAGUUAAAUGCACGUGCGUUGCCACGACAUAACAAAAUUAAAAAAUAAUGAUUUUGUUGUGUCCUAAGUAUUAUACAUCGUCUUAUGCCACUAAUUUUACGCAUGCAGGUAUCUUACUUUUUUCCUUUUCUUUUUCUUUUCUUUUCAUAUUUGAUCAAAGUCACUUAGAUGAGCAAUAACUAUAGCACAUCUAGAUAGGUCCUAGACAGACCCUAGAAAUAAAGACAUUAGUCAAAACAUCAUUGUACUUUAUGUCACGUGUGUUGCCACGACAUAACAAAAUUAAAAAUAACAAUUUUGUUGUGUCCUAAGUAUUAUACAUCGUCUUAUCCCACUAAUUUUACGCAUCUAGGUAUCUAUUUUUUUUCCUUUUCUUUUCAUAUUUGAUCAAGUCACUUAGAUGAGCAAUAACUAUAGCACAUCUAGAUAGGUCCUAGACAGACCCUAGAAAUAAAGACAUUAGUCAAAACAUCAUUGUACUUUACGUCUUAUAAUCACACAGACUUACAAGUAUGUUGCGAUAAAUAUCUUCUUAUUGUUAAUUUAACAUAAUCAAGGUGACUCAUAAUCAAAUUGUAGGUGAACAUAUUUAUCAUCAAUUUAACACAUCAGUCUAGGUCGAUGCAUUUGAUGAAUUUCGCACGACGUGGGGGCUAUGAACUUCAUGUCCAUUGCCGUCACAAGGGCUCACAUCCACGGUAAACAUGCAUGGCCGUCACAAUAAAUUCUUGUCCGGCCAGGCAAAACUGAUCACUUUUCUCAAAGUUAAUCAUUGUUGGUGCACUUUCCCCGACGUCUUUACCAUCAGAAAGUACAAUCCGACAGUCCUCAUGAGAAGUUAGUCCGUACAAAUAAGGUAGGAAGAAAAAACAAACUUGUAUGAUCAAAUGGAAGGGUCCAUCAGUGAAAAGGGCUACAUUGGUUCGGUGGAUGUGAAAAACACUGGAAUGUCCAUAUCUCAUCUCCAGGCUCAUUUUAGACAUAAGAAGUGAUCUCUCAUCAUCAAAUCCAUAGACUAUCCUACAAACAGCAUUCAGGUAAGAAACAAAUGUUCAGGAAGCAGUUGAGCGUAGCUCAGAUAUCAGUUACUGAUGUUUCAUGCCCUGCACCUCUCUAGCAAAAAAUUGCUACCCUGACUAAAUAAAAAUAUAUAGAGAGCAACCUCUGUUAUAUAUCUCAAAGUUCAUUUAACCUCUCUUCUUCUCCCUCCGUCCGGAAAUACUUGUCAUAGGAAUAAAUAUAUUCAGAUGUAUUUUAGUUUUAGAUACAUUCAUUUUUAUCAAUUUAUGCAACGAGUAAUUUCAAACAGAUGGAGUAUGUAUUUAAGAUUUCACACUUGCAUAGAACCGCCUGUCUUGUGUGUCUUCUUACCUUGUGUAUUCUUUGAUUUUGACGUUCUACCUUCACAAAGUGAAGUGGGUAACAUGGCAUCUUCUUAAUUGGUACUCCCUCCGUCCCAUUACAAGUGUCCCUCAAGCAGAUGUAUCUAGCAUAGAAAUACAUCUAGAUACAUAUGUUUGAACGAAUGGGACGGAGGUAGUAUAGUUCAUAACCAUAUAAAGAUGAUCUGAAGAGCACACAACCAGUCCCCACAUAAAUUGGUCCUUGAAUGCAAUCGAUACCUCUCAAGUCAAUCUGCAAUAAACAUAUACAGACGUUAUCAAAUGGAUUUUACGAAAAAUCAUAUCCAACAACAACUUUAAACUACUUAGUACCAGUGUGAAUAAGAAAGCGAUAUACACAAUAACUUAACACCAAAAAAACAGUGUUCUUGUUUACAUGUCUAUCAUUCGUAUCAAUAACGUCGAACCUAUCAAGGAAUUUGACAUAAUAGGUUUUCUUUCCUGGACUAUUGUCCAUAUGGAAGCACCCAGGCUCACUUGAAGUAUUGCUAACUUGCUAUUGUUGAUGUACUGGUCACAGACAAGUUUCAACAAGUAUCAUCCAUUAGUAACGACAGCUUAUGCACGAACCUAUAUAAAGCAUUCAAAAUCAAUUACAUAUAGAUAAUCGAAGUAUAUAUGUCAACUUAUGAUUUCAAUGAAACGUUCAACUUUGAUUAUAUCUUGAUAAUCAAAAUAUAUAUAUCAACUUCCGAUUUCAGUGACAUUAAACUACUCACAAAUGUAUUCAAGGAACCAACUUUCUUUUGAUGUUGGACGUUUAGAGCAUCUCUAGCAUACCCCGUAUAUUCGUCAGAACUGUAAAAUUCCGGCGAUUAUACGGGUUUGGACUGUUUUUGUGCCAUACUAGGUACCGUAAACGCGGCCCGACCCGUAAUUUUUUUGGUGGCCCGUAAACGCGACUGCUCGACAUCUAUAUCUACAGGUUCGGCCGCUAGAUGCAGGUCAAAACACUAUCCCUCCGCCACCGCGAAAAGUCCCCCGCCUCACCGCUGGCGCCUCAGAUCCACCGCCGCGCGCCUCCAUUCCGCCGCAUAGCCGCUCCAUUCCACCGCCCUUGAUGGCCAACUCCGGCAGCCGUAGGAACGACGGCCCCGAGAGGGCUCGUCGCGUCAAAUCCGAUGCCGCCGUCGGUACACGCAAUGGGGCAUGACGCUGCCGCCGUCGCUCCUCCGUCGCGAGAUAGAGGAGUACGGCCGUGCGUGCGGCCGCCUCUUCUUCGGCAGCUCCUUCGAGGCAUCGAGCUCGCGCUCCUCCCUCCCCCGGUGAAGAGGGAGCUCGAGGAGCUCCAGUCGGUGAAGAUGGAGCCGGAGGCCGAGGCGUUGCCAGAGCGACGUGCUGGGGGCGUCGUCGGACCUGAGGAUUUCCUCCCCCAAUGAAGGCGGAUAGCCUUUUGCCCGCGCUGUUGGCGCGGAGUGUGUGGGAGGCGGAAAAGGGCCAGCAGUGCUGUCAGAGGGAAGAGGAGAUCGACACCGUGCUCUACGAGCAGGGUGUCACGUCAGCCCUCGCCUUCGGCCACAAGGUGGAGGAGUGGCGCCGCGAAGCGGCUGUGCAGGAGCGCAUCUACGUUGAGCUCUCCUCCGAUGAGGACGACGACUGAGUGCACUCUGCAUCUACUACCGCACGAGCUCGAUUCCGGUGAGCUCAAUUUUGCGUAGUGCGGUAGGAUAGCUAGUAGCUCUAGUGAGCUCCGGUGAGCUCCAGUAGGUUAGCUUACCUCUAUCCCCUCUAAUAAGUGAUGCCCUCUGAAUGUAGUUUGUAUGAUCGUCUACUAUGUAAUGAACUAUGAAUGACUGUGGUUCCAAUUUCGCCCGCAAAUGUUUUUUUUAAAUUAUGCAGUUUGAUUAUACAGGGUCUGUUCUGCAGCGCAACAUUUCGCCCCGCAAAACCCCACUUCGUCAAACUAUAAAACGCUUUUGCAGGUCGCAAAUAUGCGGGGUCUGCUGAGUUGCUCUUAGCAUGAGAUAGAGAACCCAUAAGAUUCCUUAUUGUCACUAUGAAAGCCUCCACUCUGAACAAGGAUGAACUGAAUAUGACCAGAAAUUUGAUUUAGAAAAUGGUUAAUGUAAUAAUCAGUUUGCUGACAUUUAUAGAUCUUAAUCAAAUAACCAUCUUUCUAGGAUGCAUGGACCCUAGCAAGGUGUGCCAUCUUGCAUGGCGAUCCAUCCCUGGAAACUUUCUCGGUGUUGGCCAAAAAGGAUAUUAGAAUGAACUUUGAACUCUUUGUAUUUUCUGUGGCAUUUAAUACUUGGCAACUUUAAGCUCUUUGUAUUUUCAUGUCAAACAGUAAGCAUGGCAUAGAUACAUCAACUGGAAUAUGAUGUUGCAAAGAGCCUAGCAAAUUAACAAAAAUGUAUAUCAUGCAUGAUCCAAACCAAAUCUACAUAUGAAGUUCUAAAUCAUACACUGCAACAUCCAAGGAAACUGAAAGGAAAAAACUCCCGACAUUUGGAGACAUGAAUUAUUGCUCUGUAGCGAAGCAAAUUGUAGAAUGGAAGAAUUGAUACCGACUGGUUAAGCUGCACAAAGUGGAAUCUUUUUGAGUGAUAAUAUCCCCACUUAUUUGCCAAGUGAUGCUGAAUCACUUGCUGAUUAGAGCGGUUAUCAUUACAAAAGGGGGUCCCAAUCUCAAUUGUCAGGUGUACAUAUUGAAGGAGUAAGCCACAACAAUGACGAUAUGUAGAUUAGUCAAAUAUUGCAGUUGUGUUAUUUUCUCAGACAGGUGUUAGAAGCAUAAGUUAGUGUCCUAGUUAAGAUCCAAAUUAGGCAUACCUUCAUUUAUUAUCAAACCAGAAAUUAUCCCAAGUGCAUUAGGCAACAGUAGUAUAAAGCUGACAGCUAAAGAAAAUUAAUUACAGUUUGCAGCAUAGGAAAUCAGAAGCACAAGCUUGUACAGGCUAAAUAAAAGAUGUAAAUUCAGAUUGAAUAAACAUCUAGAUUCAGUUAGAUCACAAUGUUCCACAUUGACAUACAAUACAUCCCCCUCUUGUCCCCGGUACUUAAUAAUGCAUUCCGACAUACAUAUUUCCCCGAAACAAGUAUACAUAAUCAGAUCAUUAUAAGUCAAAACUAUAUUAUCAGCCAGGUCUUGGAGCUUUGUACAAACGCGUGUGUAGAUUAAUCAUUAAUACUGAAUUUAUCAUAGGUAGAGACAGAGAAUCCAUAGCAUGCAAAGCUAGCAGCAUGACCAACUUCAUCGAGCAAUAAGAGAAGGGAAGAAGAUGACAGUUAGAAGGGCUGAGGCAACAACUGCAACACCGCAUCAUCCAUCGGAAGCAACACAUACAGGGAACAACAACGUAGUUCACAUCUUCAGGCCGUGGGAACAUCUGGUCUUGCGGCUUACCAGGUUUCACAACUUCCGCUGGGUGCGGGCCACCGUGCCGGUGCCGAUGCACCCAAGGCGAGCUCCGACGUGCAGCUCAGUUAGGAGCGUCCAUGGGGUGGCCUGUUUUCCAUCGGAGCCGGAUCCGGGCCAAAGAUCCCAACAUGACCCCCUUCGUCAGUCUUCUCUCUCCACGCCUCAAAUCGGUCCCCACCAUAAUCCUCUUCAGCAGCGGCGGACGGCGUGUCCAUGACGUUGGCUCCAUAUCCCUCCUGCUCAGCUAGGCCGUGCUCCCACGACCAGGACUACGGCCACCACGAGGUGAAUGAGGAGUGGAGCGGCGACAGAGAAUUUUCCUCCAAUCGCGCACCAAACUCGCAUCUCGUUCCUGUCCUAGCGACCAAGCUCCCAACCUAUACCCCAUUCCGACGGUCGUGCUCCCAUGACCAGCAUUGCGGCCACGACGAUAACGAGACGAAUGAGGAGUAGAGCGGCGGCGAUGGCGAAAUUUCUCAGGUCUAGGGAGGGAGACGUGAUUGGGAGCGACAUGAUAGGGGAGAUCAGUAGUACGGGACGCGUGAUCGUGGCUGGGUCUUUUUUCUUCCCGAACGUGGUUGGGGCCUGGGAGGAUCCUUGGGCUGGGUUGGAGGGAGAGUUGCACGUGGGAAAAAAUCGGCCGUGGCUUGUUUGCAUCCGGAACGUCCGGGCAGAAGGAGCUAUCGAUCCGGGAGGGGGUGCGCCGGGGUGGGGAUGAUCUGGUUUUCUUUAUUAAACCGUUUGGUUUUCAGAGGGCUGGAAAAAAAUCUGUGGGAAGAAAAAGAAUCUGUGAGAGAAGAACGUGGGUGGGAGUGCUUCCAGCCAUAGAAGGGGAUAGCUCCAGGUCGAACCAUUACGACAGACGGCAGAUUCCUCUUUAAUAGUAGAGAUAAUCAUGACUUGAGACCUUUAAAACUUUUAAAAAAAUCUCAUCGACCACGAAUUACUCCCAACGCCUUGACAUAUAAAGACUUUCAAAAAUCUAAUCGAAUUCUGGACAUAUAUUUUUGAAUCGGUAAACGGUUUUUUGAAUCGACAAACAUUGUUUUCAAAUUUAGUUUUUUUUCAAAAAAAUGACAAAUAGUUUGAAAUGCAUGAACAAUUUUUUACUCACCAACAUUUUUUGAAUUGAUCAACUUUUUACCAAAAAAAAUUGAACAAAAUUUAAAUUUUGUGUUUGAAGUUAUGUGAAAUUUCAUGGACAUUUGUUUUCAGAUUCCUUAAUAUGUUUAGAAUAAACUAUCCAUUUUUCAAAAUCAUGAACAUGUUUUUUUUCCUGACAAAUUUUCCAAAUCACGAAUAGUUAUUAUAAUUGGUGAACAAUUUUGCAAAACUACCAACAUUUUUUAAUCCGCAAAAAUUAUGAUUUCCUUAACAUUUUUGAAUUCAUGUAAAUUUUAUGAUUUCUCGAUCAUGUUUUCGAAAAAUCACAACUUUUAAAAUUUAAAAAUCCUAAAUUGGUUGAAGGAAGGAAAGAAAACAGGAUGAGGAAAGAAAAGACAAAAAAAUAAAAUGAAAAAAUAGGAGAGAAAAGCCCCGCACAUGGACCGGCCCAGUAAUUUAUAUGUGGGUAAGGACUUGCGGGAGAAUAGGAAGGCAGAGAAAAAGGUGGAGGCUGGGACUCGAUCCCUGGUCUCACCAAUAGAAUUGGGAAGCCCUAACAACUCAACUACUUGUGCAUGUGUAAUUUUAAUCAGUACUGUUUCUAUACAACAAUGUAGCAUGACGUGACUUUGCGAAGAAAAAACGAACCGUUUUCUUUAUUCAUGGGUGGCAUAGUGGGUAAUUUGUAGCAAGUUUGAGGGUAUUUACUUAGACGGACGAUAGAAGCAGUGUUUGAUUUAGUAUUACUAGUACAAAUGCCCGUGCGUUGCACCGGGCAAAAAAUAUGACCAUGUGUCUGCAGCAUACAUGGAUAUAUUUAGUGAGCGCAAUAGACUGAGUCAAUAGGCGUGAGACACUGCACCAAUUCUCUCUUUUUUCUUCCAUGAAGAAACUGCACUAACAUUAAAUUGAACUCUUCGAAAUUUAUCUUGCUUUCACAGAAAAGCCCCAAAAGAUAAAGAAUAAAUAGUCCAAUAUUUAAAAAGUCUGUAAAUAUAUUAGUUGGAUGAGAAUAAACAUAUGAAGCAGCAAUGAUCAAUAAUAAACAAAUAUGUGGGGAGUGAAUUAUUCGUACUUUAUUCGCUGAGGCGCAGCACUGUGACUUUGCAACAUAGAAGUGAAUAAGCACGGUUAUUGGUUUGAAUCCAUGCUAGUUGUAAUGAUUUUACUAAUAACACAUCAUUUUCUCAAUUUUAAAUUCAUAUUGCUAUCAGUUACACAUUACUGGACAAGUCGUUCAGACUUCCGACUCGACUGGACUCUGCGGCUUCCUUCCAGCCCAUAGUCCAUCCUAACAUAGCCAGUGAAAGAGCUAUUUGUUUCAUACAUAAUGUCCAUAGCUGGUGUCGCCUCAGCCUGAACAACCCAACCGAGCCAAAAGAAAUCUGAGACGGAGUGUUCUUCAUGCUUGAGGAAGUAUUUCUGGAAAAAAAUCAUGUUCUUCUCUUCAAUAGAAGAUGUUUCAAGUUUCUGCUGUACAAAACGACUCCCGAAUUGAUCCGAAAUCCAGAAAGAGAACCAUAUCAGUAUCCUACAUAAACACGUCAAUUACACUCUAAAUUCAGGAAGUAAUAAUACCUGAACUCGACCACAUGACAUCCAGCAGCUCAAAAGAUCAGGUCUUAUUGGUCUUGAAACAAACAUGGUUACCCCACACAUUGGUGUUCUCCUCGUGCAUUUUUCAUGAAGGGGACAAGGGAUAAUGAGAGUAAUUAAUUCUCACUGUUAUUAGGAUUUCAGAUUGUACCGAGCAGAGUUACCUCCAAAUCCUGACUAUCAACGUCGUCGACACACUGGCAUGUGCUGACGAUGCCAUGGCAAUUCAAAACCUGGCCUAAUGGCUUAAAAUCUCUAUUGUUCUUCAAUAUGUACAUCUCAAAUCAACUCCGGAUCAACAAAACCAUGGAAACAUCAAUAAGUUCUAAACUAUGUUAGUGUGGAAAUAACUAAGGAAAAUUAAUGGCCUAAUUCAGAUCUUUCUAAAUUACAAUACAACUGUCUGAUGUAUGAACACAGAUUCUAAGAAAAAAGCACUAAUUCUAGGCACACGCAUGAUACCUUUGCAUGCUCAGAUGGACUGGUUGUACUGGGGAUAAUUAAGCUCUCAAUGCUAGAAAGUGAUGCUUAUAUAUUGCUGGUAUCAAUUUGAAGUAAAUCAAACGUAGGUUUUCAAUACUGUCACCGUCAAUUUGUGAUCCUAGUAAAAGUGCAUGUGCGUUGCACCGGGUUAGAUUGUCGAUUUUCCGAUCAUGUAUUUCGUAUUUGACCCCCCUUCCAUCAUGUUCUUCGUCAACAUCUACUUGAACUCCGCACCGCCUUUGAAAUGCAAGUAGGUACGUAAACAUACGACAAAUCAUUAUAUAUAAUAGCGAAUAAUACCUAUACGAACUCUCCAAGCAGAAGAAAAUAAAAGGUACUAACAGAAACAAUUUCCUCCAUAUGAAUGGUUGCCCAGCAGCUCCGAAGAACAGCUACUUGCAUCUGUUUAGUAGCAAUUGAAAGUUAAGUUGUAAAUAAAGGCAAAAACUGCUCGUCACAAACUUGAAAUUCUGAUUUUUGUAAGAGAUAUAGCAAUUCCAAUGGUCAUUAUUUUAGCAGUCUUAUUUUACUUUUUUUUCCAUAAAAUUCGAAAACGCUCUUAUGUUAGGACGAAAGGAAUGGAUAUUGAUGCACAUGUACCGUGGUUAUUCAAAUGGAGCCAAGCAAGGCAAUCCCUGUCUGAAUUCUGAUUCACAGACUCGAGUCUGCAAAACAGAGCACCUGCCGCCAUAGCUACAGAAUUUUUAUAAAAAUGGAAAGCGCGCCGACGUAGAAUUGGGAUUGGAGUACCGACCUUGAACCGAUCCAUGGCUUUGACAACUGCUUCGCGGACAGCAGUGGUAUCAAGACCCACAUCGGCAUGAGUAACAUAGAAGGGUUUUCCUUCAGAAACAACAACUUCUGCGGCAUCUAUGGCAGUCUUGACAACCUUUUGGAUAUUUUCUUUGCCCAUUUUCUUCUUUGCCUCCCUAAGUCGCUCCUGAUAUAUGCAACAGCCAUAGUCAGCUUUCAUUUUAACUAUUGACAAGAUAUGACAAAUGAACUGAAGCGUUUACAGACCUCCAGCUUUGAGACAUUGCCUUUUAGAUCAGCUUUUCUUGCAGCUGGGAUAGCAGCUGCAUCCAGUGUAUUCUUGAUGGACCCAAUUUUCUGAUGAAGAAACAUCAUUCUUAGAUACAAUCUAAUACUACAAAGCAGAUCAACAGGAAAUGGCUACAAAGUACAAUUGAUGCCAUCUAUUUACAUAAAGGUUACGGAAAUAUAUUUUUUCUAAGAAAACAAGCAAAAAUGAUAAUAACUUCUAAUAAUAUCCAAUUUAUUAGAGUAUCAAAACCAUAUAGCUCAAACUAAGAGACACAAGCACAAAAGGGAAAAGCGAAGUACCUUUUCCAAUGUCGCCCCGUCCAGUUUAGAUGCUUCAUUGAUAUCACUAUCGAUAGAUGAUGCCAACUUCAUAGCCUGUGAGGCACACUCAGCAGUAACAACCGUUAUCCUUCGAACACCUUUUGCGAUACCCUCUUUGGAUAUGAGAGCAAAUGCUGCAGCAUCCCUAGUGUUUGAAAUGUGUGUACCUCACAUGCAUAAACUUUAGAUGACAUGAACGCACAAAUGUAGAAUUACAUAGAAUGGAUUAGCAAAUAUACCUCCACACAGCUCAGUUGAUAUGGAUAACCAUUCUUUGCUUUGAGGGUUUGCAAGCAGAUCUUCCACUUUGCGGCCAAUCGAUACAACUCUUACAAGAUCAGGUAGAUCUACAAAAGUCCGAGCUGGGAGGGAUUCGAUUUUCUGAACUGCCGUCCGCGCCCCACCCGCUGCUCGAGCCCGAGCGUAGCAGGGCCGGCGGCUGCCUCCACCGGCGCAAGGGGCGAGGGCGGCGAGGCUCCAGUGGCAGGUUGGCGGCGGAGAUGGUCUCCCCCGGACCGGAUCGGGGCUGCGGCGGCGGAGAUCGAGGCAGAGGGCGGCGCAGUAUAGGCGGCGCUUUGGGCCGGCGAGUGGAGUCGGUUGCGGGCCGGUGGCCGGCGCGGGGUGGCUCGACUGCGUAUGGUGGGUCCCCGGCGAGAUGCAUGCGAGGGGCCGGCGGCGUGCUGCGAGGUCUCAAGCAUGGAGCGGCUGGCCGCCAUGGAGGAGCUCUGCUACGUCUCCGACGAUGGUGCAUCCAUGCUCUGCUUCGACACCCUCUCCAAGACGGCCGAGCCCAUCGCCUCCUCGCCCGCCGCCGGCGAGAAGCCCACUCGUGAAGACCGCAAUGGAUAAGCCGGGGAACGGAACGAAAGGCUUUUUUUCUAACUUAAAAACAUAUUGCGGAUUAGUUAUCAGAAAAGCGAGGGGUGUUUUUGCAAAAUUACCGCAACGUACGGGAGAAGUGCUGCGCGCUUUAUUAUUAUUAUGGGAGAUUAGGGAAAGAAUAAGAUACUAUACGUUUUUUAGACAAACAGGAUUAAAUUUUUAGAAAAAUAAGAUACUACAUGUAUCUUGUCACCUGUGUGUGGAUAUAUAUGGAUAUGGGUAUUCGCUUGAUUCUGACACACAAGCAAUCUCAGCCCAGUAUCCCCUCACAGGCCAUGAUAUAAUAACUAGGGCCCGGUCAGUCGGUCUCAGAUUGGCAUGUAUGGCAGCAACGGCGGCACGAUGAGGCCUCCUCGUUCAUUGUAUAUCGUAGUUCACGUAAAUAGUUCUCCUGCAAUAUUUUUGAUGGCAAAUUUAGCUUUUAUGCGACAUGGCCCUCUUUAACCGUAAAACGCAAGACUCAAGGGGUUAGUAAUUUGAGUUAUCACGCGGGACUCAUCAGUUAUCCACAUUAACUUGGAAUCCAUAACUUAGUCACAUGCGUGUGGGGCCCAUAACUUCCACAUAAGGAUGCAUGUGCUCAUCGGCGUGUCUGAACCAGCCCCAUUGCUUUCCCUUCCUCUUUCCUUUCCCCACCCUAUUCUUCCUCUUCUCCGGAAACAAAGAGAGGCAACACCGGCCGACAAGUGAUGUCUUCCUCGACUUCGGCCUCCCGCCAAUCAUGACGGUAGUACGGUCCAGUGUCGUUGACAAGAUGUCCCGAUUGCUUGCUCAUGGAGGCUCUGAAGCGUUUGACUUGUAUGAAGGAAGAAAAUGGCAACUAUGGACGCCAGUUCGUGAAAUGCUUGAGCAGGCCACAGCCGGGACAAUGUUAGAUUUGUGUACUUUACCAAUCGUAUGGUCUAACUUCUUCAGAUUUCUUUCUUUUUUUCAGUCGAAUAUGCGGAUCGAGGGUUCAUGCGUCGCCGACCUCCACUUUUUGAGGUUCUAAAGAAAUGUGGGCAUUUUGAGUGGCUCGAUGAGUAGGUUGAGAGUUUAAAAUCGAAGGCAUCAACCCAAAAGCUCAAUUUUGGAGGCCGCUUGAUGUGACAUCCGCACCCCCAUUUGACUGACAGAGCCGAUCCGAUGAGGAAGGGUGCUGGACUGAAAUAGCAAUUGAAGAAAAUAAGCAAGCAACUAAAACAGAUGAUCGAUUUAAAUGAGGAAGCAAAUAUGAUGGUUGAAGCAUUUUAUUGUUGUAUCAUUGUCAUGGGUUCCUAAUACUUGAUGUUCAUCAAUCGUUAGAAAUUGUUAGAGUUUCAGUUAGUGUAUCAAGCUAGCUUCAUCGAUCCUACACAAGGCAGGUAAACGUUGCUCCAUGUAUUUCAGAUUUCCACAAAUGAGUGGUUUGUACACAAUCUCUCAUCGUCAAUCAGGUUCCAAGAGCUCACUUUCUCGUUUAACUAUCGCUGCCUGCCGGUUAGUAUGGUCAUCGGGUCAGCCCACGUAUCAUCAAACCCAUUAACGUACGCAUGAUGGGCGCUCUCUUGUUGUGUACACGUCGAUUUUUACUGUGGCGUGCAGAGAAAAAAAGGCAGAGUAAAACGCAGCCAUUAAUGCGAGGAAACGUGAGGCACCAGCCGCCGCCAUGGGUGAUCUCCCCACGCGACCACUCUUGCCCCCACCCCUUCCACUCGUCUUCCUCUUAUCCACGGAUGACCGUCGCCCAAAUUUCUCGGCGAUGGCGGGGAGAUGCGGCGCAUCCAGGUGAUAGGGGUUGGGCCGCACGGGCUCGUUGAGAUCGUGAACGACCAGCCUGCUCCGUCAGGUCGUGGACGGCGAGGCUGGGCAGGGAAGAGGAGCAAGCCAGGAGGUCGCUGAUGAGGUUCGCCGGUCAGACAGGUGCAAGGGCGCCGAUUUCCCUCCUCGUGUUCCCGGACGACGCGCAAGCCAUCCUUCCCUUUCUUCCGUGCGGCUCUACCCUGUCCUGACUUCUCCUCGCCGCGCCGCCGUCCGCUCGACCACAGCUCGCCCCCGUCCACAAAGGAGACAAGUAGCAGCAGCGCCCCAAAUCGAGGGAGGGAGGAUCCUCUCAGGUGAUAUUUUAUCUCUCAAAUGUGAUGUCCCAUCUCUUGGUUAGUUGCUUUGUUUGGAUGAUUUCAGGCCUUGAUGUGUGCUGCGAUGAGUAUUUGGUAGUAUGAACUCUAGAAUAGGGAAUAGAUCUGGGGUGAUGGGUUUAACAACCACAGGAGAUAGAUGAUGCCUUUGUGCAGUACUAGGAAUCAAAAGGAUCUGGGAUGAGGGAUUUGGGUGGGAAUGGUGACGAGGCAACACAACAAUUUCAUGUGUUCGUUAUAACUUUAAAUAGUCUAAACACCAUUUUUUAUGAACUACGAUGGAUCAUAAAGCUACUAAAAUUGUAACAAUUGGCUUUAUCUCGUAAAAAAUUGCAGUCAACUAACAAAUGGAUGGUAAGACCAGGAGAAUAUAACUGAAGAAAUCUAUAGCAUUUUAACUGAAGGACAAACUGACUUAUCUUCAGUUAAGUGGCAUAUUAACUUUUCAUCAGUGAGGUACAACAUUCUCUACAUACGGUGCUUUUUUCUUGAGUAUACCAGUUCAAUAAUGAACGAUUAAUUCACUCCGCUCGGUUUCUUGUGGGUUCCCGGUGAUCUGUGCACAUGAGUGCCUCCUUGGGUUUGCCUCGGGCUCGGUCUGCAUGCAUGGUUUCAUCCUCCACCAGUGCAACUUCGUCUCCAGUAGGAGAAGGGGGUGCAUCUUGUUCGGGUGCAUCUUGUUCGAUUCACAGCGAGAUGAUGUACUCAGAAAAGAUGGAGGCCGGCGGCAAGUGUGAUAAGCGAUCAGGGAAUUGAUCGUUAAGUUGGUUUGUCAUAAAUUCUACUACAUCUUCCUUUCUUCCUUUACUUAUUUCUUUCUCUCUGAUUGAUCAAUGUGCUAUGCAAAUUUGUUCGAUAUAUGAAUUGAUUUCAGUUUUGUACAUGUCUGCAUCAUACUUAAUGUUAAUUCCCUAUUAAAUUAGCAAGAUUUAGGAAGUCAUUUUUUUGCAGGUCAAAAAAGCAAGAUUUAGAUGAUAUUUCGCAACAAUGUCAAUGUUAGAUUCUGAUUCACCAACAGUGCUCUUUAAGUUACAAAGGAUUUGAAUUGAGCGAUUCAACUCUGCCUUCAUCAGUACAAACAAUUCAUAAAAGAGGUUCAGUCUCUUCUUUAUUAUCUAGGUGCAUUAAUACUAUGUAUGAUACUAACUGAGUACAGUUGCCUGCAGUAUGCAUUGCUCUACUUUGGAUCCUUUUUCUUACUUUAUACUUCCUUUGCUCUCUGGUUUGCAGAUGAAUUGGACUAAUCUACUCAGCAUCUCAUGACUUUAGAAGCACGAGUUCAUGAAAACUGAUAUCCACUAGGAUUGCUCUGCUCCUGUUGACAUGCGAGAGCUGUUUGAAGCGAACUGGAUGGUUGUCACCACUAAUUAAGCUGCCGAGCCCAAGAAUUGUGUCAGACUAUUGGUCAAGCUGUUCAAUUUCUCAACACCGUUCAGUUUUGUCAUUGGCCGCCCUUGCGUACACUCAACAGAGAAGGGUAUCUAUCCUCAAUUUCCUACUCUAGAUAACAUCUACUCAUAUAAUUGAUCUCUAAUAUCCUGUAUAAAACGUUAGUGGUGGCUCGACAAUUUAAUAAGCCAGAUUUGUGGGAAGUGGAAUGCAUGUGUAACCAAACUGGGCUGGACCAAUCUUGAGGUUUUCCACGAAUUCUUUUAAAAAUGGUCCUUAAGCAAGGCACUGGGAAAUCGUGGAUAGCUGAUAUAUCCAGCAGGUAUGUGCACAUUCUGCUAUAAUCUAGAGUAGGGAGUGCUCAGCAUAAAUUGUGAGAUCUGAGCUGGUACAUAAAAUAAACCAAGAUAGUCUUGUCUUACGUGCGGAUGAUUUUAUUAUGGCAUACUGUUCAGCAUAAUUCUGACUCUAGAAUGUCUAUAUUAGCCAUUUGAUGAGUCAACUAGAAACUUCAUAGGUUUUUAGUACUCCAGUUAUGUUGUCAUUUGUAUAUCUCCAGAUAUAAACUUCAUAAAUUUAUAUCGUGAAUCAUUUUUAUGCUGCUACAUUUCUAGCAGAAGUUGUAUCUCUUUCACACAAAGCGUGAUAAUGUGCAUUGCACUUGUACUGCUCUAUCUUAUUGUUAUAUUUGCAUUUGCCAUUACUUUCAUAGUCUAUAUUUUGGCUCUGAUCUAAACCAUAUCAUUGCUUGCGUGCACCUAUACGACACAUAUCACAUAAAACUAAUUAGAGGGGACGCAUUCCCACCUGGCAUCGCCCAGCUAUCUCUCAGGAGGCCCGCAAUGGCGGGCCCCAACCACUAGUUCUCCUAAAGUCGCCGCAGGUUCCAAACUUCAUCCUCCGUACUUAAAUACUUGUAGUUAAGAAAAACAAAACUAAUUCUUCCUAACUAUAAGUAUUUUCAUACAGAGCAAGUAGUUUCUAUAGCUAACUGUAUUUGCAUAUAUGCUCUGUACGAAAAAAUAACCUAAACAGAAAGGAAUACAAUCUACAUCAGCCAAAAGAUGGUAUUGCUUGGAUAAUACAACCUUCGUUCUUAAAUAUAAGUUUCUUUUAAGAUUUCACUAUGAACUACACAUGGAAUAAAAUGAAUGAACCUACAUUCUAACAUAUGUUUAUAUACAUCCGUAUAUAGUCCAUAAUGAAAUCUCUAAGGGCCUUUUUGAUUCAUAGGAUUUUGAAAAUACAUGAAUACAAAAAGUUGAGGGUUGGAGUGGUAUGUCCAUUUGAUUUAUGUAGGAUUAACAAUGAGUGUUCGUUGUCACAAAAAAUAUAAAAAAAUGUACAAGAAGGUUGGGGUGAAUGUUAAUUUUUUUAAUGAAAUGUAGUACUCCCUCUGUAUCUAAAUAAUUGCAGUUGAAAAAAACUAGACUAGUCCUCCCCAACUAUAGUUAUUUAGACACAUAGAAAGUAUAAAAGAUUCCAUGGCCACCUUCCUCUCUUCCAAUGUCACCUUCCUCUCCUCGGCCGCCAACCUCCUUUCCUCGGCCGCGGCAUCUUGGGUCCUUGCCAUCUUCCUCACCUCGUUCGCUUCUUUUCUUGCCUUCACAAUAGCUUCCAUAGCAUUUUUGAGCUCAUCAUCCCCUUUCCUCUUCUUCUUUUCUUUUGCGUCUUUCUUGCACCCUUCCGGUCGUUUUGGCUUCGAGUAUGAAACCGAGUUUGGUGUAGGGAUUCUCUUGCCGUCAUCACUUGAUGCCUCCUCCUCAACAUGACCCAACUCAAUUGUUCGCUUGCGUUUGUUGCUCUCAUCAACAUCAUCGAUGCCGUCACGCUUCUUCCAUUUCUCAUCAUCCUUCAAUUCUUCAUAGCAAUGAGGCAAGGUAAAUGGUCUCCCUUUCGUGGUCUUCUUGUCCUCCUUUGAACAAGUUUUGUGCAGUAUUGAACUAAAAAAAAAACAAGUUAGCACUACAAAUACCAAGAACAAACAUGAUGAACAUGGAUGAAAUGGCACUUACCCUAUCAACAUCAUUAGUGCCACUUGGGUUCAAAGUGUCAACCGCCUUUUGUGCGGCCGCCCACUUUUGACAAUCUCGGUUGACUGUCGACCACUGGGAGCGAAGAGAUCGUGUCGAGCGGUCAAUUCCACUCUUGCUGUGUAGAUCAAAGUGCUCCUUCAUCCGGUUCCAAUAUGCAUCUUUACUUUGAUCACCUACAACGGAUGGAUCCCUCGACACUUGCAACCAAGUAUUGCAUAGCAAUAUGUCUUCAUCGUUGGUGUAGUUGCCACCUCUUCCUUUCGGUGCGUCCACAAUUCCCUCACCAUCCUUGUCCACCUUGAACUCAUGGUCAUCGAAAUGCAUGUCAUUGGUUUGAGACCAAUGAUAAUUGUUGGAGCCAACACCCAUAGUUGACAUAUGCCUCAUCGUUGACACUACAAAGGAUAUACGAAGCAAAUGAGCUAUCUAUAUGUAUGCAUUCAAAAAUAAACAACAACAAAAAGUUAGCGAUUUUUUUUACCUUCGGGGCAUUUCCUCGAACACCUUGUGCGCGUCGGCCACCGGCUCAACAAGUGAGCUCGCCGGCACUUCGGUAGCCGCCGCGGCCGUUACACGCCCUGCAAGUUUCUUCCUCGACGGCUUGAAGGAGCCGGAGUCAUCCACCGCCUUGUUCUUCUUCGCGGAAACCUUGCCCUUCUUCGGCCGCACCGCAUUUGAGAGCUUCAAGAGGGGGCACGUGGCCUCCCCGGCGGGCGCCGGCGCGAGGCCACCCUCCGUCGAGGUCAUCCGUGACGCCAUGAAAAGGCCGCGCGCUCGAGUGUGCAGCGUGCUAGGGUUUGCGGUGGCCGCGGAGGGAGGAGUUUGGCGGCGGCCACGGUGAAUAGGACAAAAGACCUUAGAGAUAUUGUACUGUUUGUUCAUCUUUAUAGUUUUUCGUUGCAACCAGUAGAGAUAUGUAAUACCAUCUUUAUAGUUCUUUGUCCAGAACACGCGAGUCUUGGGAUCCUUACGAUCCAAGGAGGAUGAUGCCCAAAACUACAGAGAUUCUCUUCCAUGUCAGUGCCAUAGGUGGAGAAAUUGCACUAAGCUAUUGCGUUCUGUGUGUUCCAAAGAGAGUGAUGCCAAAAAAUGCAGACGGUUGCUCCCAAAUUCAUCUACCUGCGACAUAAGACAUCCAUUCCAGUCCAGCAGCACCGCAAUGAGGUCUGCAAUUAAACAAUGAUUAACUAUAUUAACCAUCAUUAAGUUGAUAAGGAUUAUGCUAUAGUCGUCUCAAUAGAAGAGUUCGCAUUAGUAUGCAGUAGCAACAAAGAUGCAAGCAGGCAUGUUAUAAGAGCAAGUCUAGUAAAACCCUCAAAUCCUCAAAUUCUGGAAAAUAAUCGUUUUUUUACAGUUUUCUUCGACAAAACGACGUAGACUAGAACCCUUAAACCCUUAAACCCGUAAAAAAAUUUAGAGGUCGAACCUGUAAACGCCCUCGCAGCCUGUAGAAGUGAGGGUUGGGGGGAGAAACUGUCCCUGACCUGCACUCCACUUCCUCUCCAGCGCGGGAGGGAAGUUUCAGCUCCCUCCCUCGAUCCGCCGCCGCCACCGCUCCGUUCUGGCGGCCCGCCAUCGUCGCUUACCCGCCCCGCCGCAGCCCCUCCGCAACGUCGCCCGUCUGCCCCGUCCGCAUCGCCGCCACUGCCGCAGCGCCUCCUUGUCCGCAGUGCCGCGCCGCCCCCGCCGACGCCCCGCCCCGUCCCCGCCGGCCCUCCGCAGCCCCGCAGCGCCGCCCCNNNNNNNNNNNNNNNNNNNNNNNNNNNNNNNNNNNNNNNNNNNNNNNNNNNNNNNNNNNNNNNNNNNNNNNNNNNNNNNNNNNNNNNNNNNNNNNNNNNNUCUUUUUUUCCUUUUGCGUUGCAGAUAAAUGAUGGAGCGCGGGUUGAAUAACAAAAAUUACAGGGAUUUUUUAUAAAAAUGUCAUGGUGGAUUUUCCGACGAAAGCAAUAGCCGCUUUAUUAUUAGGUAUAGAUUUACUAGCAAAAAAGUUUGUGCGUUGCAACGGAAGCAAACCAUAUACAACACGUCUUAACCUAACUAGUUAAAUGCACGUGCGUUGCCACGACAUAACAAAAUUAAAAAAUAAUGAUUUUGUUGUGUCCUAAGUAUUAUACAUCGUCUUAUGCCACUAAUUUUACGCAUGCAGGUAUCUACUUUUUUUCCUUUUCUUUUUUCUUUUCUUUUCAUAUUUGAUCAAAGUCACUUAGAUGAGCAAUAACUAUAGCACAUCUAGAUAGGUCCUAGACAGACCCUAGAAAUAAAGACAUUAGUCAAAACAUCAUUGUACUUUAUGUCACGUGCGUUGCCACGACAUAACAAAAUUAAAAAAUAACAAUUUUGUUGUGUCCUAAGUAUUAUACAUCGUCUUAUCCCACUAAUUUUACGCAUCUAGGUAUCUAUUUUUUUCCUUUUCUUUUCAUAUUUGAUCAAGUCACUUAGAUGAGCAAUAACUAUAGCACAUCUAGAUAGGUCCUAGACAGACCCUAGAAAUAAAGACAUUAGUCAAAACAUCAUUGUACUUUACGUCUUAUAAUCACACAGACUUACAAGUAUGUUGCGAUAAAUAUCUUCUUAUUGUUNNNNNNNNNNNNNNNNNNNNNNNNNNNNNNNNNNNNNNNNNNNNNNNNNNNNNNNNNNNNNNNNNNNNNNNNNNNNNNNNNNNNNNNNNNNNNNNNNNNNCUCAACAAUAUGACGAUGCUUACGUUCGACAGAACCAUUCUGCUGAUGUGUAUGUGGACAUGCUAAACGAUGCGCGAUCCCAAGCGAGCUGAAAAAGGAAUCAAGGUUGCGAUAUUCGCCACCCCAAUCUGACUGCACAUGAACAAUCUUAUGCUUGAGAAGGCGUUCAACAUGUUUUUGAAAUUGAACAACUAUAUGGAACACAUAAACCCUUAUGUUGUCGACGCCACCACAAUGUCAGACAGUGUCAGCCUCUUGCGCGUUUCCAUCAAACGGUGUGUAGCACCGAGACCCCACUGCACCAUGCCGCCCAGACUUGCCGCCGUCGAGAUCGUAGAUGCCACGCUGUUCCACCUUGGUCACUUCACAAGAAUCAUGCGGAGACCAGCGAACAGGCAUCGAAGCCAAACACUUGUCCCUUAAGCCGAUGAAUGACUCCAAAGAUGAUGCCCCCAUGGAGUGAUGACGGUAGGACGUCCCGGCCAUCUGAAUAAUACCACAGUAUAUAUCGUCAAGCAUAAUAUUUCUAAAACUAGCUUGUUAUGAAUGAAUGGCGGGCGUCGUGGCCGGCGGCGUGGAGGCGGCUACCAGCGACGCCGAGAGGGCAGCGACCUGAGCGGGCGCCGAGGGGGUCCCCGAGGGAGGGAACCAACGGCAGCACAGGCACCGGAGGUGGCGACAAGUACGAUGCCGCCGAGAAGAUGGAGCCGACGCUGAGGGUGCUGAUCGGAGCAGCGACAACAGCGGCGUCGGUCGGCGAGAGAGGAGCGNNNNNNNNNNNNNNNNNNNNNNNNNNNNNNNNNNNNNNNNNNNNNNNNNNNNNNNNNNNNNNNNNNNNNNNNNNNNNNNNNNNNNNNNNNNNNNNNNNNNAGGAUCUCCGGAGAUCAGUCGUGCGCUAGUUGCUCAAAUGAGCAUGGCUACAAUAAAAUCGAAAAAAAUUAAAAAAAUCAUUCAAAAACUCAGAAUUCCAAAUGUUUACCGCAAGUAUUUUUAAUUUUUAUUUAGUUUACUUUUAUUUAAAAAUCACUGUUCAUCCUAGCCCAUUUGAGCUCGGGCUCAAAAACUCUGUGUCCUCGCCUACCCUCGUUCUGCACUGCACUUGAACUGAAUAACUGAUUUCCAUAUACUCGGCGUGUUUGUCAACCUCGCGUUGACUCCAUUAUUAUCGUGACACGUCAGGCAAGAGCAGGGAGAGGUUGAGAGACUUAUCUUGCACAUGUGGCAGUCGAGCUGGACUUUAAAAUGGGCACCGCGUAUUUCCGUUGAGAUGACACGGUAUAUACUGAGGUUUAGAGAAAUCCAAACUGUCGUUUCUUGAAAGUUUGGGGCUUCGACACUUAUGUGAAAAGUUUCAGUCUGAUAAGCUCGAACCCAAAGCGGAUAAAUGCAUCUUCAUAGGNNNNNNNNNNNNNNNNNNNNNNNNNNNNNNNNNNNNNNNNNNNNNNNNNNNNNNNNNNNNNNNNNNNNNNNNNNNNNNNNNNNNNNNNNNNNNNNNNNNNAGGGCGGGAGGUUCCCCUGCGGCGGCGCUGUGGGCCGCGGCCAGGGGAUUUGCGUCGGUGGGCUCCGACAUCGUCUCCGCGGCGCCCGGCGUGUCGCUGCAGAAGGCGCGGUCCUGGGACGAGGGAGUCGCCACCAAGUUCUCUACCACCCCUCUCAAGGACAUCUUCCAUGUACUACGCUCUCUAUACUCUGCCCCUGUUUCCUCCCGCCGCUAUCGUCUGACCCCUUCCUGUUUCUUUGUAUCUGCUUGCUCGCAGGGGAAGAAAGUCGUCAUCUUCGGGUUGCCGGUAAGCUCUCUCUAGCUCACUGCCCUCGCCUACCAAGUUCUUCUUGUGCUAGCUUCGUAUACUGUAUACUCGACUAUUUCCAAACCCUAAUGAGUCUCAGUGGGGAUUUUUCACACUAGUUGGUACUAGUCCAAAAUCAGCAUUAGACGCUUAUGGAUCGAGUUCUUGGAUGCUCCAUUCGCACGAAGUACAGUAUGAGAAACUGCGAAUAGGCAGGCAGGCCAUUGGCUAGAUCAGGAAAAAUAAAUGCUGAAACAUCAUUGUUGGACUGCGAAUUAGUGUGCUUGAGCUUUUGCGCUGAAUGGCAUUUUAGUGCCCACCGUUCAAAUUCAUUAAUAACUCUAUAUCCCUAAACAGUUUCUGGCUACAUCCACUAGGAUUGUAAGCUUGCUCCAUGAUGGUUCUGUGUUUUGCCCUUUCCANNNNNNNNNNNNNNNNNNNNNNNNNNNNNNNNNNNNNNNNNNNNNNNNNNNNNNNNNNNNNNNNNNNNNNNNNNNNNNNNNNNNNNNNNNNNNNNNNNNNCGCAAUCAAUAGCUGCAAAUCUGAAGCGGGUUGACUUAACAUAAGGACCAAACGCGCGCCAAAUCCUCAAGCCACGCACCAAGCAACGCGCAAAUCACCCAAAUCUUAGCAGCGGGAGGGUAGGGAAAGGCCAGGAUCCGGGUGCACCUGCUUGAGCGAGGAAGGGAAGGUGAUCCUUCCGCACUCGAGCGGCUGGCGGACAACGGAGACGGCAGCGUCGCGCCAGCGACGGCAGACGCAUGCUCAUCGCGGCGCGGGGGCCAGCGCUCGGCGCCGGGGUUGAUGCGGCGGACGAUGUCGGUGAGCAGCUCCGGCAUAAGGCGGGAGCACCUCUCCUCGUCGGCAUCCCCCUCCUCCUCCUCCUGGAGGCGACCGGGGGCGUCCUCUGGGGCGACCUCGGGUGGAGCUGGAUCCAUGCCUGUCGCCGGAUGGAUCUAGGAGCCGCCGGAGCUGCGAUGUGAGAGGAGGRKAKRSKGAGGGCCGGCGGCGAGCUAUAGGAGGAGGAAUAGGCCGGCGUGGGUGGUGGCGGCAGCGAGCGAGAGGGGAUCGUGGAGAGAGAGGAGCGAGGUUACGAGACAGAGAGGGGGGAUGACGCUAGACUUAGGUGGGCUCUCUCUCUCGUGGGCUCCUAUUUUUUCUCCUUUUCUCUAUGGAUGGUGGAGGGAUGGUGGGGGUGGAGAUCUAGAUGGAUAGAUGGAUGGAUAUACGCCACAUCAUCGAUCCGUGGAACAAUGUUCCACCAAUAGGAAUUAAGCUCAUGCAAUUGUGUUUCUUUUUUUUAUUUUCUUNNNNNNNNNNNNNNNNNNNNNNNNNNNNNNNNNNNNNNNNNNNNNNNNNNNNNNNNNNNNNNNNNNNNNNNNNNNNNNNNNNNNNNNNNNNNNNNNNNNNGUCCUGGAAGUGUGGAUGGACAUUCUUAUUUACGCGAGCCACAAGUGCAGCAGGGAGUCCCACGCCCAGAAGCUCAAUAGUGGUGGCGAGUUGACAACCAUCGUGUGGCUUAUGGCAGAACACAUAUACCUAGCGUCGGCCCCAGAAAGAGAUGAUGUAAUAUAAUGUUUCUGAUAACAAUUGCAUCCGGGGGGGGGGGGGGGGGGGAAUCCUACUUCAUGUAUUUAUAUUGUUUGUGCAUAAGUUACAUAUAGUUAUAAAAAAGGGUAUUCAACAAUGUGAGAGUGAGGGUCAGACUACACAUGGACGUACAUGGGCCGCCCAGUGCUCACUUAAUUAGCCUUUGUGGACAUCCGUGGGACUAGCCUCCUCACCAGUAAAUUUUGAAAUAGUUUUAGUACAGGCUCUUCAGUGAGGAAAUACACUUUGAUUUCUGGUUGUAUUUCAUCGCGAGGGCCAAAUUUCACGUGGACAUGCGCCGCCCAGUGUCUACUUAAAAGCCCACUUAAGGUGUGUUUGGUUGCUGUCAUGGGUUGGAAUAUCACGGGUCGGACCCGUUCCUAGUCCUCGCUCCUGCGUUUGGUUUACCAACUGGAACAGAACCCACUCAUUCCAUUUUAGAAAUAUUUCACUCAGAUCCGGAACGUGCUAGUACCACAAAAUUGACGGAAUCACACGGAAAGGCUCGUCUCGCGCAACUCGUCUCCUCCUUCCCCAGCUGCGCCGCUCGAGCUCCUCCUUCCCCAGCUGCGCCGCUCGAGCUCCUCCUUCCCCAGCUACGCCGCCGGCCCCCUCCCUCUCUGCUGCGGCGCUGCGCCGCCAACCCCCUCCCUCUCUGCUGCCGCGCCAUGCCGCCGGCCCUCUCCCUUCCUCUCUUCUGCGUCGCCGCCGGCCCUCUCCCUUCCAUUUUUCAUUCCAUGCCUCCCAACCAAACACUCGAACGGAACCAUCCCGUUCCACUUUUUUGCUCAUACCAAACACAGGAACGGAACCGACCCGUUCCUCUGGAAUGGAACCAUUCCAUUCCAUGACAGUUGGUUCUCCAACCAAACACACCCUUAGUUAGCCUUCGUGGAUAUCCAUGGGACUAGCCUCCUCACGAGAGCAACUAGUUAGCGAACACUUCUUCGAGAGCCCCACAAUGAUCACUCCCACACGCCGUCACUUAGCGCGUUCUCAGUCGCUGCCACGUGUCAUGCUUUGAACAUUUGCUUCGGAUUUCAUUUUUUAUUUCCCCGCACACAUUUUUUUGGCUUUUUUGAUUGGAUUUUUUCCCGGUUUUUUUGUGUUUUCCCCCCCCCCCCCCCCUUUAUUGGUCUUCAUUAGCUUUUUGAUGGAAAAAGAUAAAAAAGUGCGGGAAUAAACGGGAAUAAAUGAUACACAUGAGUGCGUCACUUGUUUCAACUUAAAAAAGUAUGAUUGAUCUUUGAAAGGAGUAUCCCUUAAUUAAUGAUUUCACUUUCUAGGAGCAACUCCGAUGGACAUUCUUAUUUACGCGAGCUACAAGUACAGCAUGGAAUCACAUGCCCAGAAGCUCAAUAGCGGUGGCGAGUUGACAAUCAUUGUAUGGCUUAGGCUUGUUAUAAUGGGGAAUAUCAUAUGUUAGUAUCAUACAUACGAUACUAGUGUAUGAUAUUACAUCUGUAAUGCAUAGUAUUAUAUAUUAAUAUCAUAAUAUAGUUUAUUUAUUGCCAUGCGUGACACAUAAUAACACAUCAUUUAAUAUGAUGCAUUAUUGUAAUAUGAUAUUCAACUCUUUUUUUCUUCAUUUAAUUAUAUGACACCUCAUCAAAAUUGUCUAGUUGGCAUUCAUGAUACUACCUAUGAUACUCUCAUUACAACUAGCCUUAUGACGGAACACAUAUACCUAGCACCGGCUCCGGAAAGAGAUGAGGUAAUAUAAUGUUUUUGACAAAAAUUGUAUCCUACUUCAUGUAUUUAUAUUGUUUGUGCAUAAGUUACAUAUAGUUAUAAAAAAGNNNNNNNNNNNNNNNNNNNNNNNNNNNNNNNNNNNNNNNNNNNNNNNNNNNNNNNNNNNNNNNNNNNNNNNNNNNNNNNNNNNNNNNNNNNNNNNNNNNNUUAGUCUUUCCGCUAGAACAAACUUUGAUUCUUCAUACCGGUACAAUUGAGACUUACAAGUCGAAAAUUCGUUUCUGAGCUCGAGCUCAGAUGCUCUCUAUAUCCAUACCGACCAGAGGCGUUAUGAUUCGUGCGGGGCUGAUGUAUACUCCGGAUGUAUUUCCGUAUUUUCUGUCCGUGACUGUCGUCCAUUUAUUACGCCGCUGUCUCAUCUCCGUUUAGGGAUCUGCUCUACAUGUAGAAUCUCCAUCACCUACAUAAAAGCCAUUUUAUGGUAUUCAGCUAGGAGAACCUGAUUACACUUUUUAAAAAUAUAAGAGGUUAUUUCAAAAGUCAGCUCUCACCCUUAACGCGUGGCUGCACAGCAUCCCGGUGUGUUCAAACUGUCCGCACUCACAAACGAAUAAUGUCCUGUCCUCGUCGACGGUCACUUCGUAAUGAACUCGGCUCCACUUUUCCUUUUUUGCUGCAUUGUUGUGCGUUGUGACGUACUUCCUCAUGCUUUCCACUUCAACGACAUUGUAUGCGGUUCCUUCAAUCAGCAGUCGCCCAAAUUCUUCAAACAUCUUCCUCGUGUAUAUUUUGCUUGCAUGCCUCUCUAUUGCGAUGCAAUUUCUUAUAAGGUAAUCGAUCGAGAAAGUCUAUCAGGGUUAUAGAUUGAUGUGGUCCAAUGUCUGGUCAGCUUUGAGUUGUUGUUCCCGCCAUCCUUCUUCAAUAUAAUGACACACCUCCUAGUUCACCUAGUCGAAGAGAUUAGAAUUCUCGGUCCUGUGUUUCUACACAAUAUGUUCCCCUUCGAGAGGUUCAUGGGAGUCUUAAAGAAAUAUGUUCGUAACCGUGCUAGGCCAGAAGGAAGCAUCUCCAAGGGCUAUGGAACUGAGGAGGUCAUUGAGUUUUGUGUGGACUUUCUUCCUGACCUUAAGCCGAUUGGUGUUCCUGAAUCUCGGUAUGAGGGUAGGCUGACAGGAAAAGGCACACUAGGAAGGAAAGCCAAAGUAUGUAUGGACGGACAUUCUUUCUCUCAAGCACACUACACAGUUCUACACAAUUCCACCAUGGUGGCUCCGUAUAUCGUGAGACACAAGAAUAUUCUACGCUCCGAAAACCCGGGGAAGGCUGACUCUUGGAUUAAAGGGGAACACGAGAAGACUUUCGGCAGUUGGUUGCAGACACAUCUCAUGAAUGACGACACCGUUGGAGAUGAGCUGUACUGUUUGGCCAGGCCACCAUCUUCGACUAUAAGUACUUUCCAAGGGUAUGAGAUAAAUGGGAAUACAUUUUACACGGUUGCCCAAGAUAAAAAGAGCACCAACCAAAAUAGUGGUGUCCGCUUUGAUGCAACAGACGAGAAUGGGCACUGUUUGGAAACAUAUUACAGGUACAUAGAGGAGAUAUGGGAACUUGACUAUGGACCUACUUUUAUGAUCCCUUUAUUUCGGUGCAAGUGGGUGAAGCUGACAGGAGGCGGAGUAGUUGUAGACCAAAAGUACGGCAUGACAACAGUGGAUCUUAACAAUCUUGCGUACAUGGACGAACCAUUUGUCCUAGCCAAUGAUGUCGCUCAGGUUCUCUAUGUGAAGGACAUGUCCUAGCCAAUGAUCUUCGAUGAGCCAAAACGCCACAUAGUUCUUUCAGGGAAAAGAAACAUAAUGGGAGUAGAUGACAAGACAGACAUGUCAGAAGAUUAUAAUAAGUUUCAUGAAAUUCCGCCCUUCAAAGUGAAAACUGACCCAAGCAUGCUACUGAAUGAUGAAGAUUCUCCAUGGCUACGACACAGAAGAAAACAGAAAUAAUAGAUAGGAAUAUUGGUGCAAUAAUGUAAUAAUGUAUUAAACCUUUUAUGUAAUGCAUGUAUGGAACGUACUAAAUUUCAAACACUUUUCAUUUUCAUAUUAUCCAUGUAAGAGAUGAGUUCUCGUUCGAAACCCUGAUACUUCGAGAGAGAUUGUCCGUUUUGUACACGAAGUGCAUCCAGUUUUUGUCGUAGCCCUCUCAACUUUUUAGCACAUGCUAUGUGGGUGAAAUGAUGAUAGCAUGCCAACUUUCAACAUUUUCAGAGUUCAUUUGUAGUGCUUUUCAAUUUCAGGGUCAACUAGCUCAAAACAAAUAAGUAAAUCCACGAAAUAUACCAAAUGAAGUCAGAAAUUGUUGAAAUUUUGUGCUGUGCCUUUGAAUGGUCCAUUUUGAACACGCAAAAAGUAUGGAGUUCAAAUAAGUUCACAAAAAUGAAAUCCCUUUGUAAGAGAUGAGUUUUCGUUCGAAACCCUGAUACUUCGAGAGAGAUUGUCCGUUUUGUACACGAAGUGCAUCCAGUUUUUGUCGUAGCGCUCUCAACUUUUUAACACAUGCUAUGUGGGUGAAAUGAUGAUAGCAUGCCAACUUUCAACAUUUUCAGAGUUCAUUUGUAGUGCUUUUCAAUUUCAGGGUCAACUAGCUCAAAAAAAAUAAGUAAAUCCACGAAAUAUACCAAAUGAAGUCAGAAAUUGUUGAAAUUUUGUGCUGUGCCUUUGAAUGGUCCAUUUUGAACACGCAAAAAGUAUGGAGUUCAAAUAAGUUCACAAAAAUGAAAUCCCUUUGUAAGAGAUGAGUUUUCGUUCGAAACCCUGAUACUUCGAGAGAGAUUGUCCGUUUUGUACACGAAGUGCAUCCAGUUUUUGUCGUAGCCCUCUCAACUUUUUAGCACAUGCUAUGUGGGUGAAAUGAUGAUAGCAUGCCAACUUUCAACAUUUUCAGAGUUCAUUUGUAGUGCUUUUCAAUUUCAGGGUCAACUAGCUCAAAAAAAAUAAGUAAAUCCACGAAAUAUACCAAAUGAAGUCAGAAAUUGUUGAAAUUUUGUGCUGUGCCUUUGAAUGGUCCAUUUUGAACACGCAAAAAGUAUGGAGUUCAAAUAAGUUCACAAAAAUGAAAUCCCUUUGUAAGAGAUGAGUUUUCGUUCGAAACCCUGAUACUUCGAGAGAGAUUGUCCGUUUUGUACACGAAGUGCAUCCAGUUUUUGUCGUAGCCCUCUCAACUUUUUAGCACAUGCUAUGUGGGUGAAAUGAUGAUAGCAUGCCAACUUUCAACAUUUUCAGAGUUCAUUUGUAGUGCUUUUCAAUUUCAGGGUCAACUAGCUCAAAAAAAAUAAGUAAAUCCACGAAAUAUACCAAAUGAAGUCAGAAAUUGUUGAAAUUUUGUGCUGUGCCUUUGAAUGGUCCAUUUUGAACACGCAAAAAGUAUGGAGUUCAAAUAAGUUCACAAAAAUGAAAUCCCUUUGUAAGAGAUGAGUUUUCGUUCGAAACCCUGAUACUUCGAGAGAGAUUGUCCGUUUUGUACACGAAGUGCAUCCAGUUUUUGUCGUAGCGCUCUCAACUUUUUAACACAUGCUAUGUGGGUGAAAUGAUGAUAGCAUGCCAACUUUCAACAUUUUCAGAGUUCAUUUGUAGUGCUUUUCAAUUUCAGGGUCAACUAGCUCAAAAAAAAUAAGUAAAUCCACGAAAUAUACCAAAUGAAGUCAGAAAUUGUUGAAAUUUUGUGCUGUGCCUUUGAAUGGUCCAUUUUGAACACGCAAAAAGUAUGGAGUUCAAAUAAGUUCACAAAAAUGAAAUCCCUUUGUAAGAGAUGAGUUUUCGUUCGAAACCCUGAUACUUCGAGAGAGAUUGUCCGUUUUGUACACGAAGUGCAUCCAGUUUUUGUCGUAGCCCUCUCAACUUUUUAACACAUGCUACGUGGGUGAAAUGACGAUAGCAUGCCAACUUUCAAUAUUUUCAGAGUUCAUUUGUAGUGCUUUCAAUAUCAGGGUCAACUAGCUCAAAAAAAAUAAGUAAAUCCACGAAAUAUACCAAAUGAAGUCAAAAAGUAUGGAGUUCAAAAAACCAUAUUAUGAAAUUAAAUAUUAUCAUUGGCGAUUCAUCUCUAUUAUGAAAUCAAAUAUAUCAAAAAACCAUUGCAGAACAUAUGACCAAAUUAGUACAAGUUCAUCAUCACAUUAAAGCCAAAGAACAGUAGUGAUCAAAUGUUAUUAUUGCAAAAAAUAAAUACAUAAAGUUCUCUCAUAAAACAACAUACAACUAUGUAAAACAUUUAAAUGCAACAACAAACGCGAUCAAAAUCGCAACUAAGGUAACAAUUGACCCAACAGCAUAAUGAUACCAAGCCUCUUUAUCAAUGGCAUAUUUUCUAAUAUUCCUAAUCUUCAAGAGCAUUUCAUCCAUCUUCAAGCGCAUUGCAUCCAUCUUCAACCGCAUCGCAUCGAUCUUCAUCUUGCGAUCAUCGAUGACAUCGGCGACAUGCAACUCCAGUUCCAUAUUCUUAUCCUCAAUUAUUUUCAAUUUUCUCUUCAAGUAUUUUUUUUCUUUUUGAACCAAAUUUAACUUCUCGAUAAGAAUUUUUAUGUGGGUUGGAAUUUCCGGUUCACAUACCUCCUAGAUUAAAAAAAUAUAUGUCAUAAUUGUCAUAAACACUAAAUAAAACAAAUUGUUAUAAAAGAUAAUAUAUACCACAUCCGAAUUAUAGACAGGACGAGGGCCGACGGAGGCGGAUACCAAAACCAUCGCACUAUAUAAUAACAAAAAAUAAUGAAAGUGAGUAAUUUAUACAAGUAUGUAUGUAAAUCAUACAAGUAAGAUUUUUUAAAUUUUAAAAAGAAGAUAAGAACAAGAGGCUCACCACGGUGGUGCUCGCAGUUGGUGCAUGCCAAACCUAGACAAAUAUUAAGGAAAAUGGAGCUUGGAGGUCGAGCUUGGAGAGGAGAAAGCUUAAGUAGAGUGGCUCGGGCAUUUCAUCGAACACGUCAUGUGCAUGAACUAGAGUGGCAAGAGCAUGGCAUGAUCACACUUCAACAACCAAAAAACAGGGGAUAUGGUGGGCAGGGGCGAGGGUUUAUAUAGGCAAAACUUUAGUCCCGGUUCUUUCCACGCCCCGGGACUAAAGGCCCCUGUUUCCCGCCUUCUGGUCAGCCGAAAAAGGGCCUUUAGUCUCGGGUCGUGGCUCCACCCGGAACUAAAGGGGUGUCUUUAGUCCCGGUUCGAGCCACGCCCCGGGACUAAAGGCCCCUGCUUCCCGCCUUCUGGUCAGCCGAAAAAGGGCCUUUAGUCCCGGUUNNNNNNNNNNNNNNNNNNNNNNNNNNNNNNNNNNNNNNNNNNNNNNNNNNNNNNNNNNNNNNNNNNNNNNNNNNNNNNNNNNNNNNNNNNNNNNNNNNNNNNNNNNNNNNNNNNNNNNNNNNNNNNNNNNNNNNNNNNNNNNNNNNNNNNNNNNNNNNNNNNNNNNNNNNNNNNNNNNNNNNNNNNNNNNNNNNNNNNNNNNNNNNNNNNNNNNNNNNNNNNNNNNNNNNNNNNNNNNNNNNNNNNNNNNNNNNNNNNNNNNNNNNNNNNNNNNNNNNNNNNNNNNNNNNNNNNNNNNNNNNNNNNNNNNNNNNNNNNNNNNNNNNNNNNNNNNNNNNNNNNNNNNNNNNNNNNNNNNNNNNNNNNNNNNNNNNNNNNNNNNNNNNNNNNNNNNNNNNNNNNNNNNNNNNNNNNNNNNNNNNNNNNNNNNNNNNNNNNNNNNNNNNNNNNNNNNNNNNNNNNNNNNNNNNNNNNNNNNNNNNNNNNNNNNNNNNNNNNNNNNNNNNNNNNNNNNNNNNNNNNNNNNNNNNNNNNNNNNNNNNNNNNNNNNNNNNNNNNNNNNNNNNNNNNNNNNNNNNNNNNNNNNNNNNNNNNNNNNNNNNNNNNNNNNNNNNNNNNNNNNNNNNNNNNNNNNNNNNNNNNNNNNNAGAAAAAGGAGAAUAAGAAGAGGAGGAGAAGAAAAAGGAGAAUAAGAAGAGGAGGAGAGGAGAAGAAGAGGAAAAAUAGAAGAAGAGGAGAGGAGAAGUAGUAGAAGAAGAGGAGAAGUAGAAGUAGAAGAAGAGGACAAAUAGAAGAAGAGGAAAAAUUAGUUUAGGGUUACAAGAAGAAGAACUAUUUUUUUUGUCAUUUAACUUUGCUAUUGUAUAGUGUAUAUGCUUAAGUGUUAAUAGUGUUUCUUAGAUUAUUGCUUAAUUUUGCUAUUGUAUAUGCUUAAGUGUUAAUAGUUUAAUUUUUCUAUUGUAUAUGCUUAAGUGUUAAUAGUUUAUUUUUAGCAAGAAAAUUAAUAAAACUAGUUUAAUUUUGCUAUUGUAUAUGCUUAAGUGUCCGGGACUGGGCUCCGCCCGGCUGGUAUUUUAGAGUUUAGGUUUUAGCCAAGACCCGGGACUAAAGGUCCUCCUAUAUAAAACGAGCCUUCGAAGUUUCCAACCCCUCUUAUAUAGUUUGUUAGUUUAUUAGUUAAUCAAAUGUCCUUUUUUUGCAGAACUAUGGAUCCACAUAUCAGGAACCUCGAAGAGGAAGAACUUCUCGAAGAUAUAAUCAAAGACGGCCCCGACGUUGAACCAGCUGAAUCUCCGAUGUCAUAUCUAAACGACUCCGGAUAUGGAAUGGAGGUCGAGCGACACGAAGAUGAAGCCGAUGGGGCAGGAGAUAGGUCCAAUGAUGGAGAAGGUGAUAGCUCCACUGAUGGAGAAGCCGGUGGAGAAGCAGGUGAAGAAAUAAUAAAGUCCGGCGAGGUAUACAUAUGAAGUUCGAGAAUCACUUGUAAUAUGUGAAAAAUAUUGGAGAUAGCUCUAUAUUGUAUACAUAUACAUUCAUUUGACGAAUUUUCUCCCUCUUAGGCCUCCACAUCGAGCAAAUCUACGAAACGAGGCCCGACUAGAAAGUUGGAUGCACGGACGCAUUACACCUUUGAGGUGAUAAUGCCUACGGGUGAACCCAAGCUUCCUAAGAAUGCUGCUGACACAUUCAAGAAGCAAUGCGGAGUUCUCGUUAGGGAUCACGUCCCGAUCAGCGUUCGGGAGUGGAACAAGCGCAAAGGGGAAGCCGAUAGUGACUAUGUCGCCGAAAGGUACAAAGAUAAUCUUUUGAAUGAUCUCAUGUCACAUUUUAACCUGCCAGAAUGUGAGAAUGAAGACGCCGCAGACAAACUGAGGGCCAAAGUCAAGCAGUGGACUCUAAAGAAGAUGGCCGAACUGUUCCGUAGCUCGAAGAAGAAGCUAUGGAAAAACUAUCUGAAGACAAAGAAAGUGCCAGUAUUCGAGGUGUAUCUUGCCAAGCAGGCGAAUCACUGGAAGGAAUUUCAAGAGUACAAGGAGUCAGAAGAUGCCCAGGCAUUAUCAGAAAAGAACAAGAUAAAUGCCGACAAGAAGAAAUAUCACCACAAGCUGGGGCCAGGGGGCUAUGAGACUGCCAUCCCAAAGUGGGAAAAGAAAGAGCAAGAUCUGAUAGAUAAAGGCAUCGUACCUGAACCACUCCGUGAUGAGUGGGAAUUGAGAGCAAGAAAUUGGUUCCUUGCGCAUGGUGGGUCGUACGAUGAAAAAACAGGGGACCUCAUCUGCAAUGACAAUCUUAGGAUACCCAGGGAUAAUUGGAAAAGGAUAGUGAAAGAAAUUAAGGAGGGGCAAAGAAAGUUCACUGCAGAUAGAGAUAAAUAUUUGCUCACACUGGUCCUCGGCAAUGAUGAACAUGGAGGACGAACGCGAGGCUUCGGUCCAUCUUACCCGUGGUGGCUUGGGUUUGCCAGAGACCAAGACACUUACAGAAGCCGAGAGAGAGCAAAGAAGCGGCAGCAGGAUGAGGAGAAUGACAAGUUCAACCAGAUGCUUGCCAGGAUUAACGAGCAACAGAAGCAGAUUGAUGAGCUUAGAGGAGUACCGCGCCAGGAAGAUCCUGCACUUGAUAUUACCGGCGCCCCAUCUAAGCGGAAAAGCAGCAUGGCUGAAUCUGAGGCCCCGCCCGCCGAUGAACGAAGAAUGAUAGAGGGCGGUCCCGGCUACCCCGUGGAGGAAUCAAGGAUUCAACAUCAUGUGAACUUCAUGAGAAAUUCAAGAACAUAUCCAUGAAGGUGGCCGUCGGACAAGCUUUACCUUCUGGCCCUAAUGCACGCUGGCAUGGCCGUGAGAUUCCAGCUGGCUUUGCUAAAGUCGGGGUGGAUGAAAUCAUGACGGGGUUUAAUGAUAUGGAGCUCGACAUAGCUGGACCCGAAGAUGAGAGGACACUCGGAGAAGUACUGGGUGGAGUCAUCCUAUGGGACAAGAACUACAUCAAACUUCCAGGCUCGGCCCCAAGGACAACACCGCCUCCGAGUCGUCGCAGGUCACCUACACCUCCAUUACCUCCAAGCCCUCCACAUGACGUCGGCCAGCACAACACGAGUCCAUCUCGAUCACCGCCGCCGGACUUGGGUCGUCCGUCUCCGCCGCUGCCCUCUCCGGAUACAAACCCUGAGCCUGCCACGGAUACAAAGCGGGAGCGUGCCACCAAGAACGCUCCGCCGCUGCCCGCUUCGGAUACAAACCCUGAGCCUGCCACGGAUACAAAGCGGGAGCGUGCCACCAAGAACGCUCCGCCGCCGCCCGCUUCGGAUACAAUCCCUGAGCCUGCCACGGAUACAAAGCGGGAGCGUGCCACCAAGAACGCUCCGCCGCUGCCCGCUCCGGAUACAAAGCCUGAGCCUGCCACGGAUACAAAGCGGGAGCGUGCCACCAAGAACGCAACGCCGCCGCCCGCUCCGGAUACAAAGCCUGAGCCUGCCACGGAUAAAAGCGGGAGCGUGCCACCAAGAACGCUCAGCCGACAAUUGCUAAGCCACAGAGCACCCCAAAGCGCAAACGGUCGCCCCUCCCAAAGGUACGUCAUGCUAAUCUUCCUAUCGGACCUUAUGAUCGUACCCCCGAGGAAAACGCCAGGAUAGCAAAGGAACAUCAUGAUGCGCAGAUGAAAAAGAAGGAACCCGAGCCCGCCCGGAAUACACCUAGAAGCAAAUAGCAUUUGCAAAAUACUUCAUGACCCUUCCAUCACAGUAUGACUUAUACCAUAAGCCUGAUGACUAUACACGCACAUUGUAGAAGGAAGUGAAAAAGAGAAGAUCUCGAUCACCACCGCCGGACUUGGGUCGUCCGUCUCCGCCGCCGCCCGCUCCGGAUACUAAGCGGGAGCGUGCCACCAAAAACGCUCCGCCGACGAUUCCUAAGCCACAGAGCACCCCAAAGCGCGAACGGUCGCCCCUCCCAAAGGUACGUCUCCUAAUCUUCCUAUCAGACCUUAUGACUUACACCAUAAGCCUGAUGACUAUACACGCACAUUGCAGAAGGAAGUGAAAAAGAGCAGUUCAACUACAAGCAAGAAAAAAUCAGACGUUCCUCAGCUUGGACAACAGGCCAAACAGUCGAUCCCACCCCUCAAGGUGUUAACCGAGAAUGUUCCCCCUCCGGUGCAGGGGCUAGCUUUAGAAACAGCAAAGGAGUUGGCGGCUCAAUGUGGUAUCUCGGUUGAAGAAUUGCUGUCUUCCCAAGACGACAAGAUACCCAAGGCUGUGGUAGCCCCUAAGCCAAAGUUUGUCAUGGGUGAGCCUUUGGUCAGCAAAGAUGAUCUCGCAACAAAUAUGCGUUACUUGCAUACAUGGUACUUAAGUGAAUCAAAGAAGGGGAGAACGAUGAUCGUGCUGAGUGUGCCACGGGAGUACUACGGCCGCCCCGAAGAAAUCCAUAUCGACUUUGAUGAACUCUUCCAGAUGUACAUUGCCGACGCCCUCGACAAAUCGCUUAUGAGUUGCUAUUGUCUGUAAGUUUUUCAAUUCGUUAUCUACAUAUAACUUGUUCAGUUAUUUCAAUUCAUUGUCUAUAUAUAACUUGUACUCUAUUAUGCAGAAUGAAGAUUCUGGAUUGUAAAAGUAAGAGCAUCAUAAAUAUUGGGUUUAUUGACCUAGAUAAAAUACAUAUAGCGACGUUAACUAAUUAUCCCAGGGAGACGGAGGAAAACCUUCUAAGGUUUCUAACAGAUCAAAAUUUCUGUGACCACAUACUGUUUCCAUACAACUUCAGGUGAGGGUCUUUACUCUGUUGUGUCCAUUCACUUAUAAGUGUAAUUGAUAAAUUACUAACACACACACACACACAUAUAUAUAUAUACAUGUGCAGCUUCCAUUGGAUUCUGUUGGACAUUCAAAUUGAUAAGGGAAGAGUUGAUGCCUUCGACCCAUUAUCGAGACCCUUGGAUCAGUUCCAAAGCCUGCAGGACAUGCUCCAAGGGUAAUUUUAAUCAUUCUUGCGCUCUACCGGUCUCUUUCGAUGAUUUUCUGAUAUAUCAAUUAAUGAAAAACUUAGCAAAUCAUUAUCCUUGUCGGGCAGGGUAUGAAAGCGGUUCAAGUGCGUGACUCCCGGUAACUUUCCUGAGAAGCUGACCUUUAGAGCGGCUCAGGUAAGUAGUAGUAUGAUAUACUUUUAUUAAUUUUUAAUACAUUUAUGAUGCUAGAUUAUUAUUUUGAUUAUAUAUAUUCUAUUCUCGUAAAGUGCGACCAACAACCACGGGGAACGCAUCUAUGCGGAUACUAUGUUUGCGAGACCAUUCGCACGUUUACCUCUGAGCUCAAGGAUCACAUAUUCGACGUAAGCAAUGAACAUUCACACCUCUAUUUUUACCCGUCAUUCUUUGUUAUCAUGAUUGAUAUUCAUAUUCAUCUCCUCUUCUUAUAUAGCACACGGCCACGAGGACGAAGGUCCUACCAGAACAACGCGCGAUUGCUGUUGCAGAGGGGCUUGCGGGAUUUCUGAGGACGGAAGCUAUAGAUGACAAAUGACGAUUUAGUGUAGCUAGGGGCCAUUACUAAUGUUCGUCCAUGUAAUCGAAUAGACGGGCUCUAGUCCCGAUAAUUCAGAUCUGCAUAUAAUUGUAUAUAUAUGCUCGCUUGUAAGAUAAGUUAAUCUUAUAUAUAUACGCAUAUUUAUUUCUAUUUAAAUUAUAUGAAAACUAAUUCCCGAAAACCAAACGAGGCAUUACGUUAAUCUUCCGAACACCUAAACCCUAAAACCCUAAAACCCAAAAAUAAUUUCAUUCAGAAAAAAACCCAAAAACCAGGAAAAUCUGAAAAUCUUCAGUCCCGGCCCGUGUAACGAACCGGGACUAAAGGUCCUGCCCGUGGGGCGCUACGAGGCGCCCACGUGGAGCACCUUUAGUCCCGGCUUGUAACAUGGCCGGGUCUAAAGGCUAGGCCUUUAGUCCCGCUCCUUUAGUCCCGGUUGGUGAACCGGGACUAAAGCCCCUUACAGGCCGGGGCUAUAGGCCCUGUCCCCACUAGUGCAUGUGAAUCGUUGAAAUUUUAUCUUUUUCACAAGAGGUGGAUAAAAUCUUUUGACACCCAACCAUUUGGUCAAUUGUACAUUAAAUAUGUCCUAGUGUUUUAGAAAAAUUAUUUGGUCCAAUUUUACAACAAAUAUAUGGUAGGUCCUUCACAAAAAAAACUCAUUUGGGACACUCGAAAAAUGGAAAAUGAAAUUUCCGUCCAAAGAACAUGAAAACUUCCUUAGGCAACAUUGUUUUCCAUUCCAAUACUCACUCUUGUGCACAAUAUGAGAUCAUUUAAACAAACUAUGUCAUGAAUGUGACCAUAAGAUUGAUCAUUUGGCUUGAAAGCCAUGAAUUUUAAAAUAAUUGCCAUAUUACAAGUUUAUUAUUUUACCUUGUAAAUUUGUCACAUAUAAUGACACAAUGUGAAGGUUUCCCUUUUUUUGAUUUUUUUAAUUUUUCUUGCCCAUUUAAAAAUGCGGCCAAAACGGCGGGUAUGACCGUUCCUAGCUAGUGGUUGAAUCUUGAAUUUUUUUUGGUGUUUCUCUGAUUAAAUGGAUACUUAUGUACUCAAAAAUGAUGUUUGGAAAAAAUAAAGAGCAAACUAUAAGGGAGCUGCAGUUCAAAUUUAACCCGCUUCCAUUUGAAUUGAUGGAAAUUUGUCUUUUUCACGAAAGGUGGAUAAAAGAUUCUGACAAUGGAGGAUAAUGCACCAUUUUACACAAUAUUAUAUAAUUUGAUAUUUUGCAUCGAAUAUUUGAUAUUUUAUGCAAUUUUGUCCAGAGAUUUGGGUUAAACAAUCGAGUUUAAGCUGACCAAUGAGAGACUAGAAAGUGUCUUCACGUGGAUCACCCAAUUGGACAUGAUCUGAGCCAUCCAUCAGCACCCAUCCAAUGGUGGAGCCACUCCUGAAAAAACAAAACCCUAACUACCCACCCACCCUUUCAUUCUUCCUCGCUCUCCGGAUCCGAUCUAUCCCUCGNNNNNNNNNNNNNNNNNNNNNNNNNNNNNNNNNNNNNNNNNNNNNNNNNNNNNNNNNNNNNNNNNNNNNNNNNNNNNNNNNNNNNNNNNNNNNNNNNNNNNNNNNNNNNNNNNNNNNNNNNNNNNNNNCGCGGCUGGAUCCCCGCCGAGGGCAAGCAGAUCUUCUUCUUGAUGGCGAGGUGAGGCCCGAGUUGCCUCCAUUAGCCGUCGUUUGUAUUAUUUUCCCUUUGUAGACUCACGAUUCAUAUAUUAUUUCUUUCUACUGUAGGUCAACAAGUACAGAAAGUAGGCCAUAUAAAUUGCAGGUUGUAGUGUCAGCAAUAAGCAGGGGACGCAUCAAGACAUCGGGUAGUACCAUGAAUGUUUUUAUUAACAAGAGAAUAGUACUCCCUCCAUUCUAAAAUUCUUGUCUUAGGUUUGUCGGAUGUAUCUAAAUACUAAAACAUGAAUACAUUUAUAUCUAGACAAAUUUAAGACAAAAACUUUGAAACGGAGGAAGUACUUUACAGGAGAAUAAUAAAUUUUUAGUUUUUAUAUGCAUAAUAUAAUAAAUAAUGUGCAAUGUCCAUGUACGAAAAUACAGUGGACACCUAUCCUGAAGCUAGAACUGUUGCAUUGUCGCCCUAUAUCUUGCUUGCAUGCUUGUAUGAAUAAAGCACCAUUGCUGAAUGGCUUGAUGAUACUUGUACCAAUAGUUGUUAUCAUAUACUCCCUCCGUUCCUAAAUAUAAGUCUUUUAAGCGAUUUCACUAAAGGACUACGUACAUAGCAAAAUGAAUGAAUCUACACUCUAAAGUAUGUCUAUAUACAUCCGUAUCUAGUCCUCUAGUGAAAUCUCUAAAAAGACUUAUAUUAUGAAACGGAGGGAGCAGUACCUAGCAUCGGUGGAGUCAAUUUCUAUGAGACUCAUUGGAUCUUCAUGCAACCCAUGUCAGCUUAUGUGUGAAAUCGUACAACAUUGUAUCUAGCUUGUGUACUGUCUAGUGUCUACUGCUGUGUGUGAAUAAGCAGUAGUCAUGGCAGUUAAUCUGCUUGUUGCUUUUAAUCUAUUAUCGGUGUUCUCCAUUAUAUAUUGCCUGUCAAUAUAAGCGUUUCAACCCAUUCAUUUUGAAUCUGUUGGCAGCAGUCAACUCACAAGUACAUUCUUUUGCUUCAUCAUUAUAUGUUACCAUGUCAAUUUAAGACCACUAGUUGAUGCUGAACAAGUUAUAUAUAUAAUGCUGUGAAUUUGUUAGUGCUCUUGCACGUAUUUUAGAAGUAGCACCUCCUUGCAUAUAUUUGAUACAGUUUGAUAAUUUUGACAGGUGAGAAUUGGUCUUUGUGGUAAUUGCACCGCCACCCCCUCCCCUCGCAUGGAUCCGUGGAUCUCGGCCGCCUACCAUGGGUUUGCUUGCUCCCCGCCGUUUCUGUACAUGAUUUGAUUUCCGGUCGCCUUUGGUUGCGCUCCGUGCAGGUCCUACUGAUUUUUUGAGGGGAGGGGACUCACAUCGUCAUCUCCUUGUUCGAGAGACUCCAAAAUGUGCAUCCAGCUGCUUCUCUCAACCCCGAGGAACGCCCAGACGGAUGUAAGUGCUCAUGCAUUCAUCUGGACCUCUUAUUGUAGUAGCUCAUAUGCUUGAUGCCUGUAUCUCCGCCUCUUUACUGUUUUGCUAGAACCAUAAAUCCUGAUGCAUGAUGAUCAUGGUCUGGUUUAUUAGAUUUGUUCUGUUGGUGUUUAAAAUUUGACAUGCAUGGAUUCUGAAUGAACUCGUUCUUACAAUUCUUUUCAUUUUUAUGAUCAAUUUAAUUAGAGUUGCACAUGUCAGUAUACUAUACACCACAAAAAAUCCUAGCUAGUGUGAGAACAUUUUAAUCCCUUCAUAAACACAUAGUGAUUAGUGUUAGUCAUACUAUUUAUGUACAUUUCAUUUUCUGUCAAUUCUUGCUUCUAAGUUAUUGGAUCCCUCAUUGACCACUGUUUGAUGUUGUUUACACAUUCUUAUUCUUAUAUGUCCAUUCUUAUUUUUUGCACAGGUGAAGUGUGAAUCCAAGUCCGAAGUUGUGAAGCAUAUUAACAAAGAGUAGCAUAUUAUGUGUCGUAAUUCUAGGCAGUAGUAGGCUUAUGUGUGCUAUAGUAUACUAUAACGAUUGUAAUAGACUAAUGUAGUGUUGUUUUCGAUGAAUUUCAUUUGCUUUCUAGAUUGUUCAAAAUAAUGAUUGUGUAUGUGAUUUGAAUACCCGUGAAAUGGUAACCUGACAAAGGGGUCCAAAGGGUCCAAGUUAUAAUGGUUGUUUGACAUAUUUUGAAAUUUCUGAUGUGUGGGACCAAUUUUGAGAUAAGCAUGACAAGUCGGACUAAUCUAACUGGUGGGACCAGCUGCAAAAUAAAAUGGCUAAAAUAUAAAAUCAGUAGAGAAUAAAAGGCUGCAUCCUAGAAAAUAAAAGGCCGAAUUGCUAGGCUAGGCCCAUGUAGCUAGCGAAAAUUAACAGGAAAAAUAUAUAUUGAAAAGGCUGAAUUAAUGGGUUCAGCCCAUCUAAAGUACCGAACUGGAUCGGGUUGAUUCUUAUCAACGACCAAUCCAAUUGGUCGUAACUUUGCCACGUCAGCUUGCCACGUUGGAUUCGACGUGGCCUAGGCAGACAACCAGUGACCAAAACAAUUGGUCGUAGAACCAAUGACCUUUUCGUUUGGUCGUAAAUGUCUUCGACCGUUCCAGAAGAAAGAUCGUUAUAGUUCAUUAGAGACGGCCAGCUUUUGACCAACCCAUUUUGGUCGUAGAAAGGUCAAAAAUGGAAACUAACGACCAAUCAGUGAGCAAUAUUGACGGUCACAAGUUGCCAUAUUUCUUUUAGUGUUAUCGCACGUGUUGAACCGGUGAUUGUCCAAGAGCUCUACAAUCAACUCCUCAGCUGUGAAGCUCGCAUGAAUCUUGCAAGGUACCAAUACUCACCAAUCUUGAGUUAAUUCUCUUUUCCCUGGUUGCAGCAAUGGUGCUCGAGGCCGUGGUCAGCAGUCAGGGCACGGUCACGGAAACAACAACUCGGGGCGUGGGAGCUCCAACAACUUUGGCCCACGCGCCAGCACCAAGCCACGUUGCCAGCUCUGCAAAAAAUCAGGACACAAGGUGAAGGACUGCUGGCAUCGUGAUGAUGAAGACUAUGUCCCCAAAGAGCACCAUGUUGCUGCUGCAAUGAGGGGGCAAGAAGAAGGAGGAGAGACUGUUUGGUAUGUUGACUCUCGAGCAACGAAUCAUGUCACCAGUGAGUUGGAGAAACUUGCUCAUCGCGAAAAAUAUUAUGGCAAUGAUCAAAGUCUUCUAUUAGUUGCCCUAAUUCUAAACGUGAUCUUAUUCUUAAAGAUGUCCUUCAUAUUCCUCAAGCCAAUAAAAACCUUGCUUCUAUGUCUCGUUUGUCCUCUAACAAUAAUGUUCUCUUUGAAACUCAUCCCAAGUGUUUUUUUUUCAUUAAGGAUCGGGCAACGAGGGAGCUCCUCCAUCACGGUAGAUGCGUCAGUGGGCUAUAUCCUAUCACCUCAAGUGCUUUGAGCCGCAAGUAUUAUUUUCAAGUCUACUCCGUCGUCAAGCCGUCCUUAGCAAAGUGGCAUCAAAGAUUAGGACAUCCUUCUUUCAAAGUAGUUGAUCGAGUUAUCAAUAAAGGCAAUCUUCUAUUGUCUAGUAGUGAGAGUCAAGAGCCUGUUUGUGAUGGUUGUCAAUGUGCCAAGACUCAUCAACUCCCCUAUCCUAAAUCUUAUAGUGUGUCUCAUGCUCCUUUGGAAUUAAUAUUCAGUGAUGUAUGGGGUCAUGCUAGAGAUUCCUUUGGAAGAAAAAAAAUAAUGUGUUAGUUUCAUUGAUGAUUAUAGUAAGUUUAAUUGGAUAUACUUGCUUAAAUUCAAGUCUCAGGUCUUUACCAUCUUCCAAGAGUUCCAAAAACUUGUUGAGCGAAAAUUUGACAGAAAAAUCAUUGCUGUCCAAAGUGAUUGGGGAGGAGAGUAGGAAAAACUCAACUCUUUCUUUCGAAACAUAGGCAUUGAGCAUCACGUUUCAUGUCACAUGCACAUCAACAAAACGGUUCGCUCAUGCAUCGAUGCCUCUCAAAUAUUGGUAUGAGGCCUUCAUUGUUGCCACUUAUCUCAUCAAUCGUUUACAUAGCAAGGUCAUUGGAAAUACAACUCCCUUAGAACGAUUGUACAAUCAAAAACCAGAUUAUAAUUCUCUCAAGGUGUUUGGUUGUGCAUGUUAUCCUAAUCUUCGUCCAUAUAAUCGUCAUAAACUUGAGCUUCGCUCCACACAAUGUGUGUUUCUUGGCUAUAGUAAUCUCCAUAAAGGAUACAAAUGCCUAGAAGUCUCGACUGGUCGUAUCUAUAUUUCAAGGGAUGUUGUUUUUUAUGAAAGUAACUUUCCUUUUGCAAAGCUUCAUCCUAAUGUUGGAGCUCUUCUUCGUGUUGAAAUUUCCCUUCCUACUAAUCCUCUGAACCAUCCUGAUCACGAGGGUAAAUUACUAGAAGAUGAUUAUGUGCUUAGUUCAACGGAAACUUUGGAUCCUAAUACAAAGAGUGCAGAAAUUGGCUGUGAUUUUAUGUGUGCAGUAGACAACAGCGGAGAAGGCCCUGGAUCCCAUGAUGGUUUGCAGCAGCCUGUCAGCUCGCGAUCCGAGGAAGAUAGCGCCGCUAAGAGCAAGUACAAUAGUAGAGCCGGCUGCCGGCUGUAAGCUCAUGCCAUGUCAUCUAUAGCCCUUCUUAUAGCUAACAUAUACAAUAGUUGGUUAGAACAGUGUACCACUUAUUUAUUAUAUGAUCCACCUUUCAUUCUCACAAAGUGUCUAGGACCACGUGCUAGAGCUGGCUUUUAACUAAGAGCCUGCUUACCUUCUCUCUCCUCCAACUAAGCAAAAAUAUAGUACUUUAUUCCGUAUAGCCAGCUGACUCAGCUCUAUUUUACUUGCUCAAGCGCGCUGGAGCCUCUUGGCGAUGCUGGAGCCUCUGACUCAUCGCCAAGUGGCAGGGCCGGUGCUAGCCCUGAACUCGUAACUGACCAAGGGGUUAACAACCCAACUGUGGCGGUGGGGCCCGCAGACAGCUCGCCAGAAGCCAAUGUGAGAGUCCCAACGACAGGUGCUUCUGGUGUGAGGCAAAUCAGUCUCAAAUCGGACGAUUCCUCAAAUCAAGAGCUCCUUGGCACGGCAAUCCAAGUAGAUAUGGUGGGAUCCUUGUUGGAAAUAAAUCGUGACGAAGCAUGGACCGGCGUCAGUGCAUCAGGUCGGGUCCGUAACGGUGCGACCGACGUCGGUGCGUCAGGUCGGAUCCGUGACGGUGCGACCCACGUCGGUGCGUCAGGUCGGAUCCGCGGGCUGGGUCAUGAUGGUGUGUGUGCGUGUGAGGUGUGUGUAGUGUAGCGCGAGGCAGGCUCGCGAGGCAGGCUCGCGUGCGUGGUAGGUAAGGUAGUGGAGCUGGCCGUUAGCUGCGUUGUGCAUGUCGUGCGCGUUUGCCGGGCGGAUCGCUAGCUCCGCUACGUGCGUAUGUGCACAGGAGACGUAGGUGUUGCGUAUGCAUGCACGUAUAAAUCCCUUCCUCUAUGAAAAUGAUCUAGUGGGUGGUGUGCGUGUGAGACAAAGGAACAAGGGCUGUAUGUGCAGCCGGAAAAACAACUCUGCUAUCUCAUACUUCUUCUACCUCCGUUCGCUGUGAGAGAAUCGCUCCAACAAUUGGUAUACACAGCUUCGUUGCGAUCCUGUCGGCAGCCAUGGCCCUCGUUCCGUACGAUGCCGGAGGGAGCACGGUGUCGCUUCCUGUACCGAUGCUCACCGGUGAUAACUACACCGUGUGGGCGAUCAAGGUGGAGGCGGACCUCGACGCGCAAGGGCUGUGGGAAGCGAUGGUUCCGGCAGAGGACUCGGCGGUGGCGGUCAUCGGGAAGAAGGACAAGCCGGCAAGGGCAUAUCUCCUCGGAGCGUUCUCCGAAGACAUCCUGCUGCAGGUGUCGUCGAAGAAGAUGGCGGCGGAGCUGUGGGCGAGCCUGAAGACACGGUUCGUCGGUGCGGACCGGGUGAGGGCGGCGCGGCUCUCCACUCUCCGCGGUGAGUUCGAUCGCCUGCGCAUGGAGGACGACGACGAGCUGGACGCGUACGCCGGAAGGAUCAGCGGUAUGGUAGGAAGGUACGCGGCCCUCGGAGCGACGCUCGACGACGCGGCCAUGGUGAAGAAACUGCUCGACACCGCGCCGGACUGGCUGUACGCAGCGGUGGCCGGAAUUGAGCAGUUCUGCGACGUCGACAUGAUGCCGUUCGAGGAGGUGCUCGGCCGGCUGAAGGCGUUCAAGGAGCGGACGAGGCGGCGCACUCAGGACAAUGGCGGACGUGGCGGUGGCCAGCUCCUACUCACGACGGCUCAAUGGGCGGCAAGGCGACGUCAGCACGGCGGCGGCUUCGACCACGAUGAUGACGGCGCGGGUAGCACGGCGUCGGGCGGCGCAGCAAAGCGACGAGGAGGCCGUGGGCGCUGCUACAACUAUGGCCAGCGUGGACAUUUCCGGGGGGAGUGCCCGAGGCCACGUCAGGCGAAGGCGGCGGAGCACGCGCUUGUCGCGGCGGUCGACGACGAUGUCAGGCCGGCGCUCCUGUAGGUCACGACUUGGGGGGUGAUUGUUGGAAAUAAGUCAUGACGGAGCACGAUGCGAUCGACGUCAGUGCGCCAGGUCGGAUCCGUGACGGUGCGACCGACGUCGGUGCGUCAGGUCGGAUCCGCGGGCUGGGUCAUGACGAUGUGUGUACGUGUGACGUGUGUGUAGUGUAGCGCGAGGCAGGCUCGCGUGCAUGGUAGCCAAGGUAGUGGAGCUAGCCUUUAGCUGCGUUGUGCGCGUCGUGCACGCUGGCCGGGCGGAUCGCUAGCUCCGCUACGUGCGUGUGUGCACAGGAGACGUGGGCGUUGCGUAUGCAUGCACGUAUAAAUCCCUUCCUCUGUGAAACUGAUCUAGUGGGUGGUGUACGUGUGAGAUAAAGGAACAAGGGCUGUAUGUGCAGCCGGAAAAACAACUCUGCUAUCUCAUACUUCUUCUAUCUCGGUCUGCUGUGAGAGAGUCGUCCCAACAAUCCUCUGUGGCUGGUUCUGGUACUACAGUCUGCUGCUGCUGCUUCUUCACAUGCAUCAUCGGGUAAUUCUUAGCGCAAUACCAGAUUAAAAUCUGGGGUAUUCAUACCAAAAGAAUACAAAGAUGGUACAGUAAGGUAUGAUUUUCAUAAACGUGAUUUCCUUGCUAGUACCGGUGAACCCACUCAUUUGCAUGAAGCUCUUGCUCACAAAGAAUGGAAAGGGGCUAUGGAUAGUGAAUAUCAAGCACUCAUGAAAAAUAAAACAUGGCAUUUGAUACCACCAGGAAAAGUAAAGAACCUAAUUGAUUGUAAAUGGGUCUAUAAAAUUAAAAGGAAAGCAAAUGGCAGUAUAGAACUAUAGAUAGAUACAAGGCUAGGUUAGCUGCAAAGGGUUUUAAGCAAAGGUUGGGAAAUGAUUAUGAGAAUACUUUUAACCCUGUUAUUAAAGCAGCUACUAUUAGACUUGUGUUAUCUAUUGCCAUUUUCAGAGGGUGGAGUUUACGAAAGCUAGAUGUUCAGGACGCGUUUCUUCAUGGUGUUCUUAAGGAAGAAGUGUUCAUGUGGCAACCAUCAAGAUACGAAAACAAAGACACACCUCAUUAUGUUUGUAAAUUGGAUAAGGCUUUGUAUGGUUUGAAACACGCCCCAAGUUCCUGGUACUCCAAGUUGAGCACAUAAUUACAACAACUUGGUUUUACUCCAAGCAAAGUGGAUACAUCAUUGUUCUUCUACAAUAAAGGCAACAUUACUAUAUUUGUUCUUGUCUAUGUUGAUGAUAUAAUUAUUGCUAGUCCAGCUCAGGAGCCACUGCAUGUCUGUUUCGUGACCUUAAUGUUGAAUUUGCACUCAAGGAUUGGGGAGAUCUUCACUACUUCCUUGGCAUAGAGGUAAAGCAGAUUAAAGAUGGGAUAAUCCUGACACGGGAAAAAUACACUACAAAUAUCCUAAGAAGGGUAGGACUAGAACAUUGCAAACCGGUAAGCACACCACUUUCCACUUCAGAAAAACUUACAGUUGAGGGAGGUGAAUUACUUGGAACAGAUGAUGCAACAAACUAUAGGAGUAUUAUUGGUGCAUUACAAUACUUAUAUCUGACUAGACCAUAUAUUACAUAUUCUGUGAACAAAGUUUGUUAGUAUUUACAUGCAUCAAGUACAGUUCAUUGGAUUGCAGUUAAGAGAAUUAUGAGGUAUCUAAAAUUUACAAUGGGACUUGGGAUCAAGAUCACUAAGCCAUCCUCUAUGCUUGUUACUUGAUAUUUUGAUGCAGAUUGGGCAGGGUGUGCUGAUGUCAGAAGGUCCACAGGUGGUUUUGUUGUGUUCUUGGAAGCAAACCUUAUAUCAUGGAGUGCAAGAAAACAUGCUAGUGUUUAAAGAUCGAUUACAAAAGCAUAAUACAUACAAAGCUCUUGCUAAUGCUACUACUGAAAUCAUGUGGAUUCAAACCCUUCUGUAUGAACUCGGGAUGAAAGCUCCACAAGUUGCAAGGUUAUGGUGUGACAAUAUUGGUGCAACCUACCUUUUUACAAACCCUGUUUUUCAUGCACGAACAAAACAUAUAGAAGUUGAUUUUCACUUUAUAAUGGAAAGAGUAGCACACAAGUUGCUUGACAUCCAGUUUAUUCCCACAGGAGAUCAACUUGAUGAUGGCUUCACAAAACCACUCACCACAAGGAGAUUGAAUGAGUUCAAGAACAAUCUAAACCUAGACUUAGUUCCCCAGGUUUGGAUUGAGGGGGGAUGUUAGAAUUGGUUACGUAGAGAUAUAAUUUAAAUGUAAUGUGUCGCUACUUCUUCUCUAUCUUUUCCCUUUGAAUUGUAUCUCUCUCAAUCUCUAUCUGAAAGAAUCCUAGCGAUAUUCCAAACUUGUAAGCCACGACAAACCUUCUAUAUAUUGAGAUGCGGCCGGGAUAAGGGGUUCAACGGUUUCACAUAUCUUUACACACACGUCCUCAUCCGCCGUGCCAACCAGCUUCCUCGCCCGACCAUUGGCCACACGACAUCGGUCAUAAUUGUCGAUACAGGUGUUCGACGUAGGGAAGUGCCAGCUGAAUGACAGCGAGCCGACCCGAUGAACGCCACAUGGACCGGCGCUGCCACGUGACCGACCAGAAAGGCCGUACUCGAGCUUGCUCAGGUUGAUGUAGUUAUCAAAGUAAGGGAACUGGUCGAGGUGGUCGAAUUGGUUUCCAAAGCAGUGAGGAUGUGAGAGUAUUGCGCUUCGAGCUGCUCUUCGACGGCUGAAAAUAGGCGAAUGAGCUCCUCCAGCAUCGGCCGCACCCCCGAGCCGAGCUUGCCCACGUCCACCGGGCUCAACAGGAUGCCUUAUCAUUUAGGGAUCUUCUCCACGAGAGCAGCCACCUUACCAUUUUGGGCCUCCAUGUCACUUGAUUGAUAAGCACUAAUGGCUGAUGCUGCAGUGCAAAUGUAGACUAGUGCUAUGAUCGAUGGAGCCGAUGCUUGAAAAUCCGACGCCUCGCAAGUACCUCCGUAAAAACAAAAUCUUCGCCAUUCCGCCAAGCUGCAAGCUAGAGGAACUCACGUUCUGCAGGUUUGUUGGAGAAAGAUCACUGGGUACCUUUCUCCUAUUCGCCAAGUGACCAUGUUAUUUGUUAUCCGGUGCUUGCAAGUUGACCAUGUUAGCACCCCGAUAACUCCUCUAACCUCUUUCAAGUGGUUGCUAGAACAAUGACCAGGGAUCUGGAGCUGGAGAUAGACAAGCAGCCAAACGUCUCACGCUUCACACAAAGAGCCAAUUUCGGCGCACGGCGCUGGAUUCCAGGAUUUCCAGAUGUUGGAGGAUUUGCCAGACAUGUGCGAUGCCUAACUCCGAGAAGAAGCCAAAAAGAGGAACAAGAUGAGGAUAACUGGAAAGGUAGUGAGGAAUCACCGCAUGUGCUCGUUGCAUUAGCAGCCAUGUUAAGGCUGUUACCAGCGUCCUUGCAUCUCGCUGACAAGCCCAUGGUUNNNNNNNNNNNNNNNNNNNNNNNNNNNNNNNNNNNNNNNNNNNNNNNNNNNNNNNNNNNNNNNNNNNNNNNNNNNNNNNNNNNNNNNNNNNNNNNNNNNNACAAUUUGUGCCAAACUAUGCCUUUGGAUGCAAAUAUUAGCUUUGUGCGGAUAAAUAAAUAAAUAAAUAUAACAACGACAUUCAAAAAUGAAAUUGCGGGAUAGCAUUUUUACAGUGAAUUUUAAAUGGCAGAAAGUUUCUUGCAAUUAACGGUCCCUACUUUCUUUCUUUUUUGAGAACUACACGGCUCAUUAUGCAAAAACAAUGAUAGGUUCCAUAGAGAUGAUAUCAGGUGGGUUAAGCAGACACAAUUGGCGCCCCGCAUCUAGACUAACAGCAGCUUUGGCUAAAUCAUGAGCUUCCCAGUUCAUCUCCCUCACUGGUAGAAAAAGAGGCUUCCGUCCAGCCCCAUAAGUCGCGAAACUGUAGGAACCGCGACUAAUGAAUUCUUUAGUCGCGGUUCGGAAGACGAACCGCGACCAAAGUCCUGGGCCCAGGGCGCUCGGUGGCCAGCUGGUGCACGUGAGGGGCUUUAGUCACGGUUGGCCAGGCCAACCGCGACUAAAGGUCUUUAGUCGCCGGUCGCCUGGCCAACCGCGACUAAAGGUUGUUGCGCGCGGGAACGAAAAACCCGCCAAAAACCCUUUAGUCGCGGUUGGGGAGGCGACCCGCGACUAAAGGGUACCCUUUNNNNNNNNNNNNNNNNNNNNNNNNNNNNNNNNNNNNNNNNNNNNNNNNNNNNNNNNNNNNNNNNNNNNNNNNNNNNNNNNNNNNNNNNNNNNNNNNNNNNNNNNNNNNNNNNNNNNNNNNNNNNNNNNNNNNNNNNNNNNNNNNNNNNNNNNNNNNNNNNNNNNNNNNNNNCGACUCCAUCUCGUCUUCUCCGAUCUCUGCCGCGCCGAAGGCCUGCCGUCGUCGCCCUCGCCCUCGACGCCGCCCGCCGUCGCCCUCGCCGCCCGCCCUCGCCCUCGCCCUCGACGCCGCCCUCGCCGCCCGCCGUCGCCCUCGCCCUCGACGCCGCCCGCCGUCGCCCGCCGUCGCCCCUCGCCCUCGACGCCGCCCCGUCUCGCCCACGUACGGCGCCGCCGGCCGCUAUCACCGGCCUCCCUCGCCCGCCCUCAACGCCGCCAGCCGUCUCUUGUCCGAUUCACAUGCAUGCCCCGGGAGCCCAUCAUCCGUUGUCAAUAUAAGUUAGAAUUAUGCCCCGUAGAAUAUGUGAAACUCCUUCAAAAUUAAAAUAAAGCACAAAAGAAAUAAAACAAUACAAAUUAAACAGAAAACAGGUUUGGGGGGGGGGGCUAAAACCCUAAACCUGCGGCGGCCUUUAGUCGCGGUUGUCCAUAAGAACCGCGACUAAAGGUCCUCCGCCACGACGGCCGCCUGGCGCCCACGUGGACGGGCCUUUAGUUGCGGUUCUUAAGCAACCGCGACUACAGGGGGGGGCCUUUAGUCGCGCCUAUUUGGUCGCGGUUGCGCAACCGCGACUAAUGGCAGUUGCGAACCGCGACCAAAGGCACUUUUUCCACCAGUGCCUGUUCUCAUGAUCAACGUGGCAUUCAUCAAAUUCGACCAUCUUUGUCUUGACAUCUGAGAUAAUGGCAGAACUGGUUUCCAUAUACCGACCUUGCAAAUUCUUGACUGUAGCCGCACUAUCAGUAACUACGUGGAUGUUGCAAAGACUCGGAUCAGAGGCUAAUGCAAGGGCUUCCCUGAAAGCCAUAGCCUCUAGAAUCUCCGGCUGUACUUGGUCUUGCAACACUACCGCCAACGCUCCAUGAAAAAGACCCACAUCAUUCUGACAGACCACAGCCACCGAUCCUUUAUCACCAUGUCGUGAGACAGCAGCGUCAACCAUUAACUUUGUGCAGCCCUGCUCAGGUUGUCUCCAAGUUCUUCUAGCUCUGGUCGUCGAGCGUUGAGUAUGUGUUGGGGGACACCAAUUUUCCGAUUGGUCUGGUAGCAUGGCUAGAUCACUCAUGUACGUACUUCACAAUAAAAUUAACGGUCCCUACUCAGCCCAUGUGAAAUCACCAAUUGAGGAUUAUUUAUUUCAAAAAUCACUUUCACCUUUCCAGGUUGCGACAAGUGAUGCACUGCAUAUGUGUCACUUGUCGUAACACGAGAGUUACUUUUUUUUCGUAGAUCCAUAUUUUCAAAACAUUUUAUCUUUUAAACCGUGCAUCCAAAUCUUAAACUGUUUUCACCGUUGGGUCCCUCGCAUCGAGAUCUUUAAAAUUAGAUCUCAUGUUGAUAGAUUUUGACGGACUUUUUUGAUGAAAAAACCAAAAGAAAAAAAAAACGGACGUAAAAAAACCAUGCCUCCGUGAUAGAAAAAACAGAAAAUGCAAUUUUUUCGUUUCCGAGGGGCACGACCGUGCCUCUCGCAAAGGCAAAAUUAUGCCUCUCGUGGAAGCAAAAUUGUGCCUCUCACGAAAAAAAUUGCUUUUUUCCGUUUCCGAGAGGCACGGUGCCUCUCACGAAAGCAAAAUCAUGCCUCUUGCGAUAGAAAAAACCCAAAAAAUAUGUUUUUUUUUGUUUCUGAGAGGCACGGCCAUGCCACUGACGAAAGAAAAAUCGUGCCUUUCGUGAUAAAAUAAAUAAAUAAAUAAUACAUAUUUUUUUGUUACAAGAGGCACGUGCCUCUCGCGAAGGCAAAAUCAUGUCCCUCGCAGAAGCAAAAUCGUUCCUUUCACAAAAAAAUUACACAUAACGCGUUUUCAGAAAAUAUAUUUGGAAAAACAAUUCGCCCGAAAGUUAAGAAAUGUCGGUGGAAAACCGAAACACCAAAAAAGAAAAACAUUCACCUAAAAACGAAAGUGUGUGGGAAAAAACUCCAAAAAAACGCUCAGAACAUGACACCUGGCGGAGGCUGAUCACGCGACAAAUGACAGCGUGUGGGAGUGAUCGUUAGAAGGCUUCUAAAAUAGCGCUCGCCAACUAAUUGCUCUCCAGCCCACGCUGGUGGCGCAUGACGUGUCUUGCUACAGCCUAAACUUGAGCUGCAGGCUGGAUUACCGCGGCCUGCCGAGGCCCAGGCAGCGUGAGGGGCAGUUCUUGCUGGCUGAAUUGGCCCGAUUAAUACAGUGCAUCGUCUUCAUAAAGGCAACAAUUGCCCAGGAAUAAGGUGCCGCUGCUGGAGCUCGCCGGAGAAAAACAUCGUCCUCAUCGUUUCCAUAUUAGCUUAUAUUUAAUCUAUAGAGAAAUAAAUUAAUUGAGCACCUAAUCAAACUGAAUAUAACCCAAAAUGUAGCAAUUAGUUAAGUCUACUAACCACAGCAAAAUUUGCAUAUCUAAACAUAUCAAAACCUAGAGAAAAACAUAAAAUCGUUGAUAGGAAGGUCGAUCACAUGCGAUACCUCUCCGGGGAGUGCACCAACCACACACAACUUUUCUCGUGCAUGGCUACCCCCCCACCAAGCAGCUUCGUCCACGGCGAGGAAGCCACCUUGUUGGUGGUGGGCUCCGUUGAGGGUGGUCGGAUCGGUGUUUUAUCUUUUUUGUGUUAUAUGGUGUAUCUAUUGUGAGCGAGGUCGCACGGGAUAUGUAUCCAAAUAUUGCCAUCCUUGACGGUAGGUUUAUCCACCAAUUAUCAAAGCACUUCUUUAUUUCUUAGUCAAUGAAUUAUGUAUAUUUUUUAUUAGUUUUAGGUAGUGUUGCAUGUGUUUAUAUGAUUUUAAGGAUUUUGAUAUGAGAAAUGCGGGUGUGAAAACCAAUAAAUAAGACGUGUCCGGUCUGACGUUUGAGGACCUAGAUUUGCUAUGUCCGGUUGUAGAUGCUCUUAUACUUGUGAUUUUGGGACAGGCUCAUCAAGCCCAUCCCCCUAGGAUUCAGCACUGGCUGAUGAUCCUUCCGAUGUCAAAAUUGCAUAAUUCUCCUUUAUAGCACACUUUCACACUCGAAGCUGCUCCUUUGUCCAUGCCGACUAUUUGGCAAUUUUCAAUGUGGAAUAACUAGUGCGGUGAUGCCUUCUGCAAUAGUCGUCCGUGGCAAAGUCAGAAUCGCUGAGUAAUGGUGACAAAAAUAUGUGCUGCCUUUUUGUUCGCGGUAUGUGGUUUGUCUAUUGUGAGCCAGGUCGCACAAGUUUGUCCUGAAUGUUGCCAUCCUUCACGGUAGGUUUAUCCGCCAAUUAUCAGAGCACCUCUUUAUUUCUAAGUCAAUGGAGUAUGUAUGGUCUUUGGUACCUAUCCGUUUUGGACAAAAGAAGUAGAAGCAGGUGUUCAGUUCCAAGUCCCAACAACCAACAAUGAUUCACCGAAUCAAAUAGGUGGUGAUGCUCCAGCAUCUAGCUAGUAUAUAUCCAUACCACCUCCUCCUCUCUCCUUCCUCUCCAUUUCCCCAAGGUGCCGACCUCACCCACCCCCUGCAGCCUCAAGCUCAGCGGCCGCCUCAUGGCUCAUCAUGCGACGGACGUCCAUCAAUGGUGAUGCCUCCUUCUCCCCUAGCUAAUUUCUGUGCUUUGUGCCUCCCAUCGUGCUUGGUCCCCAUGGCCAGGCAGAGCGAGCAUCGACCGGAUCAGGGAAAUCUCCAAGCCGUGAUCGCCUGAGAAAACUACUUGUGGCUUCUUGAAUCUUUACUUACUUGCUGUUUUGUAGGCUCUCCGCCACGGGUGCGCUCCUGGAUGAAGACACUUCGCUAUGGCUGUCGCCGGGAGAUAACCCGGCUGAUGGUGGAUUGCUCAUUGGAUCAAAUGGAGACACAUAUUAUAUGCCACCCGGUAACCAUAUUCCUCAUCUCUCAUCUUGCUUUAUACUAUCACUAUAUCAUCUUCGUGUUUGCAUCAUCUAGAUUCUUGAUCGAGCAGUGUACGCUGCUGCUGGUAGUAAAGAGAAAGGAAAGAAAAAAGAGAUUGCUGCCAUGUUCUGCCACUGUAUUCUGAACGACUUCGUGACUAUGUUUAGGUGGAAAUCCUUGAGCAUUGAGAGUGNNNNNNNNNNNNNNNNNNNNNNNNNNNNNNNNNNNNNNNNNNNNNNNNNNNNNNNNNNNNNNNNNNNNNNNNNNNNNNNNNNNNNNNNNNNNNNNNNNNNUCCUUUCUUCUCCUUUUUCUUCCUUUCUUCUCCUUUUUUUCCUUUCUUCUCCUUUUUCUUCCUUUCUUCUAUUUUUCUUCCUUUCUUCUCCUUUUUCCUCCUUUCUUAUCCUUUUUCUUCUUUUCUUCUCCUUUUUCUUCCUUUCUUCUCCUUUUUCUUCUUUUCUUCUCUUUUUUCUUCCUUUCUUCUCCUUUUUCUUCCUUUCUUCUCCUUUUUCUUCUUUGCUUGUGCUGGCCGGAGUGUUGGGGAGGAGGGGGCGUGGGGCUUACUGGCCGGAGGUGUCGACGGCGCGCGACGAGGAGGACGGCGGCGCGCGGCGAGGAGGACGGGGCGGCGCGCGGCGAGGAGGGCGGCGCGCGGCGAGCAGGACGGCGGCGGCGAGCAGGACGACGGCGACGGCGAGGAGGACGGCAGGCGGCGGCGAGCAGGACGGCGGGCAUCCUGACGGCGUCGUUGAGAUCGUCGCUUGCCGCGCCGGGCAGGAGAACGAGAGGAAGAAGAAGAAAAAUGGACGAUUUGGGUUUGAAAUUUUCUAACUCCCGCUUAUACAGGUGAAUCAUUAGUCCCGGUUCGGGGCUCGAUCCGGGACUAAAGAACCUUUAGUCCCGGGUGGAGCCACCNNNNNNNNNNNNNNNNNNNNNNNNNNNNNNNNNNNNNNNNNNNNNNNNNNNNNNNNNNNNNNNNNNNNNNNNNNNNNNNNNNNNNNNNNNNNNNNNNNNNAUGGUAGCUAGCUGCACAAUACAAAAUUUGGGAUCAGAGGGGAGGCCGAUAGGUAGAUAAAAAUAUGGUCUCAAGCAUCAACCCAGAUCUGAAUGCAGAGUACACUUGUCUCUCUACAAAAGCAAUUGAUUGAGCAUUUUAUUCAAGAAGCGUUCUUUACAACAACAAAAGUCUGUAGUGAUCUAUUCAUACGAGCUGAGAAGGAAGAGUGAAAGACAGAAGCCAUGUAUAUAGAUGCUACUAUAAAAGCAUUGACUUUAUUUAGCAAGUUGUAUAUACCACAGUACUAAAUUUACAAGAUGAAUGAUCCACCGUUGCAGCCACCUUGUCAUUGCCCAGAUGUGCACUUCAUCGACCCCUGGGUUGAGAGCCUGACUACAUUCGACCCCAGCCCCGGAACUACCCGUGGCCUAUCGACUUACCCCAACCACACCGCAGAGGAGAUCUGCCACCAGAUUGAUCUGUGCCAAGGCCAUCUCUUUGUCAACGAUGAGGGCCUCCACCGUCGCCGUCCAGCUUGAGCCACGACGAUGAGGGGCCGACACCUGCCCGUCUGAGAGAACCGGUCUUCGCCACCACUGAGGGGAGAGGACGGUGACAGGGGUGGCACGGUGGCGAGACGCUUCCAGGAUGCGCGCGGGUUACAUCCAUGUUCCUUACACAUGAUGGUAACAUGCUUACAUGCACGACAUUAAUGAAUUAUACUACAUCAUCUCUUUGGGCAACCGAUGCUUGGUAGAUGUACUCUGCCAUGAGCCACAAGAUGGUGGUCAGCUCGCCACCACUGUUGAGCUUCUGGGCAUGGGACUCCCUGCUGCACUUGUUGCUGGCAUAGACGAGAAUGUCCAUCCACACAUCAAGGACAAGCUCCAAGGAGUCUAUGGUGCCAUCCUUCUCCUUCUCCAGCAGCUCCUUGGCAAGUCCCGCCAUGUGAGUGAGACGAGGAGCAAGGUGGCUGUACUCCUUAUCCUCGUAUUCAUUGUACAGGUUGUUGGCGAGCUCCUCUCUCUCGGCAACCCUAGAAAUGCUGGAGUGUGGGGCAUCGCGCACACGGAACAGAUCCUUGAAGACGCGUGCACGGCUCGGGUACCUAGGAUCAGCCGAUCGCCUGGUGACCAGCCUCUCGCAAGUCCGCUGGUACAACUUUUUCUGGGGCUGGCCCGGCAGCAUGUAGGGACGUUCCACCAGGAGGAACAUCAUGUAGUCGGACAUGACCCUAAUGGCGUGCACCUUAGGCUCGGCGUCCAUGGCCUUGGCUCUCUCGCUCCUUGUGAGGAAGACCUCGGUGGCAAUGUGCCAGAUGAUGAUGCCCUCCUGGAACUCGACGCCGAGGGAGUCCUUGAGGAUGCCUUUCUGGUAAAGCCCACGGCUCUUGAGCGGGUUCUGGCCCCAUUUCUUCCUCAGCAUGCCCAUGUUGAACUUCCCUUUGCUGUACAGCCGCCUCAUGUAGAUAGCGAUACGGAACUUGAUCUCAGCAGACAUCUCGACUGUCGCCGAGUAGUGCUUCCGGUUCCACCACUCGUCGGGUGCCAGUGCCCUCGCCAACCUCCCGAGCAGGGGGCUGGUGAAGAGCGUGUCGGCGGGGCGCGUGCAGAAGUGCAGCAAGUUGUACUGCCCGAUGGUGUAUGACCACCUUCUUGACUUGNNNNNNNNNNGCUGUUACCGGCAAUUCUUCCCUUGACAAGAUCGUGAAGCCACACGACGGCGCGGCGUAGCUUGUCCCAUCUCUUGUUACACAGGGCCGUGUACCGAAGCCAGUGCCAGUUGGUGGUGCUCAGGAACGCGAACGUCCAAGACGAUGCCAGCGCGUUCAGGAGCGACAUCGUCUCCAUGAACACGGCGCCACCCAGCAGGAUGUAGGUGAUGGCCACAUCGGAUCUGAUGUAGCCAUCCUUGGGGGUGAACCGGAACAGCAGAAGCGAAGUGGUGACGGCGAGCGGAGAGAUGAAGCGGAUUAGGUAGCCGCGGAAGGUGUGCACCACUGCCGCCUUGGUGUAGAGGAUGUCGUACAUGAGGGAGAGCUCGAUCUCCAUCAGCGUCCACAGCUCGACGCCUUGUAUCAGCUUGCUGGUGACCUCUUCUUGGCCGUCCAUGGAGUCCUCCUCGACCACCGAGGAGUCGACCAUGGCGCGCUUGCAGAUAUGGAACAGCGAGUGGGCUCGUCGCAGGUGGAACUCCUCGUCCGUGGCUAUGUCCUGAGGGUGGUUAUGGUUGUGGAUGGCGGCCGGCUGCGUAUUGACGGAGGCGGCGAUGCUCUCCAGGGUGCUGCACUUGAGCGCCCACGUCCUCUCCGCGUACUUGACGAAGCCGACGACGAACAUCAAAAUGGAGGCGAUCAGGAGCAGCUUCCCAUCCUGGCCGCCGGCGACGGCGAUGUGCUUCUUGAGGACGUAGCCCGCUCCUAGUACCUGCACGAUCAGGACGGUGAGGUGUCGGAGCCAGAGCUGGUUGUCCUGGAGCGCAUAGGCGGUGAUGUUGUCCGGGCCGCCGAGGUGGAGCAGCAGGAACGGCGCCCAGAACGCGACGAGCUGGUUCUCACGCACGGCGCUGCCAAACGACAGGUGGCCGACGGAGUACACGGCGGUGGAGUCGGCUAUGAGGUACGCUAGCCACAGGAGGAACCUCCGCACAGGGAGCGUCUGACGCCGGCGGAUCCCGGCAAAGACGAAGAGGACGAGCUGGAGCCCGAGGCUGAGGAGGACCAGGAUCUGCAUCGACCGGUGGUUCCAUAGCACCAGCGGCCCUGCAGCCAUACUAAUUGAUCUUCUCCUCUUGACACUCUGGUCUCCACUGCACUGCCUGGAAUUGGAUGAAUUUCCGCGGCUUUGUUUCAGGCACAUGAUCAGGAGUAAUAAACCAAAAGGAAUGUAUAGAUAACAGUACAUUAUCAUGUAUGAUAAAUGCAGGAUUUNNNNNNNNNNNNNNNNNNNNNNNNNNNNNNNNNNNNNNNNNNNNNNNNNNNNNNNNNNNNNNNNNNNNNNNNNNNNNNNNNNNNNNNNNNNNNNNNNNNNNNNNNNNNNNCAUCACAUGAUUCUCCUAAUGAUGUGAUCCAGUUAUCAAGUGACAACACUUGCACAUAGGCACAAAACCUUGACUAUCAUUGAUCAACUGGCUAGCCAACUAGAGGCUUGCAAGGGACAUUGUUCUGUCUAUGUAUCCACACAUGUAUCUACGUUUUCAUUCAAUACAAUUAUAGCAUGGAUAAUAAACGAUUAUCUUUAAACAGGAAAUAUAAUAAUAACUAUUUAUCAUUGCCUCUAGGGCAUAUUUCCAACAGUGGCUUUGAAUGGUGCAUACUGACCUCACAAAUAGUCUGGAGUUAAACUAUGUUAAAAAAUGAAAUCCCUUUGUAAUAGAUGAGUUUUCGUCCGAAACUCUGGUGCUCCGAAAAAAAUUGUCCAGUUUAUACACGAAUUGCAUCCAGCUUUUUUCAUAACCCUAUAAACUUUUUAGCACAUGUUGUGUGGGUGAAAUUAUGAUACUAUGCCAAGUUAGUACAUGUUGUGUGGGUGAAAUUAUGAUACCAUGCCAAGUUUUAACCUUUUCAGAAUUCAUUUGUAGUGCUUUUCAAUUUCAGGGUCAUUAAACUCAAAAAAAUGCAUGGAAAAUAGCAAAUAAAGUCAGGAAAGGGUCGAAAUUUCAUGAGGUCGCUUUCAAUGGAGCAUAUUGACCUCACAAACAGCGUGGAGUUAAAGUGUGUUCAAAAAAUGAAAUUCUUUUGUAAUAGAUGAGUUUUUAUCCGAAACCCUGAUAUUUCGAAAGAGAUUGUCCAGUUUGUACACGAAGUGCAUCCAGUUUUUGCCGUAACCCUCUCAACUUUUUAGCGCAAGCUAUGUGGGUGAACUUAUGAUACCAUAUCAAGUUUCAACCUUUUCAAAGCUCAUUUGUAGUGUUUUUUUUAAUUCCGGGGUCAUUUAGCUCAAAAAAAUCAUUAAAUGCAUCAAAAUAGAAAAAUUAACUCUGGAAAGGUUUGAAAAUUGAUGAUGUGACUUUGAAUUGUGCAUAUUGACCUCGCAAAGAGUCUGGAGUUAAACUAAGUUCUAAAAAAUGAAAUCCCUUUGUAACACAUGAGUUUUCGUCCGAAACCUUGAUACUUCGAAAGAGAUUGUCCAGUUUGUACACGAAAUGCAUCUAGUUUUUGUCGUAACUCUCUCAAAAAUUUGGCACAAGUUAUAUGGGUGAAAUCAUGAUACCAUGCCAAGUUUCAACGUUUUCAGAGUUCAUUUCUAGUGCUUUUCAAUUCGAGGGUCAUUUAGCACAAAAAUUGAUGAAAAGCAUGAAAAAUAAAAAAUGAUGUCAGGAAAGGGUUGAAAAUUUGAUUACGUGGCUUUGAAUGAUGCAUAUUGACCUCACAUACAGUACGGAGUUAAACUAAGUUAUAAAAAAUGAAAUCUCUUUUGUAACACAUGAGUUUCGUCCGAAACCGUGAUUUUUCGAAAGAGAUUGUUCAGUUUAUACACGAAGUGCAUCCAAUUUUUGCCGUAACCCUGUCAACUUUCUAGCACAUGCUGUGUGGGUGAAUAUAUGAUACCAUGCCAAAUUUUAACCUUUUCAGAAUUUAUUUGUACUGCUUUUCAAUUUCAGGUUCAUUUAGCUCAUUUUUUUUAUUAAAUACAUGAAAAAUAGAAAAUGAAGUCAGAAAAGGAUAGAAAAUUAAUUAUAUGACUUUGAAUGGUGCAUACUGAACGCACAAAAAGUCUGGAGUUAAAAUAAGUUCUAAAAAAUGAAAUCCCUUUAUAACAUAUGAGUUUUCGUCUAAAACCCUCAUACUUCGAAAAAGAUUGUCUAGUUUAUACACGAACUGCAUCUAGUUUUUGUCGUAACCCACUCAAUUUUUUAGCACAUGCUGUGUGAGUGAAAUUAUGAUACCAUACCAAGUUUCAACCUUUUCAGUUUUUAUUUAUAGUGCUCAUCAAUUUCAGGAUCAUUUAGCUCAAAAAAAUCAUUAAAUGCAUGAAAAAUAGAAAAUGAAGUCAAAAAAGGUUUGAAAAUUAAUUACGUGACUUUGAAUGGUGCAGAUUGAAUGCACAAAAAGUCUGGAGUUAAAUAUUUUUCUAAAAAAUGAAAUCCCUUUGUAACACAUGAGUUCUGGUCCGAAAGAGUGAUACUUCGAAUAAGAUUGUCCAGUUUGUACACGAAGUGCAUCUAGUUUUUGUUGUAACCCUCUCAAUUUUUAGCACAUGUUGUGUGGUUGAAAUUAUGAUAUCAUGCCAAGUUUCAAUCUUUUCGGAGUUUAUUUGUAGUGCUUUUCAGUUUCAGGGUCAUUUAGCUCAAAAAAUCAUUAAAUACAUGAAAAAUAGAAAAUGAAGUCACAAAAGGGUUAACAAUUAAUUAUGUAGUUUUGAAUGGUGCAUACUGAAUGCACAAAAGUCUGGAGUUAAAAUAAGUUUAAAAAUGAAAUCCGUUUGUAACACAUGAGUUUUCGUCCGAAGCAUUCAUACUUUGAAAGAGAUUGUCAAAUUUGAACACGAAGUGCAUCCAAUUUUUGCCUUAACCCUCUCAACUUUUUAGCACAUGUUGUAUGGGUGAAAUUAUAAUACCAUGCCAAGUUUCAACCUUUUCAGAGUUAAUUUGUAAUGUUUUUUUAAUUUCAGGGUCAUUUAGCUAAAAAAUCAUUAAAUGCAUGAAAAGUAGAAAAUGAAGUCACAAAAAGUUUGAUUCAUGUCAUAGUGAUCACAGAACAGAGUAGCAAAUACUAGGCAUAUAAUAAAACCAUCUACGCAUCGGGAUAAACGAGUACGCGGCGAACGGGACGGAGUCGCCGACGGCAGCAGCAACAAAGGAAUGAGCACGCGGUGGGCGACGGAGGAGUGCGCGAGGGCCUCUUUUUUUCUCACUCUUCAAUAGCAUAUAGAAGAGUGACCCUUAUAAAGUGGUCCAACUUCUUCUCCACUAGCGGGGUGGGACUAAACUUUCCACCACCACUUUGUUAUGCCACCACCUACAUGGGUCCUUAGAGAUUUUCUGAAAUUGUCUCAUGGGCCUUAGGCCCAUCUCAGAUUUCAACAACAUGUUUACCACUCAUCUCGCAGCAGGUUUUUCCUCAGCUUCAUGUCUCAUCGGCCAGCGGCGGGCAACUAGCGGCAAGCCUUCUUGGCCGACUACCCGUGGUUGUCUAGCUUGUCGAAAUUGCUAUUAGCCUACGACCAAGGCCAGAACGAUUUUUUCGAGGCGAUCUACACAGCGAGUCCUCUUCCCCUAAUCGUCGCUCUAUGAAGGGGUGUUGGUUUCUUCCACGAGAACAAGUUGAAUCAAGGACUUGGCGGCCGGCUGCUGGCCGCGUGGAAUUCUUGUUCAACGACAAGACAACUAAUAGUAGACUAGCAACCAGUAGGCUCCUAUGGUGGUUUUGAAGAAGAACAGAGAACAUGAAUGCUAUAAUCGAGAGAUUGGUUCUGCUCCAUUCAUGGCUUUGACUUUUGUAGCGCCGUUACAUGAAGCUAGGUCCUAAUUUGUAUUAAGACGAGAGAAGACGCGGUACUAUGAACUCCAUGAGUUAAACAGAUUACUCAGUUGGGGGAUGUCUUUGGAGAAGAAGAUGCUUUGUGAUUGGUACGCAACACGUGUCCUCAUCUGGAUGGGGUCUCACACGAUGAAGAAUGAGACCUGGUCUUAUAGGAUAUUUUUCCGUGAAAAGAAGUAUUUGAAGUUCUUUCUACUUCUUCUAAAGGAUUUUAUUCUUACAUUUGAAAUUGACACUAAGGAUUGGGUUUUAAUCCAGUUUGAACAUCCUAUAUUAUUUUCUAGCAUUUCUUUAGCCUGAACCGUAGGCCGUCCUUACUCCUUAGGCUUUGUUUGGUACUAGUGUAUUUUAGGGAAUUUGUGGGGAUUAUCUCGGUCAAACCCCUCAAUCCCCACAUAUCCCAUAACACCAUUUGAUUCUAGUGUAUUUAACAUGUUUUAUCCCCACAUUUCCGCUCAAAUCUCCAAAUUAUAGUGCAUUUUACUCAAUACCAAUACACUACCCAUAUCUAGUGUAUUGGGGAUAAAUGGGGAUUUGAAGGGAUUGGAUGAAGGUUGGGAUUUCACCCAAUUCCUUGGGGGAUUAUCCCCAUCAAUCUUCUCAAAACACUAGUACCAAACAAGGCCGUAGUGUGUGGAACAACCAAUCGAUUGGACAAUAUAGUGAGGGACUUGCUAAUCAUGUCACAAGAACUGGUCAGACUGCUAAUUACUUGCAAGGAAACUUGUUUUCUGUAUUGAGGAAAUUGCAAGGAAAUUUCCAGGGAGAUACUACUACUAAAUAUUAAGUCCACACUGCAUAAUUCGCCUUCAUAUAUACUUGAUCAUAACUUGAUAANNNNNNNNNNNNNNNNNNNNNNNNNNNNNNNNNNNNNNNNNNNNNNNNNNNNNNNNNNNNNNNNNNNNNNNNNNNNNNNNNNNNNNNNNNNNNNNNNNNNACUUUGAACUAAGUUAUUAAUAUUUUUUAUUAUUAUCUACAAUAACAAAUUAAUAUGUGUAGAUUCACCAUUGAUUAUUAUUUUCAUAUUAUUUUAUUUUUGUUGUUGUAAAUGUGCAUAUUAUUUUUUAUAUACUUGANNNNNNNNNNNNNNNNNNNNNNNNNNNNNNNNNNNNNNNNNNNNNNNNNNNNNNNNNNNNNNNNNNNNNNNNNNNNNNNNNNNNNNNNNNNNNNNNNNNNNNNNNNNNNNNNNNNNNNNNNNNNNNNNNNNNNNNNNNNNNNNNNNNNNNNNNNNNNNNNNNNNNNNNNNNNNNNNNNNNNNNNNNNNNNNNNNNGUGUUUCUAAACAUAAGUCUCUUUAGAUAUUUCACUACAGCCUACAUACAGAGCAAAAUAAAUGAAUCUACAUUUUAAACUAUGUCUAUAUAUAUCCGUAUGUAAUUUGUAGUAAAAUCUCUAAAAAUACUUUUGUUUAGGAACAGAGGGAGUACUUACCUGUGGAAGCUACUUUGAUCACUGAACGAGUCAGUUGCAUGAAUGACUUACCGUGUCCAUGUACUUGUUUUUAGAAAAGGAGGCAUCGCCGCGGUCUCUGCAUCGAGUGAUGCAUGCAGCCUUUUAAUUGAAUAAUGUAAAAAGAGUCCGAUCCGAGUAUAGCAAUCUGAGAAAACCAAAAAAUAAAGAUACAAAGCGCCAUAUGCGCCACAACCAACAAUGGUAAUAGAACUAGAUGACUAGCCACCUUUCCUAUUAUUGAGUCGUCAUCCAAACCGGUUGAAAAUAUCCUGAGCUACCAUCUCUCAGCGGGCACACCCAGUAACCAUAGGCUCCCUGGCUUCCGCAGGAGUGAGUAAUAACCACGUGCGGAUCAAGGCGGUAGCCCUGAAGAUAACCUGCAAAAAAUUGAUAGAUUUGCAUCUGUUAAAUACUAAAUCAUUCCUGCAGUUCCAACUAGCCCACAUCAAUGCACAGGUUCCCACACAAAUAAUCUUUGUCAAAUUAGCAUCAACACCCACUACCCACGUCCCAAACAAUGUGUUAAUACUAUUAGGGGGAUGAUAUUAAAAGCAAUGUGAAUAGAACGCCAUAAGAGUUUAGCCAUAGGGAAGGCGAGAAAGAGGUGUUUAAUGGUUUCACUGUUGUGACAGAAGUUGCAUCUUUGGUUGCCUUUCCAAUUACGUUUUGCCAAAUUGUCCUUCGUUAGAAUAACUCCUUUGUGGACAAACCACAUGAAGAUCUUUAUCCUCAACGGUACUUUGACCUUCCAUAUAUGUUUGGAUUCUGGAAUCGGCCCCAAAUCUAUGAGAUGAAGAUACAUAGAUUUUACAGUAAAAGCUCCAUUUUUAGUCAACUUCCAUUGAAUAGUGUCUGGUAUAUCCGAAACUUGGAUGUCCAUUAACCUUCUGACAAGGUGAAGCCAACUGGUCCAUCUGUGACCUAUUAAGGAUCUGCGAAACUGAAUAAUAUUUAGAGGCGUGUGGCUCAAUAUUGUCGCAACGGACGCUUGUCUACGUUGGACAAUAUUGUAUAAUUACAGAUAUUGCAGGGCUAGUGGCACUUCCCCUAACCAUGUAUCUUACCAUAAUCUGGUAGAUUCACCAUUACCAAUGAUAAACCUAGUCCGUUGGAAAAAGGCAUUUUUUGACCUCAUUAAUCCUUUCCAGAAAGGAGAGUCAUUCGGUCUUAUGGUCGCCUGUGCUAAGGUCUUAUUUUGCAAGUACUUAUUCCUCAUAAUUUGUACCCACAUGCCUUCAGUUUCCACUCGUAUUCUGUACCCACAUGCCUUCAGUUUCCACUGAUAUUCUGUACAAGUAUCGGUCUACUUGUUUUGAACGUGAUGCCUAUAGAUAUAAUCAUUGCCAUAGAUGACGUCACGACUUUGCGCGGUUUUAUCAAUUGCUCGACAGUAAUUCGUUCACCCACCGUCUACUUGCUUUCAUGAGAGAAGCCACUAGUAAACACUACGGCCCCCGGGUCUAUUCACACCUAUCGUUUACACCUCCGCUUUUACUUUGCUUUGUUACUUUGUUGUUUUUAGUUCUCACUUGACAAACAAUCUAUAAGGGAUUGACAACCCCUUCAUAGCGUUGGGAGCAAGCUUUUUGUGUUUGUGCAGGCACGUACUUGUGAUACUCCUUCACUGGAUCGAUACCUUGGUUCUCAAAACUGAGGAAAAUACUUACCACCGCUGCGCUACAUCACCCCUUCGAGGGAACACCAAUGCAAGGCUCCAAGGCCACGGGGAAAUCCUUUGCAUAUUUGCCUAGGAAGUCCCUAAAGGCGUAGCCGUAGCACAAGGAUUCCUGGUGCCGUUGCUGAGGAGUAUCAAAAACAGUCUCCCGUCAGCACGUGUUUAUGGCGCCGUUGGAAGGUCUUUUGUUGCAUCAGCACAUACCUAUUUCAAUCUCGUUAUCGGCAAGUCUCUUUACUCGUUCUGUAAUACAAGAUCCCGUGACUUACACUUAGUCACAUUUCUUGCAAGGCUUGUGUGUGAUGUUGUAUUACCGAGUUGGCCCCAAGAUAUCUCUCCGUCACACGGAAUGACAAAUCCAAGUAUUGAUCCAUACUAACUAAACAGACACCUUCGGAGAUACCUGUAGAGCACAUUUAUAGUCACCCAGUUACGUUGUGACGUUUGAUGCACACAAGGUAUUCCUCCAAUGCCAGUGAGUUAUAUGAUCUCAUGGUCAUAGGAAACAAAUACUUGACACACAGAAAAUAGUAGUAAUAAAAUGACACGAUCAAUAUGCUACUUUCAUAGUUUGGGUCUAGUUCAUCACAUGAUUCUCCUAAUGAUGUGAUCCAGUUAUCAAGUGACAACANNNNNNNNNNNNNNNNNNNNNNNNNNNNNNNNNNNNNNNNNNNNNNNNNNNNNNNNNNNNNNNNNNNNNNNNNNNNNNNNNNNNNNNNNNNNNNNNNNNNCUGUUUCUAAACAUAAGUAUCUUUAGAUAUUUCAUUAUAGACUACAUACACAGCAAAAUAAAUAAAUCUACAUUUUAAAGUAUGUAUAUAUACAUCCGUAUGUAAUUUGUAGUAAAAUCUCUAAAAAUACUUUUGUUUAGGAACAGAGGGAGUACUUACCUCUGGAAGCUACUUUGACCACUGAUCGAGUCAGUUGCAUGAAUGACUUACAGUGUCCAUGUACUUUUUUGUAGAAAAGGAGGCAUCGCCCCGGCCUCUGCAUCGAGUGAUGCAUGCAACAUUUUAAUUGAAUAAUGUAAAAAGAGUCCGAUCCGAGUACAUCAAUCUGAGAAACCCAGAAAAUAAAGAUACAAAGCACCAUAUGCGCCACAACCAGCAAUGGUAAUAGAACUAGAUGACUAGCCACCUUUCCUAUUAUUGAGUCNNNNNNNNNNNNNNNNNNNNNNNNNNNNNNNNNNNNNNNNNNNNNNNNNNNNNNNNNNNNNNNNNNNNNNNNNNNNNNNNNNNNNNNNNNNNNNNNNNNNNNNNNNNNNNNNNNNNNNNNNNNNNNNNNNNNNNNNNNNNNNNNNNNNNNNNNNNNNNNNNNNNNNNNNNNNNNNNNNNNNNNNNNNNNNNGCACGUGUGGAUCAAGGCGGUAGCCCUGAAGAUAACCUGCAAAAAAUGAUAGAUUUGCAUCUGUUAAAUACUAAAUCUUUCCUGCAGUUCCAAAUAGCCCACAGCAAUGCACAGGUUCCCACACGAAUAAUCUUUGCCAAAUUAGCAUCAACACCCACUACCCACGUCCCAAACAACGUGUUAAUACUAUUAGGGGGGAUGAUAUUAAAAGCAAUGUGAAUAGAGCGCCAUAAGAGUUCAGCCAUAGGGCAGGCGAGAAAGAGGUGCUUAAUGGUUUCAUUGUUGUGACAGAAGUUGCAUCUUUGGUUGCCUUUCCAAUUACGUUUUGNNNNNNNNNNNNNNNNNNNNNNNNNNNNNNNNNNNNNNNNNNNNNNNNNNNNNNNNNNNNNNNNNNNNNNNNNNNNNNNNNNNNNNNNNNNNNNNNNNNNNNNNNNNNNNNNNNNNNNNNNNNNNNNNNNNNNNNNNNNNNNNNNNNNNNNNNNNNNNNNNNNNNNAUUUAUCCUCAACGGUACUUUGACCUUUCAUAUAUGUUUGGAUUUUUGAAUCGGCCCCAAAUCUAUGAGAUGAAGAUACAUAGAUUUUACAGUAANNNNNNNNNNNNNNNNNNNNNNNNNNNNNNNNNNNNNNNNNNNNNNNNNNNNNNNNNNNNNNNNNNNNNNNNNNNNNNNNNNNNNNNNNNNNNNNNNNNNCAUUCCCUUUGUCCUUCGGUAUGUUACUUGCCCGAGAUUCGAUCGUCAGUAUCCGCAUACCUAUUUCAAUCUCGUUUACCGGCAAGUCUCUUUAGAUCGUCCGAUUCGAUCGUCAGUAUCCGCAUACCUCUCCGUCACACGGAGUGACAAAUCCCAGUCUUGAUCCAUACUAACUCAACGAACACCUUUGGAGAUACCUGUAGAGCAUCUUUAUAGUCACCCAGUUACGUUGCGACGUUUGAUACACACAAAGUAUUCCUCCGGUGUUAGUGAGUUAUAUGAUCUCAUGGUCAUAGGAACAAAUACUUGACACGCAGAAAACAGUAGCAACAAAAUGACACGAUCAACAUGCUACGUCUAUUAGUUUGGGUCUAGUCCAUCACGUGAUUCUCCUAAUGACGUGAUCCAGUUUUCAAGCAACAACACUUUGUUCAUAAUCAGAAGACACUGAUUAUCUUUGAUCAAUUGGCUAGCCAACUAGAGGCUUGCUAGGGACAGUGUUUUGUCUAUGCAUCCACACAUGUAAAUGAGUCUUCAGUCAAUACAAUUAUAGCAUGGAUAAUAAACGAUUAUCUUGAUACAGGAAUUAUAAUAAUAACUAUAUUUAUUAUUGCCUCUAGGGCAUAAUUCCAACAGUCUCCCACUUGCACUAGAGUCAAUAAUCUAGCCCUCACAUCAUCAUGCAAAUUACAUUGUAAUAAAUCUAACACCCAUACAGUUAUGGUGUUGAUCAUGCUUUGCCCGUGGAAGAGGUUUAGUCAGCGGGUCUGCUACAUUCAGAUCCGUGUGCACUUUGCAUAUAUUUAUGUCCUCCCCUUCGACGUAGUCACGGAUGAGGUUGAAGCGUCGUUUGAUGUGUCUGGACUUCUUGUGAAACCGUGGUUCCUUUGCUAAGCCAAUGGCACCCGUGUUGUCACAGAACAAGGUUAUUGGAUUCAGUGCGUUUGGCACCACUCCAAGAUCUGUCAUGAAUUGCUUCAUCCAGACACCCUCCUUAGCCGCCUCCGAGGCAGCCAUGUACUCCGCUUCACAUGUAGAAUCUGCUAUGACGCUUUGCUUGGAACUGCACCAGCUUACCGCACCCUCAUUAAGAAUAAAUACGUAUCUGGUUUGCGACUUAGAGUCGUCCGGAUCUGUGUCAAAGCUUGCAUCGACGUAACCUUUUACAGCGAGCUCUUCGUCACCUCCAUACACGAGAAACAUCUCCUUAGUCCUUUUCACGUACUUCAGGAUAUUCUUGACCGUCGUCCAGUGAUCCACUCCUGGAUUACUCUGGAACCUACCUGUCAUACUUAUGGCCAGGCUAACGUCCGGUCUGGUGCAUAGCAUUGCAUACAUGAUAGAGCCUAUGGCUGAAGCAUAGGGGACGGAGCGCAUAUGCUCUCUAUCCUCAUCAGUUGCUGGGCACUGAGUCUUACUCAAUCUCGUACCUUGUAAAACUGGCAAGAACCCCUUCUUGGAUUGUUCCAUUUUGAACCCCUUCAAAACUUUAUCAAGGUAUGUGCUUUGUGAAAGUCCUAUCAGGCGUUUUGAUCUAUCCCUAUAGAUCUUAAUGCCUAGAAUGUAAGCAGCUUCUCCUAGGUCCUUCAUAGAGAAACUUUUAUUCAAGUAAUCCUUUAUGCUCUCCAAAAACUCUACGUUGUUUCCAAUCAACAAUAUGUCAUCCACAUAUAAUAUUACAAAUGCCACAGAGCUCCCACUCACUUUCUUGUAAAUACAAGAUUCUCCAACCACUUGUAUAAACCCAAAUGCUUUGAUCACCUCAUCAAAGCGUUUGUUCCAACUCCGAGAUGCUUGCACCAGUCCAUAAAUGGAUCGCUGGAGCUUGCACACCUUGUCAGCAUUCUUAGGAUCGACAAAACCUUCGAGUUGCAUCAUAUACAAUUCUUCCUUAAGGAAACCGUUAAGGAACGCCGUUUUGACAUCCAUCUGCCAGAUUUCAUAAUCGAAAAAUGCAGCUAUUUCUAACAUGAUUCUGACGGACUUAAGCAUCGCUACGGGUGACAAUGUCUCAUCGUAGUCAACUCCUUGAACUUGUGAAAAACCCUUUGCCACAAGUCGAGCUUUAUAAACGGUCACAUUGCCGUCAGCGUCCAUCUUCCUCUUAAAGAUCCAUUUGUUCUGAAUAGCCUUGCGGCCCUCAGGCAGUACCUCCAAAGUCCACACUUUGUUCUCAUACAUGGAUCCUAUCUCGGACUUCAUGGCUUCUAGCCAUUUGUUGGAAUCUGGGCCCACCAUUGCUUCUUCAUAAUUUGCAGGUUCAUUGUUGUCCAACAACAUGAUUGAUAAAACGGGAUUACCGUACCACUCUGGAGCAGCACAUGGUCUCGUCGACCUGCGUGGUUCGACAGAAACUUGAACCGGAGUUUCAUGAUCAUUAUCAUUAACGUCCUCCUCAACCGGCGUCGCAACGACAGAGGUUUCCCCUUGCCCUGCGCCACCAUCCAGAGGGAUGAGAGGUUCGACAACCUCGUCAAGUUCUAUCUUCCUCCCACUCAAUUCUCUCGAGAGAAACUCCUUCUCGAGAAAAGCUCCGUUUUUAGCAACAAACACUUUGCCCUCGGAUUUGAGAUAGAAGGUGUACCCAACUGUCUCUUUUGGGUAACCUAUGAAGACGCACUUUUCCGCUUUGGGUUCCAGCUUUUCAGGCUGAAGCUUUUUGACAUAAGCAUCACAUCCCCAAACUUUAAGAAACGACAACUUUGGUCUUUUGCCAUACCACAGUCUGUAUGGUGUCGUCUCAACGGAUUUUGAUGGUGCCCUAUUUAAAGUGAAUGCAGCUGUUUCUAAUGCAUAACCCCAAAACGAUAACGGCAAAUCGGUAAGAGACAUCAUAGAUCGCACCAUCUCUAAUAAAGUACGAUUACGAUGUUCGGACACACCAUUACGCUGUGGUGUUCCAGGCGGUGUCAACUGUGAAACAAUUCCACAUUGUCUUAAGUGAGCACCAAACUCGAAACUCAGAUAUUCACCCCACGAUCACACCGUAGGAACUUGAUCUUCUUGUUAUGAUGAUUUUCAACUUCACUCUGAAAUUGCUUGAACUUUUCAAAUGUUUCAGACUUGUGCUUCAUUAAGUAGACAUAACCAUAUCUACUCAAAUCGUCAGUGAAGGUGAGAAAAUAACGAUAUCCGCCGCGUGCCUCUACGCUCAUCGGACCACACACACAUCGGUAUGUAUGAUUUCCAACAAGUCACUUGCACUCUCCAUUGUUCCGGAGAACGGAGUUUUAGUCAUCUUGCCCAUGAGGCAUGGUUCGCACGUGUCAAGUGAAUCAAAGUCAAGUGACUCCAAAAGUCCAUGAGCAUGGAGUUUCUUCAUGCGCUUUACACCAAUAUGACCUAAGCGGCAGUGCCACAAAAAUAUGGCGCUAUCAUUGUUAACUCUAACUCUUUUGGUCUCAAUGUUAUGUAUGUGUGUAUCUCUAUCAAGAUUCAAUAUGAACAAUCCUCUCACAUUGGGUGCAUGACCAUAAAAGAUGUUACUCAUAGAAAUAGAACAACCAUUAUUCUCUGACUUAAAAGAGUAACCGUCUCGCAAUAAACAAGAUCCAGAUAUAAUGUUCAUGCUCAACGCAGGCACUAAAUAACAAUGAUUCAAGUUCAUAACUAAUCCUGAUGGUAACUGAAGUGAAACUGUGGCGACGGCGAUUGCAUCAACCUUGGAACCAUUUCCUACGCGCAUCGUCACUUCAUCUUUCGCCAGCCUUUGUCUAUUCCGCAGUUCCUGUUUUGAGUUGCAAAUAUGAGAAACAGAACCGGUAUCGAAUACCCAGGCACUACUACGAGAGCCGGUUAAGUACACAUCAAUAACAUGUAUAUCGAAUAUACCUGAUUUUUCUUUGGCCGCCUUCUUAUCUGCCAGAUACUUGGGGCAAUUGCGCUUCCAGUGACCCAUACCCUUGCAAUAGUAACACUUUGUUUCAGGCUUAGGUACAGCAUUGGGUUUCUUCGUCGGAUUGGCAACAGGCUUGCCGCUCUUCUUUGAAUUUCCCUUCUUGCCUUUGUCGUUUCUCUUGAAACUAGUGGUCUUAUUCACCAUCAACACUUGAUGCUCUUUACGGAGUUCAGACUCUGCGACUUUCAGCAUCGCAAACAACUCGCCGGGUGACUUGUUCAUCCCUUGCAUGUUGUAGUUCAACACAAAGCCUUUAUAGCUUGGCGGCAGUGAUUGAAGGAUUCUGUCAGUGAUAGCCUCUUGCGGGAGUUUAAUCCCCAGCUCAGCUAGACGGUUUGAGUACCCACACAUUUUGAGCACAUGUUCACUAACAGACGAGUUCUCCUCCAUCUUGCAAGCAUAGAAUUUAUCGGAGGUCUCAUACCUCUCGAUCCGGGCGUUCUUCUGAAAGAUAAACUUCAACUCCUGGAACAUCUCAAAUGCUCCAUGACGCUCAAAGCGACGUUGAAGUCCCGGUUCUAAGCCAUACAAGACUGCACAUUGAACUACUGAGUAGUCCUCCUUACGUGCCAACCAAGCGUUCUUAACAUCCUGAUCAGCCAUAGCGGGUGGUUCAUGUCCUAGCGCAGCAUUAAGGACAUAAUCCUUCUUCCCAGCUUGUAAGAUUAGCUUAAGAUUACGAGCCCAGUCUACAAAGUUGCUUCCAUCAUCUUUCAACUUAGCUUUCUCUAGGAACGUAUUAAAAUUCAGGGUGACAGUCGCGUGAGCCAUGAUCUACAACACAAAUAUAUUCAAAGUGGACUUAGACUAUGUUCAAGAUAAUUAGAGUUUAACUUAAUCAAAUUAUUCGCUAAACUCCCACUCAAAAAGUACAUCUCUCUAGUCAUUUGAGUGGUUCAUGAUACACUUACACUAGCUCAAGUCCGAUCAUCAUGUGAGUUGAGUAUAGUUUCAGUGGUAAGCAUCCCUAUGCUAAUCAUAUCAUCUAUAUGAUUCAUGAUCGACCUUUCGGUCUCAUGUGUUCUGAGGCCAUGUCUGCACAUGCUAGGCUCGUCAAGCUUAACCCGAGUGUUCCGCGUGCGCAACUGUUUUGCACCCGUUGUAUGUGAACGUUGAGUCUACCACACCCGAUCAUCACGUGGUGUCUCGAACCGACGAACUGUAGCAACGGUGCACAAUCGGGGAGAACACAAUUUCAUCUUGAAAUUUUAGUGAGAGAUCACCUCAUAAUGCUACCGUCGUUCUAAGCAAAAUAAGGUGCAUAAAAGGAUUAACAUCACAUGCAAUUCAUAAGUGACAUGAUAUGGCCAUCAUCACGUGCUCCUUGAUCUCCAUCACCAAAGCACCGGCACGAUCUUGUCACCGGCGCCGCACCAUGAUCUCCAUCAAUGUGUCGCCAUCGGGGUUGUCAUGCUACUCAUGCUAUUACUACCAAAGCUACAUCCUAGCAAAAGAGUAAACGCAUCUGCAAGCACAAACGUUAGUAUAAAGACAACCCUAUGGCUCCUGCCGGUUGCCGUACCAUCGACGUGCAAGUCGAUAUUAUCUAUUACAACAUGAUCAUCUCAUACAUCCAAUAUAUCACAUCACAUUGUUGGCCAUAUCACAUCACAAGCAUACCCUGCAAAAACAAGUUAGACGUCCUCUAAUUUUGUUGUUGCAUGUUUUACGUGGUGACCAUGGGUAUCUAGUAGGAUCGCAUCUUACUUACGCAAACACCACAACGGAGAUAUAUGAGUUGCUAUUUAACCUCAUCCAAGGACCUCCUCGGUCAAAUCCGAUUCAACUAAAGUUGGAGAAACUGACACUUGCCAGUCAUCUUUGAGCAACGGGGUUACUCGUAGAGAUUAAACCAGUCUCUCGUAAGCGUACGAGUAAUGUCGGUCCAAGCCGCUUCAAUCCAACAAUACCGCGGAAUCAAGAAAAGACUAAGGAGGGCAGCAAAACGCACAUCACCGCCCACAAAACUUUUGUGUUCUACUCGAGAAGACAUCUACGCAUGAACCUAGCUCAUGAUGCCACUGUUGGGGAACGUCGCAUGGGAAACGAAAAUUUUCCUACGCGCACGAAGACCUAUCAUGGUGAUGUCUAUCUACGAGAGGGGAUGUGUGAUCUACGUACCCUUGUAGACCGUACAGCAGAAGCGUUAGUGAACGCGGUUGAUGUAGUGGAACGUCCUCACGUCCCUCGAGCCGCCCCGCGAACCGUCCCGCGAUCAGUCCCACGAUCUAGUGCCGAACGGACGGCACCUCCGCGUUCAGCACACGUACAGCUCGACGAUGAUCUCGGCCUUCUUGAUCCAGCAAGAGAGACGGAGAGGUAGAAGAUUUCUCCGGCAGCGUGACGGCGCUCCGGAGGUUGGUGAUGAUCUUGUCUCAGCAGGGCUCCGCCCGAGCUCCGUAGAAACGCGGUCUAGAGAAAAAACCAUGGAGGUAUGUGGUCGGGCUGCCGUGGAAAAGUCGUCUCAAAUCAGCCCUAAAACCUCUAUUAGUUUGGGUCUAGUCCAUCACAUGAUUCUCCUAAUGACGUGAUCCAGUUAUCAAGCAACAACACCUUGUUCAUAAUCAGAAGACACUAACUAUCUUUGAUCAACUGGCUAGCCAACUAGAGGCUUGCUUGGGACAGUGUUUUGUCUAUGUAUCCACACAUGUAAAUGAGUCUUCAUUCAAUACAAUUAUAGCAUGGAUAAUAAACGAUUAUCUUGAUACAGGAAUUAUAAUAAUAACUAUAUUUAUUAUUGCCUCUAGGGAAUAAUUCCAACAGCAAGGCCUUGUUUUUGAUUGAGAUGAAACAAGAUAGUAACUUGUUGGAAGUGAUGCAUUUUGAUGUAUGCAGUCCAAUGGGUGCUGAGGUACGCAGUGGAUAUCAUUAUGUUCUUACUUCAAUGAAGAUUUGAGCAGAUACAAGAGUAUUUUCUUAAUGAAUCACAAGUCUGAAAUAUUGAAAAGUUCAAUUAUGUUUCAGAGUGAAGUUCGUCGUAACAAAAGGAUAAACUGUCUACGAUAUGAUCAUAGAAAUGAAUAUAUAAGUUACGAGUUUUGGUACGCAGUUAAAACAAUGUGGAAAUUGUUUCGCAGUUCAUGCCACCUGGAACAUCAUAGUGUGAUGAUGUGUCUGAACGUCAUAGCCACGCACUAUUUGGUAUGGUGCAUACUAUGAUGUCUCUUAUCAAAAUAGCACUAUCGUUUAUGGGUUAUGCAUUAGAGACAACCGCAUUCACUUUAAAAUAGGGCACCGCGUAUUUCCGUUGAGAUGACACGGUAUAUACUGAGGUUUAGAGAAAUCCAAACUGUCGUUUCUUGAAAGUUUGGGGCUUCGACACUUAUGUGAAAAAGUUUCAGUCUGAUAAGCUCGAACCCAAAGCGGAUAAAUGCAUCUUCAUAGGAUAUCCAAAACAGUUGGGUACAUCUCCUAUCUCAGAUCCGAAAGCAAAGUGUUUGUUUCUAGAAACGGAUCCUUUCUCGAGGAAAGGUUUCUCUCGAAAGAAUUGAGUGGGAGGGUGGUAGAACUUGAUGAGGUUAUUGAACCGUCACUUUGACCAGUGUGUAGCAGGGCGCAGGAAGUUGUUCCUGUGGCGCCUACACCAAUUGAAGUGAAAGCUGAUGAGGGUGAUCAUCGAGCAUCGGAUCAAGUUACUACAAACCUUGUAGGUUGACAAGGUCGCGUACUACUGCAGAGUGGUACGGUAACCCUGUCUUGGAGGUCAUGUUGUUGAGCAACAGUGAACCUACGAGUUAUGGAGAAGCAAUGGUGGGCCCGGAUUCCGACAAAUGGCUUGAGGCCAUGAAAUCCAAGAGAGGAUCCAUAUAUAAAACAAAGUGUGGACUUUGGAGGAACUACUUGAUGGUAGUAAGACUAUUGAGUAAAGAUGGAUCUUUGUAAGGAAGACAGACGACGAUGGUGAUAAGUCACUAUUAAGAAAAGCUCGACUUGUCGCAAAGAUGUUUCUGACAAGAUCAAACAGUUGACUAUGAUGAGACUUUCUCACUCGUAGCGAUGCUAAAAGUCUGUUGGAAUUAUGUUAGUAGUUGCUGCAUUAUUUAUGAAAUAUUGCACAUAGGAUGUCAAAACAUUGUUUCCUCAACGGUUUCCUUGAGCAAACAUUGUAUGUGAUACAACCAGAAGGUUUUGUCGAUCCUAAAGAUACUAACAAGUAUGCAAGUUCCAGUGAUCCUUCAAUGGUCUCGUGCAAGCAUCUCGGAGUUGGAAUAUACACUUUGAUGAGGUGAUCAAAGAUUUUGGGUUUGUACAAGGUUUAUGAGAAACUUGUAUUUCCAAAGAAGUGAGUGGGAGCACUAUAGAAUUUCUAAUAAGUAUAUGUGGUUGACAUACUGUGGAUCAGAAGUAAUGUAGAAUUUCUGUAAAGCAUACAAGGUUGUUUGAAAGGAGUUUUCAAAGGAAUACCUGGAUUGAGCUACUUGAACAUUGAGCAUCAAGAUCUAUGGAGAUAGAUCAAAAGGCUUAAUAGAAGUUUCAACAAAAUGCAUGCCUUGACAAGUUUUGAAGGAGUUCAAAAUAGAUCAGCAAAGAAGGAGUUCUUGGUUGCGUUGUGAGGUGUGAAUUUGAGUAAGACUCAAAACCCGACCACGGCAGAAUAAAGAGAAUAGACGAAGGUCGUCUUCUAUGCCUUAGCCGUAGACUCUAAAGUAUGCCAUGCUGAGUACCGUACCUGAUGUGUGCCUUGCACUCUGUUGAGAGGUACAGAGAGUGAUCCAUGAUUGAAUCACUAGCAGCGGUCAAAAUUUAUCCUUAGUAACUGAUAGACUAAGGAAUUUUUCUCGAUUAUGGAGGUGGUUAAAGAGUUCAUCGUAAAGGGUUACGUCGAUGCAAGUUUUGACACUAAUCCGAAUAACUAUGAGUAGUGAAACGGAUUCGUAUAGUAGAGUAGAUAUUUGUAGUAUUUCCGAAUAGCACAUAGUAGCAACAUCUAUAAGAUGACAUAAAGAUUUGUAAAGAACACACGGACCUGAAAGUUUCAGAACCGUUGACUAAAACCUCUCUCAUGAGCAAGAGAGGAUCCAUAUAUAAAUAUAUGGGUGUUGGAUUCGUUGGAAUCACAUGGUGAUGUGAACUAGAUUAUUGACUCUAGUGCAAGUGGGAGACUGUUGGAAAUAUGCCCUAGAGGCAAUAAUAAAUUAGUUAUUAUUAUAUUUCUUAGUUCAUGAUAAUCGUUUAUUACCCAUGCUAUAAUUGUAUUGAAUAAAGACUUAUAUACAUGUGUGGAUACAUAGACAAAACACUGUCCCUAGCAAGCCUCUAGUUGGCUAGCCAGUUGAUCAAAGAUAGCCAGGGUCUUUUGAUUAUGAACAAGGUGUUGUUGCUUGAUAACUGGAUCACGUCAUUAGGAGAAUCACCUGAUGGACUAGACCCAAACUAAUAGACGUAGCAUGUUGAUCGUGCCAUUUUGUUGCUACUGUUUUCUGCGUGUCAAGUCUUUGUUCCUAUGACCAUGAGAUCAUACAACUCACUGACACCGGAGGAAUGCUUUGUCUGUAUCAAACGUCGCAACGUAACUGGGUGACUAUAAAGAUGCUCUACAGGUAUCUCCGAAGGUGUUAGUUGAGUUAGUAUGGAUCAAGACUGGGAUUUGUCACUCCGUGUGACGGAGAGGUAUCUCGGGGCCCACUCGGUAAUACAACAUCACACACAAGCCUUGCAAGCAAUGUGACUUAGUGUAAGUUGCGGGAUCUUGUAUUACGGAACGAGUAAAGAGACUUGCCGGUAAACGAGAUUGAAAUAGGUAUGCGGAUACUGACGAUCGAAUCUCGGACAAGUAACAUACCGAAGGACAAAGGGAAUGACAUACGGGAUUAUAUGAAUCCUUGGCACUGAGGUUCAAACGAUAAGAUCUUUUUAGAAUAUGUAGGAUCCAAUAUGGGCAUCCAGGUCCCGCUAUUGGAUAUUGACCGAGGAGUCACUCGGGUCAUGUCUAUAUAGUUCUCGAACCCGCAGGGUCUGCACACUUAAGUUUCGACGUUGUUUUAUGCGUAUUUGAGUUAUAUGGUUGGUUACCGAAUGUUGUUCGAAGUCUCGGAUGAGAUCACGGACGUCACGAGGGUUUCCGGAAUGGUCCGGAAACGAAGAUUGAUAUAUAGGAUGACCUCAUUUGAUUACCGGAAGGUUUUCGGAGUUACCGGAAAUGUACCGGGAAUGACGAAUGGGUUCCGGGUGUUCACCGGGGGGGGGCAACCCACCCCGGGGAAGCCCAUAGGCCUUGGGGGUGGCGCACCAGCCCUUAGUGGGCUGGCGGGACAGCCCAAGAAGGCCCUAUGCGCCAUAGGACCCCCCCCCAAAAAGGAGGUGGGAAAAAGGGGAAGGACUCCUCCUUCCAAACCUAGUUGGAUUCAGUUUGGAAGGGGAGGACUCCCCCCCUUGGCUCGGCCGAACCCCUUGGGGGUCCUUGGACCCCAAGGCAAGGCUCCCCCUCUUCCCCCUAUAUAUACGAAGGUUUUAGGGCUGAUUUGAGACAACUUUGCCACGGCAGCCCGACCACAUACCUCCAUGGUUUUACCUCUAGAUCGCGUUUCUGCGGAGCUCGGGCGAAGCCCUGCUGAGAUUAGAUCACCACCAACCUCCGGAGCGCCGUCACGCUGCCGGAGAACUCAUCUACCUCUCCGUGUCUCUUGCUGGAUCAAGAAGGCCGAGAUCAUCGUCGAGCUGUACGUGUGCUGAACGCGGAGGUGCCGUCCGUUCGGCACUAGAUCGUGGGACGGAUCGCGGGACAGUUCGUGAGCCGGAUCGAGGGACGUGAGGACGUUCCGCUACAUCAACCGUGUUUCUUAACGCUUCUGCUGUGCGAUCUACAAGGGUACGUAGAUCGAAUAUCCCCUCUCGUAGAUGGACAUCACCAUGAUAGGUCUUCGUGCGCGUAGGAAAAUGUUUGUUUCCCAUGCGACAUUCCCCAACAGUUGUAUCAUAGACAAGCUUAGUUUUCCUACUAGGUGUAGUAGCGCUCUCAUGAAGAGUCUUUGAAAGAGACCUCAUGGCUACAUCCACCAACCAUUAUCUCAACGAUAAUGUUUCUUGUGUUGCCCGGAUGCAAACAUGUUACACAAUAAGCAAUAUCACUAUAUUGCAUAUCUUGCAAGACAAAUCAUGUGACUGAUUUGCUCACGAAGUCUCUACCAACUUUUAUAUUCUAGAACUAUGUUCACGGAAUUGGUAUAUGACGGCUUCGAAAUUUGCAAGAAUCGGGGAGAGUAUCUUCCUGAAUUGUUCAUGUUCAAUGCAUCAUAUUAUACUCUUUUCCCCUUCAUGAGUUUACUAUACAUGCUCUCAUAAAGAUUUUUAAUGAGGUAAUAUCAACAUGAGAUUAAAUGUCAUACUUUCAUUUUUCCCCACCGAGGUUUUUAGAAAAGUAUAUAUGACAUAUUUAUUGUCCUCUUAAUUCUAUGGGCUUUCCCAUAUUGAGUUGGAAGAGGCAAUAAUCAUUAUAGGUUGCAACGUUUUCUCCUUAUUUUUUCCACUGGGUUUGAAGGAGUUUUGGCAACAUAUCAAACAUUAUACUCCUCAUAUUUUUUCCACGGGGUUUUUGGAGGAGCCUCUAAUCAAGAUGAUGAUACUGGAUGGACAAGUGUAGAUUAGGGGGAGUGUUAAAGUUUAAUUAAACAUGUGUUAAUUAUGGGGUAAUCUUCCCUUGUAACUGCCAUAUCUCCCGAACAGAUGCCUCUUCAUUGCAUCUCUUCUCCUUGUAUAUAUAUCCAGAAUCAUCUAAUGAAAGAGAGAUAGAAUUCAUUUUCAAACACUUGUCAGGGGGUGAGAUAUGUAUUGACAGCAACGUAAAUAAAGAUCAUAAACGCGUUCUAUAUUUCUACUGAAAUCGACAAGUCGUGACAACGUGUCCCAAAGCGAAUAGCAGCAGUACGUAGAAAACACAGUACGAAUCUGGUUGACAUGGACAUGCACUAGCGAUGUACGAUUGGAGUGAGGCCAUGCAUGGAGCUUGAAUUCAAGUUGUGUUACAUUAUGAUGACGUUCAUAAUAUCGACCAGCAGGGGUUGAAUUAAACUUUAGCCGGUACGUGUUCCGCGCUUACGACCAAUUAGUUUGAGUUGCAUACUGCACAAGGCCACUCGGCACAUCGUCUGCUAGUAAGGGCAUGUACACCGAGUAGCCCCAGGGGUGCUGCCCCAUAGGUUUGGGUGGUCCAGGUAGGUUCGGGUGGUGCUUCAAACAUGUCAGGGGAUCUUCUGCAGGAGGCAGCCUCUUGGGCAGAAAAAGUACAAAAAUGAAAAAAUGUAAGGCAAAAGAUUAUGACAUUGGACCCAUAAUAUAGAAGACAUAAACUUUUGAUGAUGUGACUGAAAAAGUUAUUUUCCGUGUCUAGCUGGAUGCAUCGGGGACGGCACCUACCACUGCCCCAGUGCUCAUGCCCUAACUGCCUAUAGUUUGUGACUUUUUUUUUGAAACGGACAAAUUAACUUUGGUUAUUACUAACUCCGUCCGAUGUUACUUGUCACUCAAGUGGAUGUAGUAAUAUGACUGAUUUCGUUUUUUGCUAGGACGAUGAGAAGGAAAGGACCGACGAUCAACAACGAAACCAUCAAAGCCACGUGUCAGCAUGCAUCCAUGCAUAUGAUUAUGAUCAGUCUCGUCAUCUUGAGACAGCACCAAAACGCUCCGACACAUAAUCCACGAUGAGGCCUUGUUUAUCAUUUCGUCAAGAUUCAUAGCAAAAGCGAGAUCACAUCUCAAGUUUAAUACUCACUACACACACCCUUGAGGCCUUGACAGGUGUCCAGCUCGACUGCCACAUGUGCAAGAUAAGUCUCUCAACCUCUCCUGCUCUUGCCUGACGUGUCACGAUAAUAAUGGAGUCAACGCGAGGUUGACAAACACGCCGAGUAUAUGGAAAUCAGUUAUUCAGUUCAAGUGCAGUGCAGAACGAGGGUAGGCGAGGACACAGAGUUUUUGAGCCCGAGCUCAAAUGGGCUAGGAUGAACAGUGAUUUUUAAAUAAAAGUAAACUAAAUAAAAAUUAAAAAUACUUGCGGUAAACAUUUGGAAUUCUGAGUUUUUGAANUUCUGAGUUUUUGAAUGAUUUUUUUUAAUUUUUUUCGAUUUUAUUGUAGCCAUGCUCAUUUGAGCAACUAGCGCACGACUGAUCUCCGGAGAUCCUCGUGACAUGAGCCGGUAAAUUUUACUCCCUUUAUUUUUAAAAAUAUAUGUCUUUCUAAAGGUUUCAUUAGAAGACUACAUACAGAUGUAUAUAGACAUAUUUUAAAGUAUAGAUUCGCUUAUUUUAUUUUAUAUGUAGUCUGCUAAUGAAAUUUAAAAAAAUAAUUAUAUUUAGGAACGAAGGGAGUAGUAAUGUGUAGACGGCUGCAGCCGACUGGUGCAAGAUUUUGCUGGUGAACAAUGACGCUUCUCUCCACCACACGCUUCAUAUCCGCUUGUCUGAUAUGAACAAUAAUAUAAAGGCAUUCUGGUCAGACUUGAUUAUCCAUCUGCUCCAGUUUUAAAUGGCCUUAUAUAGCGAUAAUUCAUUUCUGAGUCCGGGCUCAUCUGCAUUCUUAUUGAGUAAAAAAAUCAAAAUAAAUAUAUAUUUUUUAACAAAUUUUAAUUUUUAAUAAAUAUAAUUUUUUUGCAUGAGGUUCGUUUCAAAUUUUAUACUCCCUCCGUUCCAAAAUAUUUGUCUUUUUAAAUAUUUCACUACGGACUACAUACGAAUAUAUAUAGACAUAAUUUAGAGUAUAAAUUCACUUAUUUUGCUCCGUAUGUAGUCCGUAGUUGAAUCUCUAAAAAGAUAAAUAUUUAGGNNNNNNNNNNNNNNNNNNNNNNNNNNNNNNNNNNNNNNNNNNNNNNNNNNNNNNNNNNNNNNNNNNNNNNNNNNNNNNNNNNNNNNNNNNNNNNNNNNNNUGGGGUUUAAGCUUCUGUCACUCCAGCAACCCAUCAUCUACUUACUACUUCCCAAUGCUUUCCUCUAGGCCCAAAUAUGGUGAAGUGUUAUGUAGUUGACGUUCACAUAACACCACUAGAGGAAAAGACAACAUACAACAUAUCAAAAUACCGAACGAAUGUCAAAUUCACAUGACUAUUAUUAACAUGAUUUAUUCCAUGUCUUCGAGAACAAAAGUAACUACUCAUAAAACAUAAUCAUAAUCAUGAUCAGAGGUGCAAUGAAUAGCAUCAAGGAUCUGAACAUAAACUCUUCCACCAAGUAAUCCAACUAGCAUCAACUACAAAGAGUAAUCAACACUACUAGCAACCUUACAAGUACCAAUCGGAGUUGCGAGACGAAGAUUGGUUACAAGAGAUGAACUAGGGGUUGGAGAGGAGAUGGUGCUGAUGAAGAUGUUGAUGAAGAUGCCUCCCCUCCGACGAGAGGAGUGCUGGUGAUGACGAUGACGACGAUUCCCCCCUCCGGAAGGGAAGUUUCCCCGACAGGAUCGUCCUGCCGGAGCUCUAGAUUGGAUUUGCUCAAGUUCCGCCUCGUGGCAGCGGCGAAACCACAAAAAAGCUCCCGAUUAAUUUUUUUUGGACCACGAUGCUUCAUAUAGCAAAAGAGGGGGGCUAGUGGGCCGUCAGGGAGCCCACAAGCCCCCACUCCGCCACCAGGGGGUGGCAGUGUCAAGGCUUGUGGCGCCCUGGCAGCCCCCCUCCGGUAGUUCUUUCGCCCAGUAUUAUUUAUAUAAUCCAGAAAAAAUCCAUGUAACUUUUCAGGGCAUUUGGAGAUGUGCAGAAUAGUGGAUUAGGAUUUGCUCCUUUUCCAGUCAAGAAUUCCAGCUGCCUGAAUUCUCCCUCUUCAAAUAGACCUUGCAAAAUAAGAGAGAAAAGGCAUAAAUAUGGUACCACAAGUAAUAUAACAACCCAAGAAACAACAAAUAUCAACAUGAAAGCAUGAUGCAAAAUGGACGUAUCAGAGGUGAGCACCAUGAAGCUCUGCCAUGACCGGUCAAAAAAACAGAGCAGUGCACUGCUCUGCUCGCGUGAAGGGGGUAUAUAUAGGCCAACCAUUGGUCCCGGUUUGUGGCUAGAACUGAGACUAAAGUUCAAUAUUUGGUCCCGGUUCCACCCACAAACCGGGACUAACGGUUGUGGGCCAGGAGCGAGGCACAUUGGUCCCGGUUCAUAUCUGGAACCGGGACCAAAGGGGUCAUACGAACCGGGACCAAUGGCCCACGAGGCCCGGCCGACGACCUGGCCUCACGAACCGGGACCAAUGCCCCCAUGGGUCCCGAUUCGUGAGUGAACGGGGACUAAUGGGAUUUCAUCAAGUGGACCAAAGCCCUCUUUUAUUCUAGUGGAUUGAUUCCCGAUGGAAUCUCACUUCUGAAUCAAAAUGCAAAAUGCAACAUAUAUUGUGUAAAAAUUAGUAAGUCACCAUACGACUUAUAGUUGUCAGUACAUAUGGUACAACCGACGUAGUGAGUUCCUCAUACACAAGGAUUACUCCUACAAUGAUGAUUAUUCAUGUUUGUGUGUCUGCAAUGACGACACAUGUAAUCAUCUAAAUGAUGGAGUUUAAAAUGAAGGAUUUGGGUAAACCAAAAUACCGCUCGUACUACAACUUGAGCACCUUCAUUCAUACAUUAUGGUAUACUAUGUUGUCUAUAUUCAAAAUAUAUUGAAGAAAUUCAUUGUGGACAAAUCUGUUCCAUCCAUGACUCUCAUGGUAGUUCAUUCUCUAGACGUAGAGAAAGAUCUAUUUACACCAAGAGAUGAUGGAAAUGAGAUAUUGGGACUCAACGUUCCAUAAUGCCAUUGGAUACACCAAACAAAAUUGGUUGGGACUCAAGAAUAUCUAUCGAUAUCUCCAAAGGCAUCAAACAUCUUAUCCUAGUUUUUCAAGUUUUAGAGAAAUCUGAACACCAAUACCAUUGGAUAAAUUGAUCAGAUCCCUGCUAUGUCGGAUCAUAGACAAGCUUAGUAUUCCUACUAGAUGUGGUAGUAAUCUCAUGAGAGUGUUUGAAACAGACCUCGUGGCUAUAUCCACCAACUAUUAUCUCAACGAUAAUGUUUCUUGUGUUGUCUGGAUGCAAACAGGUUACAUAAUAAGCUAUAUCUCUAUAUUGCAGAUCUUGCAAGUUUAAUCAUGUGACUGAUUUACUCACGAAGUCUCUACCAACUUUUACAUUCCAGAACUAUAUUCAUGGAAUUGGUAUGUGACGGCUUCGAAAUUUGCAAGAAUCAGGGGGAGUAUCUUCCUUAAUUAUUCCUCUUCAAUGCAUCAUAUUAUACUCUUUUUCCCUCCAUGAGUUUACUAUAUAGGUUCUCAUGAAGGUUUUUAAUGAGGUAACAUCAAUACAAGAUCAUAUGUCAUACUUUCAGUUUUCCCACCGUGGUUUUUAGAAAAGUAUAUAUGACAUAUUUAUUGUCCUCUAAAUUCUAUGAAUUUCUCAUAUCGAGUUAAAAGGCACAAUAACCAGUAUAUGUUGCAUCAUUUUCUCCUUAUUUUUUCCAUCGGGUUUAAAGGAGUUUUAGCAACAUGUCAAACAUAUAUGACCUCAUUUUUUGCACAGGGUUUUGGAGGAGUUUUUAAGAUGACAAGGCUUACAAUAACAAGCAUGGAUUAGGGGGAGUGUUAGGAUAGAAUUAAUUCUAUUAAUCCCUACUUUUCCUAACCGAGACGGUUGCCUCGUGUCCCUUCGGACGCACCCCUUCGGGGGAUAUNNNNNNNNNNNNNNNNNNNNNNNNNNNNNNNNNNNNNNNNNNNNNNNNNNNNNNNNNNNNNNNNNNNNNNNNNNNNNNNNNNNNNNNNNNNNNNNNNNNNAGAUUGUCAAGUUUAGAUGUAACUACAAACUGUUAAUAAGUAGACUGUCCUUGAAACCCAUCUUAUGUUCUAGCUUGUAGUUAAAGGAUGGAGUACAAAAUCGUCAUAGAAUUGCAUUGAGGACAGAUCUAAAAUUAGUCAUCUAUAUCACAGUAGAUUGGCUUAAGGGCCCUCGGUGAAGGAUCUUAUGAGACCAUCAUGCACUGUGAAAUGCAGUGACCAUUCUUAACUUGUUAUGGAUAUGUCCAAUGACCAUUCUUAACUUGUUAUGGAUAUGUCUCAUGCCCAUGCACCCUGACCUUUAUGAAUGCUUAAAAGCAUACCGUGCUACCAUUAGGUAAUGCGCUACUUGAAAAGUCAGAUUCACCACUCUCUUGUUCGAUACCCAAGCACAAAAGGGUUCAAUAAAACAAGUCUCCCUUGGCAAAUAGGGUUUCUCCCCGCUUAUAUAAUAAAUCCACGAACACGAUCACAAAGUAAAUGCUGGGAUGAACAACACAUCAAGCCCAAAAGAAAAAGGAAGAAAAGAUAAAUGCAAAGAAUGGCAGUUCAGCAUGAACAGANNNNNNNNNNNNNNNNNNNNNNNNNNNNNNNNNNNNNNNNNNNNNNNNNNNNNNNNNNNNNNNNNNNNNNNNNNNNNNNNNNNNNNNNNNNNNNNNNNNNCCCUCUCUGCUGCCGCGCCAUGCCGCCGGCCCUCUCCCUUCCUCUCUUCUGCGUCGCCGCCGGCCCUCUCCCUUCCAUUUUUCAUUCCAUGCCUCCCAACCAAACACUCGAACGGAACCAUCCCGUUCCACUUUUUUGCUCAUACCAAACACAGGAACGGAACCGACCCGUUCCUCUGGAAUGGAACCAUUCCAUUCCAUGACAGUUGGUUCUCCAACCAAACACACCCUUAGUUAGCCUUCGUGGAUAUCCAUGGGACUAGCCUCCUCACGAGAGCAACUAGUUAGCGAACACUUCUUCGAGAGCCCCACAAUGAUCACUCCCACACGCCGUCACUUAGCGCGUUCUCAGUCGCUGCCACGUGUCAUGCUUUGAACAUUUGCUUCGGAUUUCAUUUUUUAUUUCCCCGCACACAUUUUUUUGGCUUUUUUGAUUGGAUUUUUUCCCGGUUUUUUUGGGGGGGGGGGGGGGGGGUUUUGUUUUUUUAUUGGUCUUCAUUAGCUUUUUGAUGGAAAAAGAUAAAAAAGUGCGGGAAUAAACGGGAAUAAAUGAUACACAUGAGUGCGUCACUUGUUUCAACUUAAAAAAGUAUGAUUGAUCUUUGAAAGGAGUAUCCCUUAAUUAAUGAUUUCACUUUCUAGGAGCAACUCCGAUGGACAUUCUUAUUUACGCGAGCUACAAGUACAGCAUGGAAUCACAUGCCCAGAAGCUCAAUAGCGGUGGCGAGUUGACAAUCAUUGUAUGGCUUAGGCUUGUUAUAAUGGGGAAUAUCAUAUGUUAGUAUCAUACAUACGAUACUAGUGUAUGAUAUUACAUCUGUAAUGCAUANNNNNNNNNNNNNNNNNNNNNNNNNNNNNNNNNNNNNNNNNNNNNNNNNNNNNNNNNNNNNNNNNNNNNNNNNNNNNNNNNNNNNNNNNNNNNNNNNNNNAUAUAUAUGUGAAGACCAAUGUAUCGUCAGUUCCAUCUGAUUCUGAUAAACAGAAAAUGCCUUUUGUGCCUGUUUACUCAUGUUCUCUCACAUGCUAUCAUAUCCUGGUCGCGGAUAUGCAGCCUGAAUCCAUAAAAUUGUUUGUCUCUCUUCCAGCAACACGCUAGACAACGAUAUCACACACGCAAAAAGGCUCCGCCGGCCCAUUGGUGAUAGUUGGUAAAAUAUACUUCCUCCGUUUCUUUUUAGUCUGCAUAUAAGAUUUGAUCAAAGUUAAACUUCAUAAACUUUGACUAAAUUUAUAAAACUAAAUAUCAACAUUUAUAGNCAUUUAUAGUAUGAAAUCAAUAUUAGUAGAUGCAUAAUGAUAUUAAUUUCCAUAGCAUAUAGGUCUAGUAUUAUAGAUGUUGAUAUCUUUUGAUAUAUAUUUGGUCAAACUUUGUAUUACUUGACUUUGAUCAAAUCACUAAUGGGGACGGGGCCUUUAGCCCCGGCCCGUAAGGGGCUUUAGUCCCGGUUCACCAACCGGGACUAAAGGGGCGGGACUAAAGGCCUAACCUUUAGUCCCGACCCUGUUACAAGCCGGGACUAAAGGUGCUUCACGUGGGCGCCCCGUAGCGCCUCAGGACAUUUAGUCCCGGUUCGUUACACGGACCGGGACUAAAGAGUUUCAGAUUUUGCUUAUUUUUGGGUUUUUUUUUGAAUGAAAUUACUUUUGGGUUUUAGGGUUUUAGGGUUUAGGUGUUCGGGAGAUUAACGUGAUGCCUCGUUUGGUGUUCGGGAAUUAGUUUUCAUAUAGUUUAAAUAGAAAUAAUUAUGCAUAUAUAUAUAUAAUUAACUUAUCUUACAAGCGAGCAUACACUAGUGGGGACGGGGCCUUUAGCCCCGACCCGUAAGGGGUUUUAGUCCCGGUUCACCAACCGGGACUAAAGGGGCGGGACUAAAGGCCUAACCUUUUCGUCCCGACCCUCUUACACGCCGGGACUAAAGGUGCUCCACGUGGGCGCCUCGUAGCGCCCCAGGGGCAGGCCCUUUAGUCCCGGUUCGUUACACGGACCGAGACUAAAGAUUUUCAUAUNNNNNNNNNNNNNNNNNNNNNNNNNNNNNNNNNNNNNNNNNNNNNNNNNNNNNNNNNNNNNNNNNNNNNNNNNNNNNNNNNNNNNNNNNNNNNNNNNNNNUAAGUGUGAUGCCUUAUUUAUUCACAUGAUUUUCUUGCAUCAACAAAGACGGCGUGCCACAGGCAUAAUACUUGCAGUUUGCCUGAUGUUCAUCCUGGAUUCGUUUAUAACCUAGUCAUGUGUAAUAAUCAUUCUUGAUAUAGGGCUGACCAGUAAAAGACUAAAAGGCAGAGCUUUUGAAGGCUGACUCUUCAGGUUGUUAUUAUUCAUAUAUAUGUACUACAAAAGGCCAAAGAGCAAUCAAGCUCUUUACCCUGCAAAAGAAAUGUGGAAAUUGUAGCUCCCAUCGCCGGCCGGAAACUUCGGCAACCCCAUUGCUGCCGCCAUUGUUUCUGUGUGCGAGUGCAGCAAGAAAUAGUCAAAGUUUGGGCCCUGUGAUGGUUUGUAGGUACACUUGCAGAGAGAAAAGUUUGGGUAGCAUCUCCUUAAUCUAAUCUACUUGCAACUGCAACUUUAGUCUAAUCUGCAAGUGUACGUACCCGGCCUAGUAAAAAAAUUGAGAAUAAAAUAAAUAAAUAAAUACGGACUACUAGUGAUCCCCAUUAGUACAUACUUGAUCCUGCCAGCUUAGCACUGAGUUCGGUCAGAUCCAUCUACAUCUACAACUAUAAACCACGAACGAAGCUUCCUUAUCCCUUUCUUAAGAAGCAGAUCAAACUGAAACUUGUGGUAGACUUUGGAUGUCGAUCCACACUGGUUAGCUAGUGUGGAGUGACAUCCGCUGGCCACUGCACCUAUGUGCUUUUCUCCGUUAGUUUCCUUCGCCCCUCCCUCGUCUCAAGAUCGGCUGGGUUUCUGAAUUCGGAGCUGCAACCUAACUCGCACACAGCCGGUAUGUAAUUAUGCAUACACCAUCGCUUGUCAAUUGCAGUCGAUCGCGAGCAUUAGUUACAUAUAAGUACAUUUGUGAGGGGAGUGUGCCUUUUGCUAUGCGUAUGAAAAUUCACAUGUCUACUGUGUGCACUGUACAUUUUGUGCAAUUCUAGAUUACAAUCACUUGUGAGUACUUCAGGCGACUGAGUAUUAGCAAAUUCACGGACGAAAUCCUGCAUUUAUCAUACAUGAUAAUGUACUGUUAUCUAUACAUUCCUUUUGGUUUAUUACUCCUGAUCAUGUGCCUGAAACAAAGCCGCGGAAAUUCAUCCAAUUCCAGGCAGUGCAGUGGAGACCAGAGUGUCAAGAGGAGAAGAUCAAUUAGUAUGGCUGCAGGGCCGCUGGUGCUAUGGAACCACCGGUCGAUGCAGAUCCUGGUCCUCCUCAGCCUUGGGCUCCAGCUCGUCCUCUUCGUCUUUGCCGGGAUCCGCCGGCGUCAGACGCUCCCCGUGCGGAGGUUCCUCCUGUGGCUAGCGUACCUCAUAGCCGACUCCACCGCCGUGUACGCCGUCGGCCACCUGUCAUUUGGCAGCGCCGUGCGUGAGAACCAGCUCGUCGCGUUCUGGGCGCCGUUCCUGCUGCUCCACCUCGGCGGCCCGGACAACAUCACCGCCUAUGCGCUCCAGGACAACCAGCUCUGGCUCCGACACCUCACCAUCCUCAUCGUGCAGGUCCUCGGAGCGGGCUACGUCCUCAAGAAGCACAUCACCGUCGCCCGCGGCCAGGACGGGAAGCUGCUCCUGAUCGCCUCCAUUUUGAUGUUCGCCCUCGGCUUGGUCAAGUACGGGGAGAGGACGUGGGCGCUCAAGUGCAGCACCCUGGAGAGCAUCGGCGCCUCCGUCAAGACCCAGCCGCCCGCCAUCCACAACCAUAACCAUCCUCAGGACAUAGCCACGGAGGGGGAGUUCCACCUGCGACGAGCCCACUCGCUGUUCCACAUCUGCAAGCGCGCCAUCGGCGACUCCUCAGUGGUCGAGGAGGAUUCCGUGGAGAUCACCGUGCAUUUCGGUACAGCAGUACAGGGCGUGGAGCUGUGGACGCUGAUGGAGAUCGAGCUUUCCCUCAUGUACGACGUCCUCUACACCAAGGCAGCCGUCAUCCACACCUUCUUCGGCUACCUGGUCCGCUUCGUCGGGCCUCUUAGCGCCAUCACCUCGAUGCUGCUGUUCCAGUUCACCUCCAAGGACGGCUACGACAGAGCCGACGUCGCCAUCACCUACGUCCUGCUGGGCGGCGCCGUGUUCAUGGAGACGGCGUCGCUCCUGAACGCGUUGGCGUCAUCCUGGACCUUUGCGUUCCUGAGCACUACCAGGUGGAGCUGGCUUCGGUACACCACCCUGUGCAACGAGAGAUGGGACAGGCUCCGGCGCGCCGUCGUGUGGCUUCGUAAUCUUGUCAAGGGACGAGUUGGCGGUGACAGUAGGUACAAGUCAAGAAGGUGGUCAUACACCAUCGGGCAGUACAACUUGCUGCAUUUCUGCACGCGCCCCGCCGACAUGCCGCUCGGUAGGCUGGCCAAGGCAAUGGGACUCGACGAGUGGUGGAACCGGAAGCACUACUCGGGGACCGUCGAGAUGUCUGGUGAGAUCAAGUUCCGUAUCGCUCUCUACAUGAAGCGGUUGUACAGCAAGGGGAGGUUCAGCACGGGCAUGCUAAGGAAGAAGUGGGGCGAGGAUCCGCUGGAGAGCCGUGGGCUUUACCACAAAGGCAUCCUCAAGGACUCCCUCGGCUUCGAGUUCCAGGAGGGCAUCAUCAUCUGGCACAUCGCCACCGAGAUCUUCCUUGCCAAAAGCAAGAGAGCCAAGGCAGUGGAUGCUGCGCCUGAGGUGCAUUUUAUUAGGAUGAUGUCCGACUAUAUGAUGUUCCUAUUAGUGGAUCGUCCCUACAUGCUGCCAGGACAGCCCCAAAAGAAGUUGUACCGGCGGACCUGCGAGAGGCUGGUCACCAUGCGAUCGGCUGAUCCUAGGUACCCGAGUCGUGCACGCAUCACGGAUCUGUUCUGUGUGUAUGAUGGCCCAAACUCUAGCACUUCCAGGGUCGCGGAGAGAGUGGAGCUUGCAAACAACUUGUACGAUGAGUACCAAGAUCGAGAGUAUGGCGAAGUUGCUCCUCGCCUCAUUCACAUGGCUCAACUUGCCAAAGAGCUACUGGAGAAGGAGAGGGAUGGCACGACCGACUCUUUGAAGCUUGUCCUGGAAGUGUGGAUGGACAUUCUUAUUUACGCGAGCCACAAGUGCAGCAGGGAGUCCCACGCCCAGAAGCUCAAUAGUGGUGGCGAGUUGACAACCAUCGUGUGGCUUAUGGCAGAACACAUAUACCUAGCGUCGGCCCCAGAAAGAGAUGAUGUAAUAUAAUGUUUCUGAUAACAAUUGCAUCCUACUUCAUGUAUUUAUUUAUUUUUUGAGAAUCCUACUUCAUGUAUUUAUAUUGUUUGUGCAUAAGUUACAUAUAGUUAUAAAAAAGGGUAUUCAACAAUGUGAGAGUGAGGGUCAGACUACACAUGGACGUACAUGGGCCGCCCAGUGCUCACUUAAUUAGCCUUUGUGGACAUCCGUGGGACUAGCCUCCUCACCAGUAAAUUUUGAAAUAGUUUUAGUACAGGCUCUUCAGUGAGGAAAUACACUUUGAUUUCUGGUUGUAUUUCAUCGCGAGGGCCAAAUUUCACGUGGACAUGCGCCGCCCAGUGUCUACUUAAAAGCCCACUUAAGGUGUGUUUGGUUGCUGUCAUGGGUUGGAAUAUCACGGGUCGGACCCGUUCCUAGUCCUCGCUCCUGCGUUUGGUUUACCAACUGGAACAGAACCCACUCAUUCCAUUUUAGAAAUAUUUCACUCAGAUCCGGAACGUGCUAGUACCACAAAAUUGACGGAAUCACACGGAAAGGCUCGUCUCGCGCAACUCGUCUCCUCCUUCCCCAGCUGCGCCGCUCGAGCUCCUCCUUCCCCAGCUGCGCCGCUCGAGCUCCUCCUUCCCCAGCUACGCCGCCGGCCCCCUCCCUCUCUGCUGCGGCGCUGCGCCGCCAACCCCCUCCCUCUCUGCUGCCGCGCUGCGCUGCCGGCCCUCUCCCUCCCUCUCUGCUGCAUCGCCGCGCCGUCGGCCCCUUCCCUCUCUGCUGCCGCGCCGCCGGCCCCCUCCCUCUCUGCUGCCGCGCCACGCCGCCGGCCCUCUCCCUCCCUCUCUGUUGCGUCGCCGCCUCGCCGGCCCCCUCCCUCUCUGCUGCCGCGCCAUGCCGCCGGCCCUCUCCCUUCCUCUCUUCUGCGUCGCCGCCGGCCCUCUCCCUUCCAUUUUUCAUUCCAUGCCUCCCAACCAAACACUCGAACGGAACCAUCCCGUUCCACUUUUUUGCUCAUACCAAACACAGGAACGGAACCGACCCGUUCCUCUGGAAUGGAACCAUUCCAUUCCAUGACAGUUGGUUCUCCAACCAAACACACCCUUAGUUAGCCUUCGUGGAUAUCCAUGGGACUAGCCUCCUCACGAGAGCAACUAGUUAGCGAACACUUCUUCGAGAGCCCCACAAUGAUCACUCCCACACGCCGUCACUUAGCGCGUUCUCAGUCGCUGCCACGUGUCAUGCUUUGAACAUUUGCUUCGGAUUUCAUUUUUUAUUUCCCCGCACACAUUUUUUUGGCUUUUUUGAUUGGAUUUUUUCCCGGUUUUUUUGUGUUUUGUUUUUUUAUUGGUCUUCAUUAGCUUUUUGAUGGAAAAAGAUAAAAAAGUGCGGGAAUAAACGGGAAUAAAUGAUACACAUGAGUGCGUCACUUGUUUCAACUUAAAAAAGUAUGAUUGAUCUUUGAAAGGAGUAUCCCUUAAUUAAUGAUUUCACUUUCUAGGAGCAACUCCGAUGGACAUUCUUAUUUACGCGAGCUACAAGUACAGCAUGGAAUCACAUGCCCAGAAGCUCAAUAGCGGUGGCGAGUUGACAAUCAUUGUAUGGCUUAGGCUUGUUAUAAUGGGGAAUAUCAUAUGUUAGUAUCAUACAUACGAUACUAGUGUAUGAUAUUACAUCUGUAAUGCAUAGUAUUAUAUAUUAAUAUCAUAAUAUAGUUUAUUUAUUGCCAUGCGUGACACAUAAUAACACAUCAUUUAAUAUGAUGCAUUAUUGUAAUAUGAUAUUCAACUCUUUUUUUCUUCAUUUAAUUAUAUGACACCUCAUCAAAAUUGUCUAGUUGGCAUUCAUGAUACUACCUAUGAUACUCUCAUUACAACUAGCCUUAUGACGGAACACAUAUACCUAGCACCGGCUCCGGAAAGAGAUGAGGUAAUAUAAUGUUUUUGACAAAAAUUGUAUCCUACUUCAUGUAUUUAUUUAUUUUUGAAAAUCCUACUUCAUAUAUUUAUAUUGUUUGUGUAAAGUUACAUAUAAGUAUAGCAAACAGUAUUCCAGAAUGUGAGCGUGAGGGCCAGACUACACUUAAAAGCCCACUUACUUAGCCUUCAUCGACAUCUGUGAGACUUUUACCUAAAAAAUAAAUCCGUGGGACUAGCCUCCUAACUAGUGAAUCUUGAAAGAGUUUUAGUACAGGCUCAUCAGGAGGUACAACUACCGCUAAAUAAAUAAAUAAAUUUCAAAUCAACUAGUGGUUGGAUGGUUAGAGGGACAGUGGUAUCCCUAGCUGAAAGGAUUGAUAUGGUUGACUAGACGGGGGUGAAUAGACAACUAACAAUUUUUUUAAGCUUUUCUUUAACAAAUUAAGUUUAGCAACAAAUAUGUUGUCUCGAUAUGCAACUAAGUGAGCAACCUAUAUGAUGCUAGCAACAAUAAUAACAAGUAAGUAACAAAUACAAGUAAAGGUAGGAAGUAACCACAAGUGGAACCGAUGACGACUAGGAUGUGUUUCCGAAGUUCCUUUCCUUUGAGUGGAAGUACGUCUUCGUUGAAGCGGUGUGGAGGCACAAUGCUCCCCAAGAUUCCACUAAGGCCACAAUAUUUUCCUCACGUCCUCACACAAUACGAUGUGUCGUGAUUCCACUAGUGGUGCCCUUGAAGGAGGCAACCAAACCUUUACAAACAAGGUUGGAGCAAUCUCCAGAAUUGAAUUGGAGGCUCUCAACGAGACCAUGAAGCUUAACCACAAUGGAAUAUGGCUUCGAGGUGACCUCGACCGUCUAGGAUGCUCAAACACCCAAGAGUAACAAGAUCCGCGAGGGAUUGGUGGGGGAAAUCAAAUUUCUCUUGGUGAAAGUGUAGAUCAAGGCCCUCUCAAGCAAACCCAACAUUAUCAACAAGUUUUGUUGGUUAGGGAGAGUGAUCAGGUGAAAAUGGAGCUUGGAGCAACAACGGAGCUUAGGGUUGGGAAAGGUGGUCUUCUCAGGGAAGAAAAACCCCUUUAUAUAGUGGGGGUGAAUCCAACCGUUACCCACUUUCUCUGCCCGCAUCAGAGCAGUACUACUGCUCCAGGGAGAGGUACUAUCGAUGAUAAGAGGUAGUACCGCUCCAGUGAGGGGUGGUACUACCGCUGGGGCACAAGACAGAAAUCAAAGAUGGAGGCAGAGGCCGGUAGUACAGCCGGAGUGGUACUACCACUCAUAAGAGGCAGUACCACCUCCUAUAUCUGCUCAUGAUAUGUUGCAGACCUAGCCCAUAAGUACCAAGGGGUUCUGCGCGGUAGUAACAAGCGGUACUACCGCUUGUUGGGCGGUACUACCGACCUGCAGUACCGCUCCAGGAAACGCUCAGUCCGACACAAAAAAGUGUCGAGACCCAAGGGCAGUGGCACUAGACAACGGAACUAGCUAGACCUCUUCCGCCCUGGAGCGGUAUUACCACCGGCCAAGGCGGUACUACCACUCACAAUAGGUAGUACGCUCAACAGAGCGGUACUACAACUUGGAUCUUUCUAGGCAGGAUAGGGCUAGGAAGGAUGGUCCAUUGAGGUGGGAAAGAGGGUGCGAAGGAAUGAGCACAUGAUGAUUCCACCCAAACCUUUCCGAAGCAGGCCCCUCUUAAUAGUACGGUUUUAACUAAGACUCAAGUCCACCGAUAAUGAAAAGUAAGAGAGAAAACCGUCUCCCUAUAAAUACAUCGAGGGGCAUGAGUCGUCUUGUGCCAAAUGAUGAAAUACCUGAAAGGCUUAGUGCACACGAUUAGUUCGCAAACGCAUUGUCAUCAAUCACCAAAACCUCUAGGGUAUAAAUAUACCUUUACAAUCUCCGCCUUUUUGGUGGAUUGAUGACAACACGAGAUUUGCACAGAAGAUAUAUAUAAGAUAGAAUGCAAACCCCACUCUCUACAAAAAUAGAUAGGCCCCCCUAGAUGUGUGCACUAUUUAAGUAUGCUUUUGGAAUGCAAAGUGCACACACUAGGAUCAACACUCCCCCUAUAUUUUAUAGAUAGACACUACUUGCACUAGGGGAAACUGAAAGUAAUAUAGAUGCAACAAGUGGUGUGAGCAUUAAUAAUAGGGCACAAGAUAAGCAUCUCACAAACUUAAGUCAUAUGAUAAAAUUAAGGUAACAUAUGUCUCACACCAUAUGACAUAACCUCACAAGAGUCCCUUAUCAUCAAAGCCAAGCAAUUUCAUGAACGUCUUCCAGGGAGCAGAAAGCAGCUUACCGUUGGUCAUCCAAGUAAGAGUCCUCUCCGCAUGAGUUCCCAAAUGCACCAUGGCAAACACCAGUAGGAAAAAUCUUAUAGAUAGUGUUGGAAAUAUGCCCUAGAGGCAAUAAUAAAUUGGUUAUUAUUAUAUUUCCUUGUUCAUGAUAAUCAUUUAUUAUCCAUGCUAGAAUUGUAUUGAUCGAAAACUCAAAUACAUGUGUGGAUACAUAGACAACACACUGUCCCUAGUGAGCCUCUAGUUGACUAGCUCGUUGAUCAAAGAUGGUCAAGGUUUCCUGGCCAUAGACAAUUAUUGUCACUUGAUAACGGGAUCACAUCAUUGGGAGAAUGAUGUGAUGGACAAGACCCAAAACUAUGAACGUAGCAUAUGAUCGUGUCAGUUUAUUGCUACUGUUUUCUGCAUGUCAAUGUAUCUGUUCCUAUGACCAUGAGAUCUUGCAAUUCCCAGACACAGGAGGAAUACCUUGUGGGUUAUCAAACAUCGCAACGUAACUGGGUGACUACAAAGGUGCUCUAUAGGUAUCUCCAAAGGUGUUAGUUGGGUUGGCAUGGAUCAAGACUAGGAUUUGUCACUCCGUGUGACGGAGAGGUAUCUCGGGGCCCACUCGGUAAUACAACAUCACAAUAAGACUUGCAAGCAAUGUGACUAAGAAGUUAGUCAUGGGAUCUUUUAUUACGGAACGAGUAAAGAGACUUGCCGGUAACGAGAUUGAACUAGGUAUAGAGAUACCGAUGAUCGAAUCUCGGGCAAGUAACAUACCGAAGGAUAAAGGGAAUAGCAUACAGGAUUAACUGAAUCCUUGACAUAGAGGUUCAACCGAUAAAGAUCUUCGUAGAAUAUGUAGGAGCCAAUAUGAACAUCCAGGUCCCGCUAUUGGUUAUUGACCGGGGAGUGUCUCAGGUCAUGUCUGCAUAGUUCUCGAACCCGCAGGGUCUGCACACUUAAGGUUCGGUGACGUUUUGGUAUAGUUGAGUUAUAGGUGUUGGUGACCAAAGGUUGUUCAGAGUGCCGGAUGAGAACCUGGACGUCACGAGGAGCUCCGAAAUGGUCCGGAGGUAAAGAUUUAUAUAUAGGAAGUCAUGUUUUGGUCACCGAAAAAGUUUCAAUCUCAUCGGUAGUGUACCGGGAGUGCAAGGAGCGUACAGGGGACCGUCGGGAGGAGUGUCACGCCCCAAGGGGCCUUAUGGGUUGUGGGAGGAUACAAACCAGCCCCUAGUGGGCUGACAUAAGCUCCCACUUAGGCCCAUGAGGUUUGAGAAGGAAAAAAACACAAGGUGGAAAGAGUUUCCAAGUGGGAAGGAUGAGUCCUAAUCCUACUAGGAUUGGAGGAGGACUCCUCCUCUCCUCCUUGCGCCAAGGAAAGGGGCCAGCCCUAGGGCGCAGACUCCUCCCUCCCUCCUCCUAUAUAUACUAGAGGUUUUUGAGGGUUUUGAGACACAUAAAAAAAACCACGUGUUGCCCUCUCUCUCUUGAUCUGUUUCUCCUCUAGUCUAGUUUCAGCAGUGCUUUGGCGAAGCCCUGCUGGAAUAGUUUCACCACUACCACCACCACGCCGCCGUGCUGGAGAACUCAUCUACCUCUCCGCCCUCUUUCUGGAUCAAGAAGGCGGAGAUCGUCAUCGAGUUGUAUGUGUGCUGAACGCGGAGGUGUCGUCCGUUCGACACUAGAUCGGGAUGGAUCGUGAUGGGAUCGUGGGACGGAUCGUGAUGAGAUCACGGGACGGGCAGCGAUUUGGAUCGCGAAGAUGUUCCACUACAUCAACCGCGUUAUAUACGCUUCCGCUUAGCGAUCUACAAGGGUACGUAGAUGCACUCUCUCCUCUCAUAGAUGAUCAUCACCAUGGAUAGGUAUUGCGUGUGCGUAGGAUUUUUUUUUGUUUCCCAUCGACGUUCCACAACAGUGGCAUCAUGAGAUAGGUUCAUGCGUAGAUGAAAUCUUGAGUAGAACACAAAAGAGUUUGUGGGCAUUGAUAUUCAAUUUGAUUCCCUCCUUAGUCUUUUCUCGAUUUGGCGGUAUUGUUGGAUUGAAGCGGCCCGGACCAACCUUACUCGUACGCUUACGAGAGACCGGUUUCAUCGAAUGACAUGCAAGUUGUUGCAUAAAUAUGAAUGGCGGUUGUCAGUUUCUUCAACUUUAGUUGAAUCAGAUUUGACCGAGGCGGUCCUUGGAGAAGGUUAAACAGCAAUUUGCAUAUCACCGUUGUGGCUUUGCGUAAGUAAGAUGCGAUCAUACUAGAUACUCAUAGCAGCCACGUAAAACAUGCACCGUUUUGUGUUAUGUUUUUUGAUCCAGCGGAAUACACUUCCUGUAAAAUGCACCGAUUUCUUCUGAGGUUACUUAUGACCAAAUGUUUAGGCUCAACUUUGAAGUGUGGACUUACUUAGAGCAUCAUUAGUAGUGCCCUCAAAUCUUCAAAUCCUCAAACCAGUUUAAGGGUUGAAAAUUGGCAUUUUUUGACACUUUUAAGGGUUAAAAAACACGGGCAACCCAACCCUUAUAACGGAAUAUUCCGUUAUAAGGGUUGAGUUUGAAGGUUCUAGUCUUUGCCGCAUCUCAAACCCUUAAAACUACCAUUUGACAUAUCACAAUUUUCAUCAUCUAAUAACGGUUUGAAGAAAACAAUAAUCAUUCUAGUUAUAAUUACAACACCGAAUAAUACUUUCAAACACAUAAUAGUCAUUCAAGUUAUUGCAACAAUGUUUUCUAGCAAAUUACAAUAAUUGCUCGAAUCAAGUAGGACAUAGAAAAGUAAACAAAGAUAGAUCAUGGGCCUUGGCACCGCCCAGCCAACUCCCACUGGUGCUCUACUAGAUCAUCCCGGAGCUAACCAUGAGUGUUUGCAUCCUCAGUCUGACGAUGUGCUUGAAGAAAAGAUUGUACGCGACAAGGGUUUCUUUUCGGUUACACACGGGCACCAACAUUGUCCUAGAAACAAGGAAGUUUUAACACUCUCUCAUCCUCGAGGAUCAUGUUGUGUAGAAUCACACAACAUUUGAUGAUGUUCUCCAAGGUUUUUUUAUCCCAAAAACGAGCUGCACCCCGAACUAUGGCAAACCUUGCUUGCAAAACACCGAAGGGGCGGGCGGCGGCCGAGGGGCGUGGGGGGGGGGGGCGUGGGCGGGAGGAGGUGGACGAGAGGCGGUCGGUCUGCUGCGGGCGGAAGGCGGGCGGCGGCCGGGGAGGUCGAGGGGNNNNGGCGGCCGCGGCUACGGAGGUGGAGGGGAGGCAACCGGGGGUGGGAUGGCGGCGACGGCUGUGGAGGUGGAGUGGAGGCGGCCGGGGGGCGGGACGGCGGCAGCGACGACUCGGGUGGGCGCGGGCAGGAGUUGGGGACGGGAAAUUUCCCUCCCGUGCUCGGAUGGCUCGUAAGUGAGGGUUGGGAUAGGUUUUGCUCCCUAAUCCUCACUUGUACAAUUUGGGAAAGGGUUUGAAGGUCGUAUCCUUAAAUUUUUUUGAGGGUUAAGGGGUUCUAGUCUACGCGCUUUUGAAGGUCGGAUCCUUAAAUGUGGUGGAGGUGUCUUCCCGUGCACAAUCUUGUUACGAACAUACCAGGAACGCCAUAGGACCAUGAUAAUUCUGCUACGCACCGAUACCUGAGCUUUGUCGAGGAGAUUGAAGAGCCAUUCCUUGCCUGUGUAGUUGAUGUGCAAUCUGUCGGGUAAUGGCCAGUAGAAUCGCAUUGUAUCCCACAGGUUUGCUGCAUGCGGACAGGCAAGGAGAGCAUGAAAUGAUGAUUCCUGCUCCCGAUCACAGACCUGGCAAAAGCCAUUCAGGUCAAAAUGUCGUCUCUUCUUCUCAACAUCAGUAGGGAGGGAGCCCGAAGCAACUUGCCAGGCAAAAUUCUUGAGCUUUGGAGGGACCUUUGUAUCCCAUAUUAGCUUCCAAAGUGGUCUGUCACCAGAAGGGUCUGCACUAGUUGAGCCUGGAUUGAACUGAUCAUAGUGAAUUACCAUUGCCACAUGAUAAGCGCUUUUAACUAUCAAAAUUCCUAACUUCUCCCAUGGCCAAGAGAUAAAAUCGUCCCACCUUGCUGACGUUCUUAUCUUUAGGAUGGCCUCCACAUCCGGUUGCCAGAAGUACUGACGAAGCAGAUCAACCCUCCAUCCGCCCUGCUCAUUCAGGAAUUCGUGCACUCUUUUCAGCCUGCAAUUCCGCCUAGGUGUGAUGGGUAUAAACGGCAUACCCCUCGGUAUCCAUGGGUCACACCAAACCUUGAUGUUCAUACCAUUGCCCACCCUCCAUAACAUUCCUUUCUUCACGAGUUGUAGCCCAUAUUCAAGGCCACGCCAUACAGCCAAGGCAUUCCCAGUGAAGACCGUGUCGACCAAGUUCCCAUUAGGAUAGUAUUUAGCAUGAAGGAGAGAUGCACACAAAGAAUUCGGUGACAUGAGUAAGCGCCACACCUGCUUGGCCAACAACGCUUGAUUGUAUGCCCUCAUGUCACGGAAUCCAAGCCCCCCUUGAGAUUUUGGUAGUAGUAGCUUGUUCCAAGACAUCCAUGCCAUUCUCCUCUUCCCCUUGUCCACUCCCCACCAAUACUGCCGAAUCAGUUUGGUAAGCUCAUCGCACACCGAGAAGGGGAGUUUGAAGAUGCUCAUGAAAUAAACCGGGAUAGCUUGUGCUACAGCCUUAAUCAGAACUUCCUUGCUUGCUUGUGACGCAUACUUUUCGCUCCACUCAACUAGCCGCUUGCUCAGUGUCGCCUGUAAGGAUUCAAACCUACCCUUAUGCAUCCGUCCAUCCGGAACCGGGAGACCCAGGUAUUUAGCUUCGAACUCCUGCUGUGUCACUUGCAGAAUACCCUUAAUCUCAUCAAUCACCAAUGGAUCACAACUAUCUUUAAACAGGAUCGAGCACUUUGAGGGAUUGAUCAGUUGGCCCGUCGCAAGUGCAUAAGUAUGUAACACUUCCUUAAUGAUCUCAGCUUGGUCUGCAGCAGCCCGGAAGAAUAAGAGAAAAUUUUCCGCAAAUAAGAUAUGUGAUAUAGCAGGCGCCCCUCGGCAUAUUUCCAGCGGAACCAGGCCACGCUCCUGAACCGCCUCAUGCAGUAGAGCAGAUAGUGCAUCAGCAACAAAUAGGAACAAAAAGGGGGAUAGUGGAUCACCUUGCCUAAGGCCCCUUGAGGGUGUAAAUUGAUGGAGAGACUUCCCAUUAAGCUUGACCGCAAACUUUACCGAGCGCACCGAUGCCAUGAUCCUGGUGACCCAGGCAUUUGCAAAACCCCACUUCAAUAGGGCUUGUUCCAAGAAGUCCCAAUCAACACGAUCGUAAGCUUUUGAUAGAUCCAGCUUGUAAGCGCAGUAAUCACUCCUUGUGGAUCCUGUUUGGAGGUGGUGCCAACAUUCGAAGGCAAUGAUGGAAUUAUCCGAUAUCAACCUGCCAGGGAUGAAGGCGCUCUGAUUUACCGAGAUGAGAUCAACUAAGAAAGGCCGGAGCCUAUUCACCAUACACUUGGAUACCACCUUGUAAAUAACAUUACACAACGAGAUAGGACGGAACUCCUUCACGGAGGAAGGGUGCUGGACCUUGGGUAUAAGAACAAUGAGCGUUUCAUUUACACCCUCCGGCAUUACCCCCGACGAAAAGAAGUCACGAACUGCCUUCACAACAUCUUCUUUCAACACCCCCCAGUUCCGCUGAUAAAAUCUUGCUGGGAAUCCAUCCGGCCCUGGGGCUUUCAGUGGUCCAAUCUGGAACAACGCGUCUGAUAUCUCCUUCUCUGAGUAAGGUGCAAGUAGUUCCUCAUUCAUGACAUCUGUAACUUUAGGCACUAUCUUGUUUAACAUAACCUCCGGAGUUAACGUUGGGUCUUUGGUGUACACCUCCUUAAAAUAUGAAGAGGCCAUCCGUUCCAUCUCCGAUGGCGACACACACCAUGAACCAUCAUCUUUCUGAAGAUGGUGGAUGUUGUUUCUCUUGGCCCGCCAUACCGCAUGUCGAUGAAAGUGUUUAGUGUUGCGAUCACCUUCCUUCAACCAGGUGAUGCGCCUACGUUGGAGCCACAUCAUUUCCUCCCUAUAGCGCAGUUCAUCCAAUUCCUCCAUUUUCUUCUUUACUAGCAACCGAUCGGCGUCAUUAAGCUGUAAAACCUCAAACUCCCGGCGCAGUUUCAUGAUCUGUUUCUCCACAUGGCCAAAGUUGUCCUUACUCCACUUACGAAGAUCUGACAUGACUGAUUUUAAGGAAUCUGCCACGUUUCCAAGAUCACCAGUAGGCUUUACUUUCGCCCAAGCUGCCGCGAUAACCUGGGAGAGACGGCAAUCGCGUUCCCACAUAAUUUCAUACUUGGGAUUCCCCGUACGCCGUACGUCAACCACCUCUUCUAGGUGCAAGAACAGGAGGCAGUGAUCCGAUCUAGGAGAAGUCAGGUGUUGUACUUUUGCAUAGGGAAACAUAUCCCGCCAAUCGUCGAAGGCGCAUACCCUAUCCAGGCGGACUCGUGUGUUAUCAAUACCUAGUCGCCCAUUAUCGUAUGUGUAAGGCACACCCGAGAACCCUAAAUCAAUCAGCUCACAAAGUUCUAGAGUAUCCCGGAAGGCUUCCAUCUGAAUUUCACGCCUGGCCGUCCUGGAGAAGUGCUCGUGCUGCCACAGGGCCUCGUUAAAGUCGCCCCCACCAUCCAUGGCAACAUGGACAAGCCCCUAAGUCUGAGCAGAUGGUUCCACAUGCACUGCCGAUUCUCGACUCGUGGUUCCCCGUAAACAAAAGUUGAUCUCCACUGCUUCCCUGACCCUGGAUCAGAUAUAAGAACAUCAAUGUAACGCUGGCAGGAAUCUAACACCGUGACAUGAUAGGAUUCCUCCUAGAACAAGGCCAGACCACCACUAUGACCGAUACAGUCAACACCACUAAAACCCUUUAAGCCUAACCUCCAUUUAAGACUCUCAAUUUUUGCACAGGUUUGUCUUGUUUCCGCAAGAAAGACAAAGCUUGGGGAAUGGGCUUUUACAAGAGCCCCAACUUCACGAACUGUCCGGCGGUUCCCCGCCCCCCGACAGUUCCAAUAUAAGUGACUCAUUAGGCCUGGCGGCGCUCCACCUGGGAGCCCGCCGAAAGGUUGUCCGAGUCUGAUUGAGCAUCAUCCUUCUUAGCACGUUUACUGUCUGAACUGGUAGAUGGGGAUUCUAAAUUUGCAGCGUCCUUCCCAUCGGUAAUCAACAGCAUUUUCCCCUCCUGAGCAUGCACCACCACUUCAUCCUGUUCCACAAGUAGACGCUUGCGAGCAGAUUUAUCGACCUCCAUGGCCAGGGAGGUGUCCUUCUUAACAGGGUUAGAUGCAGUGUCUUUCAACUCCCUGUCAAUGGCCGCCACCCCUUUGUUCGUUGACACUUUGGCCGCAGGGGAAUCGAGGACAGUUUUGUCAGAGCGGCUCGGCUCCCAAUCACUCUUGAACUUCCCCGGGGGAUCGGCAUACAGGUAGUCGCCGAAUUUGAGAUCACUUUCCUCAUACACGCCACUACCACACUCCUUAUGAUCAUGACCAAUGAUACCACAGGCUUUGCAAAACCUUGCUAGCUUCUCAUACCUAACGGCAUAUGCUGAUCUCACUUUACCUUUGACAAUACUCACGAAUUUCGUAAGGGGUUUCCUGACAUCAUGUUUAACCCUAACCCGGAUAUAAUCUUCCCUGGAGUUUCCUGCAAUCCUUGUUUCCAGUAUCUCCCCUGAUGAUCGAAGCAACUUCUCUACCACAUCCACUGUACAAUAUCCAUCCGGGAGUUUAUGGAUCUGGAGCCAUAUGGGCAUAUGGACCAUAAGAACGUCCGUAGCCUCAGAGUAACCAUCAUAUGGAGCAAAAAUCACCGCCAUAUUGCGAAACAGCCACGGACCCUGUGACAUGAUCCGAUCCCAAUCCCCAGGCAUUGUGCUUGGAUCACAAACAGAUUGGCGCCGAUGGGACGGAACCUGACAGGUUUAGCCGUAUUCUAGGCCGCUCUCAUAUCCUUGAAGAACGCAACUUGACUAAAGUUUUUGAAGGUUUGGACCCUGGCUAGGGCAAGCCAUGGAAUCACCUCCGCGAGAUCAGGAGCCUCCUCUUCCACGAUCACAUCAUCGAAAUCUUCCUCAUGUAGAUCCAGCUUCUCGAAGAAAUCGCCAAGCUCCUCGUCUUGUUUCCCCUGGGAACCCAGGUUUGUCGAAGAGAAUGCAUCUGGAGCCGAUGCCAUGACGCAGCUCGAGAGAAGAACCCUCGCCGAGAACGAGGCGUUCGGGACGACGGGGGAAAAAUCGCGGGAGUAGAUCGGGCGACUGCAAGUCGACGGUAGACCUAGGGCGGACGGGGGACCUACGGCGUGGAGUCGCCGCAGGGAGGUAAAACCCUAGUUUUGGCUAGGGGAAUUUUUUUCGCACUCCUAGCAAUCGCUUAGCUGGUCUGUUAGUUACUUGUACUACUACUAUUUACAAUUGGAUUGCUCCAUGGUAGGAACCUAGUAUUCAUGGUUGUUUCCUCUUAAUUAAGGCAUGGAAAUUGUCUACAUGGCGCUGCUACACAAUGGAUGCAUAUUAUAUGUGGCAGCGUUGCAGGAAGCCUUCUUGUACGGGGAAGUGAAGACUCUGUCCACAGAGAUUCAAGCCGUCUUCGGCACCACUGCCACAGCCUCUGUGCAUCUCAUCAGUGACUGCAUCGUCGGCCCACAGUCCUCCUAUCCAUGAUCAUAUGAGGCUGGGGAGAGUUGUGCAGAUGGUGCCUAUCUUGGAUUGGUCAAUUAGUGGCAAGAAAUUCACUUGUAAGAUAGGAUGAUUCAUAUGAAUGGGUUGUUUAUGUAC